UCAUAAGUAGAGUGCAUCAUUUAAGCCAAGCAAGCUGUGGUCAAUACAAAUCCACCAUGAAGACCUUUCUCAUCCUUUCCCUCCUUGCUAUCGUGGCAACCACCGCCACAACUGCAUUUAGAAUUCUAGUGCCACAAUUGCAGCCACAAAAUCCAUCUUAGCAACAACCACAAGAGCAAGUUCCAUUGGUACAACAACAGCAAUUUCUAGGGCAGCAACAACCAUUUCCACCACAACAACCAUAUCCACAGCCGCAACCAUUUCCAUCACAACAACCAUAUCUGCAGCUGCAACCAUUUCCGCAGCCGCAACCACCAUAUUCGCAGCCGCAACCAUUUCGACCACAAUAACCAUAUCUCCACAACCGCAACCACAGUAUUCGCAACCACAAUAACCAAUUUCGCAGCAGCAACAACAACAACAACAACAACAACAACAACAAAUCCUUCAACAAAUUUUGCAACAACAACUGAUUCCAUGCAUGGAUGUUGUAUUGCAGCAACACAACAUAGCGCAUGGAAGAUCACAAGUUUUGCAACAAAGUAGUUACCAGCUGUUGCAAGAAUUGUGUUUUCAGCACCUAUGACAGAUCCCUGAGCAGUCGCAGUGCCAAGCCAUCCACAAUGUUGUCCAUGCUAUUAUUCUGCAUCAACAACAAAAACAACAACAACAACAACAACAAAAACAACAACCAUCGAGCCAGGUCUCCUUCCAACAGCCCCAGCAACAAUAUCCAUCAGGCCAGGGCUCCUUCCGGCCAUCUCUGCAAAAUCCACAGGCCCAGGGCUCGGUCCAGCCUCAACAGCUGCCCAGUUCGAGGAAAUAAGGAACCUAGCGCUACAGACGCUACCUGCAAUGUGCAAUCUCUACAUCCCUCCAUAUUGCACCAUCGCGCCAUUUGGCAUCUUCGGUACUAACUGAGAAGAAAAUAACUCUAGUACUAGAUAUAUGAAACACCGUUUUCUUAGUCCAUGGUUUGGUCAUUGUAGCGGUGAAAAAAUAAAGUGACAUGCACUACCAUGUAAGAACUCGAACUAUACUAGUUCAAACUUGGGAAUAAAAGACAAACACAGGUCUUGUCUACAUAUUUAUGUUGCAUUUAUCUAAAGAUAACAAAAUGAGUCUAAAAUUUGAAUUAAAUUGAAGUAUUUUCUUGGACUUUCAAAUUGAGUAUUAUUAACGUAGUAAGGACUAUCCUCAUCCUUGGCCUGCCCCUAAUCAAUUAUUUCCAGAGAAGCAUUCAAUUCAUCAAUCAAUUACAUUGAUUUUUGUGGCUGGUACUUCUCCUCAACAUCAGUAUAUUCACCGUGGCUACUCCAAAUCGGCAAGAAUGAGGUACCGGUGCUCUGGAGCAGUGCCAACUAAUUGCUUCUCAUGUGAAGGGGUGCGGGCGCGGGAGAGGUAUUUCUGGUGGGCCAAGGGAGUAAGAAGCCACCGUGGGAGUGGUACAGACGCCCGUAAAGCCCCAUAGUUUCUUUUUGGUUUACAGGAAAAUGCACAUCCAUACCGGCCUGGGGAGUAUAGGACCGUAUUGGAUGGAAAACCAUGUCCGGAUGGUUGCGAGCGGUUUGAGGGUUAGCUUUUGUAACGCCCGGUUAGUUAUGCUAUAGCAAUUCCCUGCUAAUGAUGUCACGUCACCAAGAUUACUGUUGUUAUCCUCACAAUGAUUCAAUGCCAUUCUAAUUCAAAUUUAAAAUAAAGGCAAGCAUCAAAAGUUUUCAAACAUUAAAACUAAAAUCUUUGAGAGGUAACAAAUAAUGCAUAAGUAAUUAUGGUGGAGAAACCACACUUUAAUAAAAUGUUUAAAUACUCUAAAAUGAAAAAAACAGUGGCUUAAACUAUUAUUUAAAUGCUUUUAAAAUAGUAAAAAUGUUCUAACUAAAUUAAUUGGGUACCAACCUUUUGGUGGCAGUGGUAUAUUUAGUAGAACUAAUUUAGAUGCUAGUUAUAUGAUUUAGAAAAUUAGGGUCAAUUGAAAAAUAGGAUAAAACAGAGAAGGAAAGACAAAACAAAUAAAAGCAAAAGGGGGCAACCCCUCACUGGCCUUGGCCUAGCUGGCCACUGGGCUAGCUAGGUCGGCCCCGCCGCCUCCCUUAACCCCCUGUCGGUGUCGAAACCGGUGGAUGGUACCAUGAGUAGAUCUACCACGAGAUCGGAGAGGCUAAACCCUAGAGGCUAGCCUAUGAUAUGAUUGUAUGUGUCCUACGGACUAAAACCCUCCGGUUUAUAUAGACACCGGAGAGGGUUAGGGUUACACAAGGUCGGUUACAAAGGAGGAGAUAUCCAUAUCCGUAUUGCCUAGCUUGCCUGCCACGCCAAGUAGAGUCCCAUCCGGACACGGGACGAAGUCUUCAAUCUUGUAUCUUCAUAGUGCAACAGUCCGAAAAAGGAUAUAGUCCGGCUGUCCGGAGACCCCCUAAUCCAGGACUCCCUCAGUAGCCCCUGAACCAGGCUUCAAUGACGAUGAGUCUGGCGCGCAGUAUUGUCUUCGACAUUGCAAGGCGGGUUCCUCCUCCGAAUGCAUCACAGAAGAAUUUGAAUACGAGGAUAGUGUCCGACCCUGCAACAUAAGUUCCACAUAAUUCCAUACAGAGAAUAAUAUUUUCGCAAAUCUAAUUUGCUUACUUGUUUUGACAGUACGACAUUAUGUCAUGGCCCGGUGAUUAUUCGAACCGUUUCCUUUAACUAGCCCCGCACAUAACGCGAGGCAGUUUUUCGACAUGUCUUGUCAAAGCAGAGAUCGUGUCCCCUUAUUACUGGAUUCUCAUCAAUACGGGCGUGGGUAACCCAACCGCGCCAUCGAUUGCGGCACUUGGGGGAUGAGCUAUUUUUACCUGGCAAGUGGGGACGCUUAGUUUCGUCCGCCCAUAUAAAGGGAUAAGGAUUCACCUUUCUAUCCAUGCCUUCUUCCUCCUUUGCUCAUCCGUUUUUGCACACUCGAGCUCUAGCGCCCAAGUUCGCACUUCCCACCUCAACCUUCUCCAACCAUGUCCCGAGCGGGAGGCAGGUGGAUGGUAUCCUCCGUCACGGAUGGAGACAUCAAGAAGCUGAGGAGCGCCGGAUACCUGCCUGACGACAUCGCGCACCGGCUCCCAGAUGAGGGGCAGCUCACCCCCACCCCCAGGCCCCAUGAGAGGGUAGUGUUCCUCACCCAUUUCCUCCGCGGACUGGGAUUCCCUCUCCACCCAUUUGUCCCGGGGCUCAUGUUCUAUUACGACCUGGAUUUCCAUGAUCUGGCCCCGAACUUCAUCCUCAACAUCUCGGCGUUUAUCGUUGUGUGCGUGGCCUUCCUCCGCAUCAAGCCCCACUUCGGCUUAUGGUUGAAGACCUUUAAUGUCAAGCCGAAGGUUGUGGGCGACCGCCAGGCGGAGUGCGGAGGCGCCAUGGUGGGCAAGAUGCCCAACGUAACAUGGCUCGAGGGCUCUUUUGUGGAAACCAUAAAGGGGUGGCAAUCGGGUGGUUCUACAUCACCGAGCCGCGUGACCCUGCAUGGGCAGCGGCCCCCCGAGUUCUGAUCUGGCAUCCCCACGCGGCUCACCUCCUGGAAAGAGAAGGGCCUGUCCUGGGGUAGUUUGGAAGAGCUGACCAGACUCCAAACAUGUAUUCAAAACAUGGUGAACAAGAAGCUCAAACUCGUCAACGUGGUCCAGGUCAUGCUCCACCGCCGGAUCCUCCCGUGCCAAUAACGGGAGUUCAACUUGUGGGAGUACAACCCAGCGCAGCACCGAACUCUGAACAGGCUUUUCGACACAACUCACGAAGAUGCCUCGAGGGUGCUGUUCAAAAUCACCAAGGUCCCCCUCCCAUUACUGAGGAUCACGGAUUCAGCGUGAAGCGCCAAGCCAGUGCGGCAGGCUGCUUUACCUUUCACAGGCUACUUAUUUUUUAUAGAUUGACUCCAUGCGGGAUCUAAACUCCCGUACCUUUGACAGGACUGGCAGGAGAUGGCCGGACAGAUCGACUGUCCGGCUCCUAUGCCCGAAGGCCCAGCAGACGCUCUUCUAGCGAAGAUGCUGACUUCGGCUCCUUAUACGGUGCCGGAGAAGACCAAGAAGGACAAGGGAACCCGAAAGAGUUCCCGACGCCAGGCGUCGUCGGACUCACCGUCCGAUGACUCUGCGGCGCACUCCUCCCCCGAAGACGAGGAAGAGGAAGAAGACGCUCCCUCUCUGGCUGGGGGAGAUAAGAAAAGGAAGGCCGCCCCAACUGGGGGGGCGGAAGGGUCCAAGAAGGGAAGGAAUCUCCUUCCGGAUAGUUGCACCGCUGCCGACGAAGGCGAAGACGAGGGGUUGCCCAGGGCCAAGCCCCUGGGGAGAUCGUAAGUAUUCAGAUACCAGAGUAACUCAUAGCAUUCCUUUGUCGCACUGCUUUCCCUAACGUCAAACAUAAUUAUGCAGGUCGCCAUGAGCCAGUAUCGAUGUGUGACGCCCGGAUAAUCAUGCUACAGUAAUCCCACGCUAAUCAUGCCACGUCACCUCGGUUACUGUUGCUAAUCUAUCGUUAGGUCAAAGCUGGUCCAAAAUUCAAAUUCAAAGUUUGGUAAAUAAUAACAGUUUUCAAAAAUUAAAACAAAAAUGUUCGGUGAUUGCCGAAUAAUGCAUAGGUAAUUAUGGUGGAGAAACCACACUUUUAUAAAAUGUUUAAAUAAUCUAAAAUGAAUAAAACAGUAGAAAAACCAAAUCUAAAUGCUUUUAUAAAUAAAUAAAACACUAAACUAAAUUGUUUUGGGAUAAAGCCUUUUGUGGCAGUGGGUUUCGUGGUAUUACAAUUUUAGAGUUCAUUUUAAUACUAAGUAAGAAGUAUAAUUAAGAGAAACUAAAAUAAAGAACAGAAAAAAAAGAAUAAAUAAAAGGAAAAGAAAACACAAAACAGAAAAGAAAACUACCAAAAAAAUAUGGUAAAAGGAGACCCCCCCCACUGGACCCCUUGGCCCAACUGGGCCAUGGCCCAGCCGGCCACCCCCNNNNNNNNNNNNNNNNNNNNNNNNNNNNNNNNNNNNNNNNNNNNNNNNNNNNNNNNNNNNNNNNNNNNNNNNNNNNNNNNNNNNNNNNNNNNNNNNNNNNNNNNNNNNNNNNNNNNNNNNNNNNNNNNNNNNNNNNNNNNNNNNNNNNNNNNNNNNNNNNNNNNNNNNNNNNNNNNNNNNNNNNNNNNNNNNNNNNNNNNNNNNNNNNNNNNNNNNNNNNNNNNNNNNNNNNNNNNNNNNNNNNNNNNNNNNNNNNNNNNNNNNNNNNNNNNNNNNNNNNNNNNNNNNNNNNNNNNNNNNNNNNNNNNNNNNNNNNNNNNNNNNNNNNNNNNNNNNNNNNNNNNNNNNNNNNNNNNNNNNNNNNNNNNNNNNNNNNNNNNNNNNNNNNNNNNNNNNNNNNNNNNNNNNNNNNNNNNNNNNNNNNNNNNNNNNNNNNNNNNNNNNNNNNNNNNNNNNNNNNNNNNNNNNNNNNNNNNNNNNNNNNNNNNNNNNNNNNNNNNNNNNNNNNNNNNNNNNNNNNNNNNNNNNNNNNNNNNNNNNNNNNNNNNNNNNNNNNNNNNNNNNNNNNNNNNNNNNNNNNNNNNNNNNNNNNNNNNNNNNNNNNNNNNNNNNNNNNNNNNNNNNNNNNNNNNNNNNNNNNNNNNNNNNNNNNNNNNNNNNNNNNNNNNNNNNNNNNNNNNNNNNNNNNNNNNNNNNNNNNNNNNNNNNNNNNNNNNNNNNNNNNNNNNNNNNNNNNNNNNNNNNNNNNNNNNNNNNNNNNNNNNNNNNNNNNNNNNNNNNNNNNNNNNNNNNNNNNNNNNNNNNNNNNNNNNNNNNNNNNNNNNNNNNNNNNNNNNNNNNNNNNNNNNNNNNNNNNNNNNNNNNNNNNNNNNNNNNNNNNNNNNNNNNNNNNNNNNNNNNNNNNNNNNNNNNNNNNNNNNNNNNNNNNNNNNNNNNNNNNNNNNNNNNNNNNNNNNNNNNNNNNNNNNNNNNNGCCCCUCGGCGCCCGCUCGGCCCUCUCCUGGGUCGGGCGCCCGUAACGCCCAGCGCCCGUAACCCGCUAUGGCCCCCUGGGCAGUUGACAGAUGGGGCCCACGCCCCUGUCUUGUUAGAAAAAAAAACGAAAAGAAAAUGUAAUUAAAAAAAUGAAAAUAAGUAAUUAGUUAUUUAAUUAAUUAUGUAACUAAUUAAUUAAUUAAAUAAGUAAUUACUUAACUUAAUUAACUCCGUUUAGUACUUAAUUAACUUGAUUAGUUAAUUAAAAUUGUUAAUUAGUUGUUAGACUAUGACGAAUGGGACCCACACGUCAGUUUGACCCAGUCAACGCCCUGUUGACUGCUGACGUCAUGCUGACGUCAGCGUACACUAUUCUGGAUAAUGUUAAUUUAAUUAAUAAUUAAUAAAUUAGAAAAUGAUUUAAAAAUUUAAAAAUUAAUAUAAAUUAAACCGUAGCUCAGAUGAAAAAACUUUGUACAUGAAAGUUGCUCAGAACGACGAGACAAAUCUGGAUACACGGCCUGUUUGUUCGUCACGCAUCCCUAGCAUAGCAAACUCGCAACUUUCCCCUCCGGCUCCUCUGCCCGAAAACGCAAAACACCGGGGAUACUUUCCCGGAUGUCAUCCCCCUUCACCGGUAUCACCUAUUACCGCGUUAGGGCACCUCUAACGCCGUUACUUGUCAUGUCAUGCAUCACUAUGCAUAUGCUUGCUUAAAUAUUUAUUAUUUCUUCCCCCUCUUCUCUCGAUAGACACCGAGACCGACGCCGCUGCUACCCAGUACGACUACGCUGUUGACGACCCUCUUUCUUGCCAGAGCAACCAGGCAAGCGCCCCCCUUGAUCACCAGAUAUCGCCUACUCUCUUCUAUACUGCUUGCAUUAGAGUAGUGUAGCAUGUUACUGCUUUCCGUUAUUCCUAUCCUGAUGCAUAGCCUGUCCUUGCUACUACUGUUGUUACCAUUACCUGCUAUCCUACUGCUUAGUAUAGGAUGCUAGUGUUCCAUCAGUGGCCCUACACUCUUGUCCGUCUGCCAUGCUAUACUACUGGGCCGUGAUCACUUCGGGAGGUGAUCAUGGGCAUAUGCUAUAUACUUUACACAGUUACUUUACCUGUGGUACUGUUCGGAGAUGGGGGCUGAAGGGGCAGGUGGUUCCACCCAGGUAGUGGUGGGCCUGGGUUCCCGACGGCCCCCGACUGUUACUUUGUGGCGGAGCGACAGGGCAGGUUCAGACCACCUAGGAGAGAGGUGGGCCUGGCCCUGGUCGGCGUCCGCGGAUACUUAACACACUUAACGAGAUCUGGGUAUUUGAUCUGAGUCUGGCCAUUUGGUCUAUACGCACUAACCAUCUACGCGGGAGUAGUUAUGGGUAUCCCGACGUCGUGGUAUCAGCCGAAGCCUUCGUGACAUCAGCGACUAAGUGGCGCGUGCCGGAUUGGACCGUAAGCCUGCUCUUGUAUUAAGGGGGCUAGUUCUGCUUCCGGCCGCGUUCGCAACGUGCAGGUGUGCAAAGGGCGAUGGGCCCAGACCCCUGCGCCAUAGGAUUUAGACCAGCGUGCUGACCUCUCUGUUGGGCCUAGGUAGGGCUGCGACGUGUUGAUCUUCCGAGGCCGGGCAUGACCCAGAAAAGUGUGUCCGGCCAAAUGGGAUCGAGCGUGUUGGGGUAUGUGGUGCACCCCUGCAGGGAAGUUUAUCUAUUCGAAUAGCCGUGUCCCUCGGUAAAAGGACGACCCGGAGUUGUACUUUGACCUUAUGAUAACUAGAACCGGAUACUUAAUAAAACACACCCUUCCAAGUGCCAGAUACAACCGGUGAUCGCUCUCUCACAGGGCGACGAGGGGAGGAUCAUCGGUUAGGAUUAUGCUAUGCGAUGCUACUUGGAGGACUUCAGUCUACUCUCUUCUACAUGCUGCAAGACGGAGGUUACCAGAAGCGUAGUCUUCGAAAGGACUAGCUAUCCCCCUCUUAUUCCGGCAUUCUGCAGUUCAGUCCACAUAUGAUAGCCUUAUUCCAAUUGAUACCAAUGCAUACAUAUGUAGUGUAGCUCCUUGCUUGCGAGUACUUUGGAUGAGUACUCACGGUUGCUUUCUCCCUCUUUCCCCCCUAUCCCUUCUACCUGGUUGUCGCGACCAGAUGUUGGAGCUCAGGAGCCAGACGCCACCGUUGACGACGACUCCUACUACACCGGUGGUGCCUACUACUACGUGCUGUCCGCUGACGACGACCAGGAGUAGUUUAGGAGGAUCCCAGGCAAGAGGCCUGCGCCUCUUUCGAUCUAUAGCUCAGUUUGUGCUAGCCUUCUUAAGGCAAACUUGUUUAACUUAUGUCUGUACUCAGAUAUUGUUGCUUCCGCUGACUCGUCUAUGAUCGAGCUCUUGUAUUCGAGCCCUCGAGGUCCCUGGCUUGUAAUAUGAUGCUUGUAUGACUUAUUUUAUUUGUAGAGUUGUGUUGUGAUAUCUUUCUGUGAGUCCCUGAUCUUGAUCGUACACGUUUGCGUGUAUGAUUAGUGUACGGUCAAAUCGGGGGCGUCACACGAUGUAUCAUCGGACGGUUCCCUAGGCUCGUCGGACAUGGAUAGCGAUCCAGUCCCGACCCCCACCUCCCCUCAUCCUGCUGACGACGCCGAGGUGCUGUCUCAAGAGGCAUCGGGUCGAGGGGAGACAGUCCUGGAGGCACCUCAAGGCGACCUUCCGGACUCCGGGAGCCGAGGGGACGGGGCCCCUAAGAGCUUCGAGUUCGGCCCUCAGCCGAACACCGCGCUGGAACCUCCAGUGGUUCCGGGCUCGGUCAGGCGGCCUCCUUCUAAGAGGGGCAAGACACCUGUGCCGGUGACCUCUGUCUAUCCAGAGGCGCCGGACAAUCUGCUGGAAGCGCUUCGCAGCGCUUCCAUCGACGAGGAGCACCGCACUAUCAUGAGUGCGGCGAUCCAGAAAGUUUAGUCCGCCAAGAGCGGAUUGACUGAAGCCUGUGCCAGCCUUCUAACAGGCUUUGAGGUAAGUGUUUUAAAAUAUAGGAAAAAUACUACUGCAUAUAUAGUAGCCCCUGAUGCUUUGUUCGGUGUUCAGAAAGAAAAGCCGAACAGAGGAUCAAAUAAUAUCGCAGGACUCUAAUAUAAGUAUGUCAAUAUGCGUAUGCAAGCCUCACUGCUGGCAUCCGCCACACUGACUGCGGAGGUCGCCCUACUGAAGCAGGACCUCGAGAGGUCUAGGAGAGAGCUCGGCCUUGUCAAGAGGCAGCUCGAGGAGAACAAGGGUAAGUAAUACCUUGUCUUUAGAUAUGUAUAUAUAAAAGAAGAAGCGAUUGCAAAAUGACAGGAUCAUCGUACAUUCGCCAGGGGCCACGACCAAGGUGGCAACCCUCAAGCAAGCGCUAACCAAGGCCGAAGAUAACGCGGCCAAGGAGCGCACCGAGUGAGAGAAGCACGAGGCUCGGGUGGGCGAGGUGCAGCAAGAGCUCUAGGCUAUCAUGGUGAAGCACGAGGCAUUGGAGCUUGACUAAAAGACGCGAGAGUCUGAGCUUUCCGCGGCCCUCGAGAGCGCAAAAAGUGCCAAGGCCGAAGCCCAAAGGGGUCUCCAGGCGGGUAUGGCUUUCUAUAUGCAAAGCAAGCAUGUAAAAGUAAAUUACCGAUUACUUACUCGAAUCCGGAGCUCUCCAGGAGCAUUCGCAGAUUUUCCACGCAGCGUGUCCGAUGCCGCACAAUUUUACCAGGCCGAGGAUGGAAGCUCAAUGGAGAAGCUGUUCUGGUAUCAGUAUGCUGAGGCCGGACACCCGGUGCCAAUGAGCGACCAGCUGAAGCAGGUGGUCGAGCUACAUAAGGCGGCCGAUCAGGCCAUGAAGGGCUUUAUAGUCCGGCUGUGGCCUGGCGACGCCCUUCCGAACAGCUUCCUCGGCCUGGUGAGGCGGCUUGUGGAUGCCUGCCCGCGGCUGGAGGUCGUCAAGCGAUCUGUCUACAUUGAGGGUGCACGCCGGGCUUUCGCCCGUGUGAAAUUGCAGUGGGUCAAGCUAGACGCCGUGAAGCUGAUCAAGGAGGGGCCGCCGGAGGGCAAGGAGCACCGCCACCCCGAGAUGUACUACGAGGGUGUUCUGCUGGGUGCCCGUCUCAUAGCGGACGAGUGUUCAAAAGAUGUAAUAUUUGAGUGAGACUUGCUCGUUUUAUCCUGUAUUUAUGAAAACUUGUUUCAUAUGCACUAUGCAACGCUUGUUUGAAUUUAGAAUAUUACCUUCUGUUUGGCCGUUUAUCAAUCUGAGAGAUGGCUAGUCCUCAGCUUCUGCCCCCAUGCCACGAGUGCUGGGGUCUUCGGGAUAAACCUGAGCACUCUUGUUCCCAUAUUUGGGUCCUUGGAGGGAGGUGCUCAGCACAACGAACAAGGAAACCCGACUAAUAAUGCUUUAUCACUCUCACUUAGCGAUAGAAUUCUAUAAUUUUAAAUUUCGGCGAAGCCCCUGGUAUUCGGAAGGCCGAAUUCGGGGCGCGAUACACGCCUUUAAGCCGGACAGGGCCGGCCCCUCGCCCUAAGCGGCAUAAGUCUUUGGGGACUCGAUAACCUCGCCGAACAGCGAUCAGUCUCUCCCCUUAUCAUGACAGUCAGUUUUAGCUUUCUCUACUUAGGUGCCGAACCCAGCAAAACCGGGGCACAAUCGCAGUAGUUCUCCUAGCGCUACCUUAGCCGAUAGAGUGGAACGUAAGGUACCAAAACAUAGGAGCCGGGCAAACCCAACAUUUGACCAAAGACAUGAUUCGGAGCUGAUGCAUAUAAUGCUAUAAGUUUGGGGUGCCGCACUUGUGAAAGUGUUCGGACUUUUCACACCGUAUUGUGGGGUACGUAAGCCCCUGGUGUAUUGGCCGUACCAAAGUGUACGGUUGCAAGGCAUCAUUAAUGAACAUAUAUAUAUAUAUAUAUAUAUAUAUAUAACAAGAGUGCAAUAAUAGUCGUAAUGUCAUGCAUUGUUUAUUCAAAAAAUUACGUUAAAGUAGGGUGAUACAGAUAGUGUGAUAAGCAAAGAGUAGGACUAUGUCCCUUCCCAAGGCAAGCUAAGGAAUGAUAUUAAAUUGAAUAUUUCGCUCGUUACAGUAAUCCACCUAGGAAUUCCGUGGUGUGACGUAGCUAUCUGCCUCCUUGGUUGCUGCAUCGUGUGUUCGGCAAUAGUGCUGCCGGACAGUGUUUCCAGAGGUUAAUGUCCUGAAAAAAAGAGAAAAAUAACCAAACGGGAAGCCCCUAGUGCGGUUUAAGCCGCGUCUUGGGGCGUGCUGCAGUUGUGCCACCCUCCCCACCUGUGCCCAUGGUAUUUUUAAUGCGUAAUUAUGUACGCGUGGCAUGAGUUUCGUCGUUGGGCUGGGAUUGGGGUGGCCGCCUUAUUGCUACGCGAGCUCAGAUCGCGCAAGGCGGUCUAUUUGCCGAUUGCUCCGAGCGCGCUUGAAGGUGUCCGGGCUUUGAAGCGCCGGACUGGUUGAUUGCCUUGAGAGGCUGCUUUGCGCUUCUGCUGCGAGGGCCGCGGUGUGCUCCUCUGUUCGGAGAGAGCACUCUGUGUUUCCAUUGACUGUAAUAACUCCGCGAGGUCCUGACAUCUUGAGCUUGAGGUAUGCAUAGUGCGGUACCGCAUUGAAUCUAGCAAAUGCGGUUCGCUCGAGCAGCGCGUGGUAACCACUGCGGAAUGGGACUAUAUCGAAGAUUAGCUCUUCGCUUCGGAAGUUAUCCGGGGAUCCGAAGACCACUUCCAGUGUAAUUGAGCCUGUGCAAUGGGCCUCUACACCUGGAAUGAGGCCUUUAAAGGUCGUUUUUGUGGGUUUGAUCCUUGAGGGGUCUAUACCCAUUUUGCGCACUAUAUCCUGAUAAAGUAGGUUCAGGCUGCUGCCGCCAUCCAUAAGGACUCGAGUGAGGUGAAAUCCGUCAAUGAUUGGGUCUAGGACUAGUGCGGAAAAUCUACCAUGAUGGAUACUAGUGGGGUGGUCCCUUCGAUCGAAGGUGAUCGGAUAGGAGGACCAAGGGUUGAACUUUGGGGUGACUGGCUCGAACGCAUAUACGUCCAUGAGCGCACGCUUCCGCUCCCUCUUAGGGAUGUGGGUUGCGUAUAUCAUGUUCACCGUCUGCAGUUGCGGGGGAAACCUCUUCUGUCCUUCGAUGUGCGGCUGCCGGGGCUCCUCCUCGUCAUCGCUAUGCGGCCCCUUGUCCUUCUUUUCGGCAAUUAACUUGCGGGCCUGCUUGAACACCCAACAAUCCCUGUUGGUGUGAUUGGCUGGCUUGUCUAGGGUGCCGUGUAUUUGACACGAGCGAUCGAGUAUACGUUCCAAGCUGGAUGGACCUGGCGUACUUUGUUUGAAUGGCUUUUUCCGCUGACCGGGUUUAGAGCCUUUGAAUCCGGCAUUGACUGCCGUAUCCUCGGUAUUUUCGCUGUUAAUGCGGCGGUUAUGUUUGUUGUGACAUGACCUGCUAUUGCCAUCCUUGGUAUCGGAGGUACCAUGGUUCUUUGAUAUGUUAUUACUACGGGCCAGCCAGCUGUCUUCUCCCGCACAAAAGCGGGUCAUGAGCGUCGUGAGAGCUGCCAUAGAUUUCGGCUUUUCCUGACCAAGGUGCCAGGCUAGCCACUCGUCUCGGAUGUUGUGUCUGAAAGCCGCUAAGGCCUCUGCAUCCGGACAGUCGACGAUUUGAUUUUUCUUUGUGAGGAACCAAGUCCAGAAUUGCCUAGCCGACUCUUCUGGCUGCUGAAUUAUGUGGCUCAAGUCAUCGGCGUCUAGUGGUCGCACAUAAGUGCCCUGAAAGUUGUUGAGGAAUGCGGCUUCCAGAUCUUCCCAACAGCUAAUGGAGUCCGCUGGCAAGCUGUUAAGCCAAUGCCGCGCUGGUCCUUUGAGCUUUAGUGGAAGAUAUUUGAUGGCGUGUAAGUCAUCACCGUGGGCCAUGUGGAUGUGGAGGAGGAAAUCCUCGAUCGAUACUGCAGGAUCUGUUGUGCCGUCGUAUGAUUCAAUAUUUACAGGUUUGAAACCUUCUGGGAAUUGAUGAUCCAUUACUUCGUCUCUGAAGCAUAAGGGGUGUGCGGCGCCUCUGUAGUGGGCUAUAUCGCGACGCAGCUCGAAUGGGUCUUGCCCGCUGUGUUCGGCCCGGCCGGAUUUGCUUUUACUGUAUCCGGCGUGACAUUUAUCGUCUCGCAGAGUUGUGCGCCCUCGUGAUCCGUAGAUCGAUCUUGCAUGCUUUGCUUUGUCCUCCAAUAUAUCUCGCAGGUCUGGCGUAUCUCCCCAUGCCUUUUUAUUUGAAUGGCGUCGGGGUGGAGGCUGAGUUUUUGGCUGGACUGCCUCUCUAUCGCGGCCACGAGGUGGCCGAUCCGGGCAGUAACCUGCACUUUGGGUAAUUCUUGGAGGGGUGCUUGAGUUUAUAUUCCUCGGCCGCGAGGACUUCAGUCCAUCUGUUAGUUAAGAGAUCUUGAUCAGCUUGAAGCUGCUGCUGCUUUUUCUUUAGGCUAUUUUCCGUGGCCAUAAGCCGGUGCUUGAAGCGCUCUUGUUCGAUGGGAUCCUCUGGUACAUCGAAUUCAUCAUCGCCGAGGCUUGCCUCGUCUUCGGAGGCGGGCGUGUAAUUGUCAUCCUCCUCCUCUCCGUCUGCCGCUCUUUCAGGAGGGUUGGCUCCUCCAUCCUCCUGCUCUAAAUCUUGCUGGAGGGGAUUAUUGUUGUCUUCGGCACUAUCCGGAGUGUUAUUAUCUCCUGUGCCGGUAUCACCACUUUUGCUUUGGCGGGACUUAGAGCGGCGCCGCUGACAUCGGCGCUUGGGUUGCUUCUUGGAGAGGUCAUCCUCCGUUAUCUCGUCGCCAUUGCCUUCUUUGGGUGUAUCCACCAUGUAUAUGUCGUAUGAUGAUGUGGCUUUCGAGUGCCCUAUGGGCGCUGGUUCAUGUUCAUCUCCUACAUCGUCGUCCAUACCAUCGAUGUCUUCGGAGUCGAAGUCGAGCAUGUCGGUUAAAUUAUCGACAGUGGCUACGAAGUGGGUGGUGGGUGGGCAUCGAAUUUCUUCGUCGUCCGCCUCCCAAUCCUGUUGGCCAUAGUCCGGCCAGGGCUCUCCUGACAAAGAGAGAGACUUUAGUGAAUUCAGAAUGUCACCGAAGGACGAGUGCUGCAAGAUAUCAGCGGCGGCGAAUUCCAUGAUCGGCGCCCAGUCGGAUUCAAUUGGCAGGGGCGCGGACGGUUCGGAGUCCGGAAAAGAGUCCGGCACCUUGGAGUCACGGGCUUUGCAGAGGAUUAGGCUGGUGUUCAACUCGAUCACCGUUGAGACUGCAGCCCCUGAGGCGGUGUCUAGCCACCCGUCCUCGACUGGCGCAGUUGGCUCCGAGCUAAGGGUCAGAGCUGAUGCGGGCGCGGCCUCUGGGGUACUGUCCGGUGGUAGAGCUAGGUCAUACCCAUCGUGACAGUGCAGCGCGCCCGGCUGUGGCUUGAAUCCGUCGAAGAUCAAGUCUCCGAGGAUGUCGGCCGUGUAGUUCAAACUUCCAAAUCUGACCUGAUGGCCAGGGGUGUAGCUUUCAAUCUGCUCCAGAUGGCCAAGCGAAUUAGCCCGUAGUGCAAAGCCGCCGAACACUGGACCGCAUCGUUGUUCAUGAUCGGAGGAGCCAUCGGGCCUAAAGGUGACGACACCGAGGAAAUCUCAAUGGAAGCACCAAUGUCGGUGUCAAAUCCGGCGGAUCUCGGGUAGGGGGUCCCGAACUGUGCGUCUAGGCCGGAUGGUAACAGGAGGCAGGGGACACAAUGUUUUACCCAGGUUCGGGCCCUCUUGAUGGACGUAAAACCCUAUGUCCUUCUUGAUUAAUAUUGAUGAUAUGUGUAGUACAAGAGUAGAUCUACCACGAGAUCAGAGAGGCUAAACCCUAGAAGCUAGCCUAUGGUAUGAUUGUAUACGUCCUACGGACUAAAACCCUCCAGUUUAUAUAAACACCGGAGAGGGUUAGAGUUACACAAGGUCGGUUGCAAAGGAGGAGAUAUCCAUAUCCGUAUUGCCUAGCUUGCCUUCCACGCCAAGUAGAGUCCCAUCCGGACACGGGACGGAGUCUUCAAUCUUGUAUCUUUAUAGUCCAACAGUCCGGCUGUCCGGAGACCCCCUAAUCCAGGACUCCCUCACCCCCACUCCCUAUCGAACCCUAGCCCAAUCGCCCCACCUCCCCCACACCCCCUCGCCAGCCUCCCCACCUCUUGAUCCCAUCUGGAUCGGGGAGGGGAUCACCCCCAUCGACCCCGUCGCCGUCGCCGGAUCGCCCGUCAGCGUCGCCAGGCCUCCUCCCCGCCGCCCGUCUCCGGCUCGCCUCCCCUCUCGCUCCUCUUUCCCGACCCGAUCAGGAUCGUGAACGAGCAAUGAGCGCGACGCCCCCCCUUCAUCGGCGCCAUCACCGUGCGCCACCACCACCGCCUGAAGACCUCGCCGUCGCUGACCUUGUGUCGUCUCCUGGUAUCCCUUCCCGACUCGCGUCCUCAAGCCAGGCCGACCCCCUUCUCGGCAAUGCUGUGAGACGCCCCCCGUUUCCCUCCUCUUUCCACCGUGUUCACCGCGCCGCCUGACGAAGCUACGUACCUAGGGUAGGGGCAUGGACCUGUCCUAAGAGCCCUACCCAAGGACAUCCCUGGAAGAAGUCACCUUUCAAUCGACUUGAAGGUACCCACUCGACGGGUUUAAGACACUCGACCAAGAAGCUACCACUCGACAUGAAGCCAAUCACUCGACUGCCAGGAGAUCUAAAGUCAUUCCACGGGCAAACGGUCGGCUAUUAAGUAGUCUUUAUGGUCAUUAUAGCACUUUAUUACCAGCAUUACCAGUAACGCCCCGCCUUAAUGUACAUUGAACCCUUGGUAACGUAGGCUGGCCGGGGUCCUGGCGCGCUCUAUAUAAGUCACCCCCUCCUCCGAGACAAGGGUUCGCACCUCUAUUGUUCACAUGCCUAUAAUCCAAUCGACCGCCUCCGGGCACUGAGACGUAGGGCUGUUACUUCCUCCGCGAAGGGCCUGAACUCGUACACCUUGGUGUGUUUACAACUUCCCAAUAGCUGAGAUCUAGCCUCUCCAUACACACCCCCCUACAUCACUGUCAGAGUUAGAACCACAAUAGUUGGCGCCCACCGCGGGGCCAGAAUCUUAGCGCUUACUUGGAGAAGUUGCGAUUCUUCUGAUCCCUUUGAUCAUGGUUUCAUGCGGAGUUUUGGUGGAGGGGCGCGAGAUCCGUCUCGGCGCGCUCACAUUCAUCGCCGACGACUCCGCUUGGUUUCAGGAGGCUCCACUCGACAUCGACGUGCUCCCCGUCCGUGGUGCGACGCACUUCCGCGCAUGCGUUCGUGGCGUCCUCCUGCGGCAGCCGUCGACCCAGUAUCGGUCGGCCCUCGUGUCGUCUCCCCGCUCUGUCUCCCUCCGACGCAAGCGCUUUGGUAGGUCGAGACUUUAGAGGUGGGUGAGGCAUGCCGUGGCUCGCCAGUCGGCCGCCCCACAAGUCGCGGCAAUCGAGCCCGACAAAUCCCUCUGCAGCCUGUUCGACUGGCUCCGCGGAGACUUCAUCCGAGUGUGACAGCAGAGACCCAGCGGCUGAGGUUCUGGCGGUCGAUGGGACACACUGUCCUCCCGGUUUCCCUCGCGCUAAUGGAGGCGCGGGUGGGGGCGACCCGUCGCAUCCCCACGAUGAGUAUCUCCCCGAAUGUCUCACGGCAUCGCAGCGAGAGGAACUUCACCGCCGGAACAUAGACGCACUCCACACUCCUAUCGUCGGAGAAACCCCCGAGGCCCGGGCCUUGGAGGACGCGCGCUUGGCUAACUUGGCUGAGCGCACUCGACUGGAGAAUCUCCAGCUAAUACUCGAUGAGCAAGCGCGCCAGUGAGCUCCCGAGUCCAGUCGACGUCAGCUCUUUCCGCCGAUGCAGGUAUAUUGAACCCUAGUUCAGAAUUUGGCCGCCGCGGCCCGUAUAGCAGAGUCAAUUCAGCCCUCCCAGUCAGAGGCUGGCAGGGGCUUGUUGCAGAUCAGAGCAUUGCUCCGGGCGGCGGGGAACCAGAAUUCCGCUGUUUCUCAGUCGCAGAAUAGGAUCCACAGUCGAUCCGUUGCAACAGAUACAGUCCAGUCGGCUCACAGCCCGAGAUCGCCCCCGAGGCGUGAGGGACAUGGAGACCGGCACGAUCAGUACAGAAGAAAUGAGCAGUAUGAUCACCGAUUCGAUCGUGAGGAUCGACGUCGAGUGCCAACCCCUCCCCCGAGGAGUGGGUCAUAUGCGCCUCGAUAGCGAGAUGACAGGCGCCCUCAUAGUGUUGGGCAGAGGAUUCCAGUCGACCCCAGGGACCCAGGCUUUGAUGCGAGAUCCAUCCUUGAUCAAGGUCUGGUUGACAGGAACGGGGCUCACCGAGAAUGCCAGGACAGAGAUGCGCCUGCCAGCAGCAGAGUGCGUGUUUCAGGGACAGAGUGUUUCAGUCGAGCCAUCAGAGCCACAGUGAUUCCUCCCAACUUCAGGUUGGCGACUGGAGUCAGCUAGUUCACCGGUGAGUCUAAGCCUGACACUUGGCUCGAAGAUUACCGAGUGGCUGUACAGAUUGGCAGUGGCAAUGAUGAGGUGGACAUGAAGCAUUUGCCUCUCAUGUUAGAGGGCUCAGCCAGAGCAUGGCUAAAUCAGUUAGUGCCCAGCAGCAUUUACACUUGGGAGGACCUCUCCCGAGUGUUUGUCACAACCUUUGAGGGAACAUGCAAGCGACCUGCAGGCCUUACAGAGUUGCGGUCUUGCACGCAGAAACCGAAUGAAACGCUGAGGGAUUACAUCCAGAGGUGGAUCACAUUGCAUCACACAGUUGAGAAUGUUCCAGAUCAUCAAGCAGUUUGUGCCUUCAAAGAAGGCGUUAAGUACAGAGAAUUGAAUCUGAAGUUCGGUCGAACUGGAGAGAUGUCUCUGAAUCGGAUGAUGGAGAUUGCCACCAAAUACGCUAAUGGUGAAGACGAAGAUCGCCUCCGGAGUGGCAAGCGCAAGGCAGUCGCCCAAGAAACCGGAGGAAACUCCAGUCAGAAACAGAAGCGGAAGGCUGAGCCAGCCGCCCCUGGGGAGGCCCUGGCCGUAACCCAGGGAAAUUUCAAGGGAAAACCCAAGGGCCCCUGGAAGCCCAAGAAAGUCAAGGAUCAAGAUGGAAAUGAUGUUUUGGAUCUGCCAUGUCACUCCACACCAAGAAAGAUGAAGAGGGUAAUUUUAUUUACCCAAAGCAUACCACUCGACAGUGCCAGCUCCUGAUCCAGCAGUUUCAGGGCAAGCAACCCAAAGAUAAGGAAAAAGAGCCAGACAGAGUUGAGGACAAGGAUGAUAGUGACGAUGGAUACCCCCAAGUCAAUUCCACCCUGAUGAUUUUUGCUGAUGUCGAAAGCAAAAGUCGACUGAAAGUCAUUAAUCGUGAAGUGAAUAUGGUUGCUCCGGCAACACCUAGUUAUCUGAAGUGGUCUCAGGCUGCCAUAACAUUCGACCAGUCUGAUCACCCUACGCACAUUGCCACCCCUGGGAGGCAAGCUUUGGUGGUCGACCCAGUUGUCGAAGGCACUCGACUGACCAAAGUCCUGAUGGAUGGUGGCAGUGGCCUGAACAUACUGUAUGCUAAAACAUUGAAAGGGAUGGGCAUUCCGAUGUCCGGGCUCAGUACCAGCAACAUGAGCUUCCACGGAGUCAUUCCCGGGAAGUAAGCCGAAUCACUCGGCCAGAUUGCUCUUGAUGUGGUUUUCGGUGAUUCAAAGACUUACCGCAAGGAAAAGUUGACAUUCGAGGUUGUGGACUUCCAAAGUGCUUAUCAUGCCAUUUUGGGCAGACCAGCUUAUGCACGCUUCAUGGCCUGACCAUGUUAUGUGUAUCUCAAAUUGAAGAUGCCUGGUCCUAAAGGUGUGAUCACUGUUACAGGCAAUCGGAAGAAGGCAGAAGAGUGUUUUCAGAAAGGCUCAAAGAUUGCUGACGCUCAGAUGGCAGUGGUUGAGCUGCAAGAGUAUCAGAAGACUGCAGAUCCGAGUGAGUUGCUACGAGCUAAGAAGCCCACUUCGGAGUCAGCUUUUCAGUAGUCUGGUGAAAUGAAGGCAGUUCACAUUCACCCGACCAACCCCGAGGCUGCCCCGACUCACAUCUCAAAGACGCUCGACUCCAAAUAGGAAGAAGUGCUCAUCCAGUUCCUCCGUGAGAACUGGGACAUCUUCGCAUGGAAGCCUUCUGACAUGCCUGGAAUAACCAGGGGGCUGGCUGAGCACCGUCUACGAGUCGACCCAAAGUUCAAGCCUAUGAAAGAACAUCUUCGACGGUCCGCCGUCCAAAAGAGGAAAGCUAUUGGCGAGGAGGUGGCUCGGCUCUUAGCAGCAGAGUUCAUCCGAGAGAUGUACCACUCUGAGUGGCUCGCCAAUGUUGUCAUGGUCCCCAAGAAGGACAAGUCGCUUCGCAUAUGCAUCGACUUUAAACAUAUCAAUCGGGCCUGCCCGAAAGAUCAUUUUCCUCUCCCUCGCAUCGACCAAAUAGUCGACUUGACCGCGGGGUGUGAGCGAUUGUCUUUUCUAGACGGCUAUUCCGGGUACCAUCAGAUCCGUCUGUAUGGACCCGAUGAGAUCAAAACAGCUUUCAUCACUCCAUUCGGGUGCUUCCGUUAUGUCACCAUGCCCUUCGGCCUCAAGAACGCUGGAGCCACGUUCAUGAGGAUGAUUCAGAAGUGUUUGCUCACUCAAAUCAGUCGGAACGUGGAAGCAUACAUGGAUGAUAUUGUGGUCAAGUCGCGGAAAGGUUCCGACCUGCUGACUGACCUUGCUGCAACCUUUGCCAACCUUAGGAGGUAUGAUAUCAAGCUUAAUCCAUCAAACUGCACAUUCGGAGUUCCGGGUGGAAAGUUACUCGGUUUUCUCGUUUCCGAAUGAGGAAUCAACGCCAAUCCCGAGAAAGUUGGCACCAUACUCCGGAUGAAGCGCCCUGUGCGUGUGCACGAUGUCCAGAAGCUUAUGGGUUGCUUGGCCGCUCUAAGUCGAUUCAUUUCUCGUCUCAGUGAAAAGGCAUUGCCUCUUUACCGACUGAUGAAGAAGUCUGACAAGUUCGAGUGGACUCCAGAAGCUGAUGCAGCGUUUGCAGACCUCAAAGCUCUGCUCUCCACCCAGCCGGUGCUUGCUGCCCCAAUCAGUAAAGAGCCUUUGCUGCUUUACAUUGCAGCCACAGGACAAGUUGUCAGUACAGUACUUAUGGUCGAGCGGGAAGAUGAAGGAUAGGCCUUCAGAGUUCAACGCCCAGUAUAUUAUGUGUCUGAAGUUUUGACACCUUCAAAACAAAGAUAUCCUCAUUAUCAGAAGCUUGUAUACGGGAUUUAUAUGACCACGAAGAAGGUUGCACAUUACUUCUCUGACCACUCCAUUACAGUCGUCAGCGACGCCCCACUGUCAGAGAUUCUGCAUAACAGAGAUGCAACUGGUCGAGUGGCGAAGUGGGCGAUUGAACUCCUUCCCCUAGAUAUCAAGUUUGAAGCAAAUAAGGCUAUCAAGUCCCAAGCAAUUGCAGAUUUCAUCACCGAGUGGAUCGAACAGCAGCUUCCGACUCAAGUUCACCCGGAGCACUGGACCAUGUUCUUCGAUGGAUCUAAGAUGCUGAAUGGUUCCGGUGCUGGGGUAGUAUUGGUCUCCCCCCGAGGAGAUAAGCUCAGAUAUGUUCUCCAGAUUCACUUUGAUUCCUCCAAUAAUGAAGCAGAAUAUGAAGCACUUUUGUAUGGGUUGCGCAUGGCCAUUUCACUUGGCGUCCGUCGCCUCAUGGUCUAUGGCGACUCAGAUUUGGUGGUUAAUCAGGCGAUGAAGGAGUGAGACGUCAGAAGUCCGGCAAUGACUGGUUAUUGCAAUGUAGUGAGAAAGCUAGAAAAGAAAUUCGAGGGGUUAGAGCUUCAUCACAUCCCCCGACUGAAAAAUCAGGUAGCUGACGAUUUGGCAAAGAUAGGCCCCAAGAGAGAAGCCAUUCCCAGCAACGUGUUCCUGGAACACAUUCAUUCGCCAUCAGUCCAAGAAGAUCCUUUUACAGAAGAAGCCCCGCAGCCGAAAAGUGCCACAGAUCCGACUGAAGUCGAAGUCCCUGCUGUGGUCGACCUAAUCAUGGAAGUCUUCGCAAUCACUCCCGACUGGACGAUACCGUACAUCGCGUAUAUCCUAAGGAAAGAACUCCCGGAGGACGAGGAAGAGGCUCGACAGAUCGUCCGCCGAUCCAAAGCCUUCACAGUCACAAGGGGACAGUUGUAUAGAGAAAGCGCGACUGGGAUCGGUCAGAAGUGCAUAACACUAGAAGAGGUUCAGAUAAUCCUUGACGACAUCCACUCGCGGACCUGUGGUCACCAUGCGUCUUCUCGGACCAUUGUGGCUAAAGCAUACCGAGCGGGAUUUUACUGGCCAAGAGCAAAUGAGAUGGCAAAAGAGAUAGUCGACCAGUGUGGAGGGUGCUAGUUCUACUCCAACAUGUCACACAAGCCUGCGUCAGCCCUGAAGACCAUUCCACUCGUCUGGCCCUUUGCUGUCUGGGGACUGGACAUGGUUGGUCCACUAAGAACAGGCAGGAGCGGUUUCACUCAUGUGCUUGUGGUAGUCGACAAGUUUACCAAAUGGAUUGAGGCUAAGCGCAUCAAGAAUCUUGAUGCUUGCACUACUAUCAGUUUCGUCAGAGGGCUAACAUUCAGAUAUGGAGUCCCGCAUAGCAUCAUCACUGACAAUGGGUCAAACUUUGAUUCGGACAAGUUCAGAGCUUUUUGCGCCUCUCAAGGCACACGAGUCGACUACGCAUCGGUCGCCCAUCCCCAGUCGAAUGGACAAGCAGAGAGAGCAAAUGGUUUGAUUCUCAAAGGACUAAAGCCUCGACUGAUGCGCGAUCUCAAGCACGCGGCAGGUGCUUAGGUCGACGAGCUUCCGUCAGUUCUGUGGGGAUUGAGGACCACCCCGAACCGGUCGACUGGAGGAACUCCAUUCUUUCUGGUUUAUGGAGCCGAGGCAGUUCUGCCGAGUGAUCUUCUUCACAACGCACCCCGAGUCGAACUUUAUACCGAAGAUGAAGCAGAACAAGCCCGGCAAGACGCAGUCGACCUACUAGAAGAAGAGAGGGAGAUGGCCAUGAUCAGAUCGACCAUUUAUCAGCAAGACUUGCGUCGAUUCCACGCUAGGAAUGUGAAGAGUCGAGCCUUCCAAGAAGGAGAUUUGGUCCUCCUAGUGGAUCAACAGAAACCACACAAGCUUGCUCCUACUUGGGAAGGCCCCUUCAUCGUCACCAGAGUCCUCCACAAUGGAGCGUAUCACCUCUACAAUGUUGAUCGCCAGAUCGAUGAGCCGCGAGCUUGGAAUGCGGAACUGCUCCGCCCCUUUUACACUUGAGUUCUCCCUUGGACGAGAUGUAAUAAGAAAAAAUUUCUGCAGUUCAUUUUUAUCAAAGGCAAGAGUGUUCCAAUAAUUGCUGUCACUUUUGUUUGCAUACGAAAUCCCCCAGUGGGUGACUUAGCUGCGAAUCCGUUUCGCCUAAGUUUGAAAAAUCCUACCGAGUGGAGAGCCAGAUUCCCACUCGGGGGCUUAGCUCCAGCCCAGUGCUUGCCUAAGUGUUCAAAAAUCCUACCAAGUGAGAGCAAUCCUCCCACUUGGGGGCUUAGCUGCAGUCCAGUACUCGCCUAAGUUCUCCCACUUAGAGACUUAGCUGCAGUCAGGCACUCGCCUAAGUUUGAAAAAAUCCUACCGAGUGGAGAGCAAUCCUCCCACUCGAGGGCUUAGCUGCAGUCCAGUACUCGCCUAAGUUCUCCCACUUAGAGACUUAGCUACAGUCAGGCACUCGCCUAAGUUUGAAAAAAUCCUACCGAGUGGAGAGCAACCCUCCGACUCGGGGGCUUAGCUGCAGUCCAGUACUCACCAAAGUUCUCCCACUUAGAGACUUAGCUANNNNNNNNNNNNNNNNNNNNNNNNNNNNNNNNNNNNNNNNNNNNNNNNNNNNNNNNNNNNNNNNNNNNNNNNNNNNNNNNNNNNNNNNNNNNNNNNNNNNNNNNNNNNNNNNNNNNNNNNNNNNNNNNNNNNNNNNNNNNNNNNNNNNNNNNNNNNNNNNNNNNNNNNNNNNNNNNNNNNNNNNNNNNNNNNNNNNNNNNNNNNNNNNNNNNNCUCUCCUUCCGAGCUACGCCACAAGUACAACAUGCGCUCUGCAAGGAGGACGAGGUGCAGGUCGACUGCUACCCUCUCCUUCCGAGCUACGCCACCAAUUCAAAAUCCUACUGAGUGGAGAGCAAACCUCCCACUCGGGGGCUUAGCUGCAGCCCAGUGCUCGCCUAAGUAUUUGAAAUCCUACCGAGUGGAGAGCAAACCUCCCACUCAGGGGCUUAGCUGCAGCNNNNNNNNNNNNNNNNNNNNNNNNNNNNNNNNNNNNNNNNNNNNNNNNNNNNNNNNNNNNNNNNNNNNNNNNNNNNNNNNAAAUCCUACCGAGUGGAGAGCAAACCUCCCACUCGGGGGCUUAGCUACAGCCCAGUGCUCGCCUAAGUAUUUAAAAAUCCUACCGAGUGGAGAGGAAACCUCCCACUCGGGGGCUUAGCUGCAGCCCAGUGCUCGCCUAUGUGUUUAGAAAUCCUACCGAGUGGAGAGCAAACCUCCCACUCGGGGGCUUAGCUGCAGCCCAGUGCUCGCCUAAGUGUUUAGAAAUCCUACCGAGUGGAGAGCAAACCUCCCACUCGGGGGCUUAGCUGCAGCCCAGUGCUCGCCUAAGUGUUUAGAAAUCCUACCGAGUGGAGAGCAAACCUCCCACUCGGGGGCUUAGCUGCAGCCCAGUGGUCGCCUAAGUGUUUAAAAAUCCUACCGAGUGGAGAGCCAGACUCCCACUCGGGGGCUUAGCUGCAGCCUAGCGCUCGCCUAAGUGUUUAAAAAUCCUACCGAGUGAGAGCAAACCCCUCACUCGGAGGGCUUAGCUGCAGCCCGGUGCUCACCUAAGUACAGGACACAACCCAAUCCGCAAGAAGUUACGCCACAAAUACAAGGUUAUUCCGAGUGAAGAUCAAGUUGCACUCGACAGAUCAAACCAUGAAGAUAUCCAACGAGAAAUCAAGUUCGGAUAAAGCCUAAAGGUCCCAGACCUCAGAUCAAAGUACUCGAGCCCUCGGCUCGGCAGAGUUUAACGGUUACAAAUCCACUCAGCAUUCCGAGGCAAAUUUAAAGUGAAGCACGACGAACUCGUCCAAGUCGAUCCCGUCUGCAAUACGAGUGGCAGCAGCGAUGAAAGUCUCCAUGAAGUCUUGAAAGCUGUGCUUCCUGGUAUUGGCAACUUGGAUGGCGGCCGGCUUUUCUUCUCGCGCCUCCUUGCAAUGGACGCGGACCAGAGACAGAGCGACAUCAGCACCACAUCUAGCAGAAGAUUUCUUCCAUUCCGCCACUCAACCCGGGACUUCAUUCUGUCGAGCCAUCAGAGACUCGAGGUCGUUCUGAAGCAUCAUCCCAGGCCAGAGUGAUGUGUCAAUCCGCGACAUCGCAACCUUCAGUCGAGCAAGAUAGUCAACAACACUGGUAACACGAGACUCCAGUCGGAGCACGUUCAUAGCAGCUUCAUCCUUCACGAGAGAAUUGGCGGGGUCCAAGCCUGGCUCCACUCGACUGGUUUCCUCUUCGAAGUUCUGGCAGAAUUCUGCAAACACGAUUCAAGAGUCAGACAUUGGCUCUACACAGGCUUGGCAACUGCAAGACAGUCGGGGCAGAGUAAUUACCUUCGAGCAUGACGAACAGCUUCUUGGUGAGUCCACCGAGAUAAGCCUCCAGAUCAUUUACCUUCCCCGCCAGCUUACCCGCCUGGUCGUGUAGAACCAUCUUUUCAUUCUUCAGUCGGCUGACCUCUUGAUUAGCUGUCUCGAGAGCAGUUUUCAGCCUCGAGUUCUCCUGUUCAAGAGUUCCGACCGAAGCCAUUUUCUCUUCUCCAAGCUUCGUUCUGCUCAAGGCCUCCUUCUGUGAUUCUGCAAGAUCUUGAUCCUUCUUCUUCAGAGCUUCUUCCAGUUUAUCUGCGGCACGUCGAGUGAAAUCAACAUCAAGAAUGGACAAGCAAGAAAAAUCACUCGUCAAGAAUGGAGAACCUCACCAGCCAUACCUUUUGCUUCUUCUUGCGCCUUCCUCAAAUUCUCUUGAGCAAGCUUCAAGUUAAGGUUGAGCUGGAUCUGCUUAUUCUCCAACUCAGUAUAGCGAGCUACAAGUUCACAGGAUUUCUGCAAAAAGAAAAAUCAGUGGACAGACGUCCAAGAUAAGUUGCUUCCCAAUAACUAAAAGACAACGAUGGCGUUUCUAAGACUAUAGCCGAAUCUAAAACAUUCGACAGUAGUCUCGGGGACUACACCCAGUGGGUGCACUCUGCGUGCCCCCAUUGUAAAAAAAGUCGACUGCCCGCAGUCGACCGGAUACAGUUCCAUUCGACAUGGCCUGACCAGACCGAAUGAAGAAAUACAGCUACAACAACACAAUAUAAAGACUACAGUCGACUGCCAGCAGUCCACCAUAGUCUCGGGGACUACACCCAGUGGGUGCACUUAGCGUUCCCCCACUCGUCCAAGAAUUGGCAGACACACCCAGUGGGUGUACAGAUAUAAAGAUCUUCAAAAAAAAAGAUUCUUCAAACAGCAUAUCGUAACAGACCAAGUGUUGAGUCGACUGACCUGGACGUUACUCUGAAGAGCCGAACUCGCGUCAUAAGCCGCUUGGCUGGCCUCCCAAGCCGCUUUCACUUGUUCCAUCAUAAUCCCCGCCUGGCGUAUGGCCUCUUUUGCAGCAGCUGCUUGGUCCUCAGGGACGGGGUACGUGGCAAAAAGCGAAGGCGGAUCCGCAGUCGACGUCAAGGGCCGCACCCUCGUCAGAGGAAUGGCGAAAGUCACAGAAGCCCGAGUGGUUUCACCACCGUCUCGGGCUACGGCCUCAGGCGCCGGAGUGGAUUGUGGGGUCUCGCCAGCCGACGCUCCCCUGUUCCUUCUCACUCUCAGCGGCACGUCAUCGUCGUCAUCCGGAAGGUUGAUAACAUGAUAAGGAGCUACAAGAAAAAAUUCAAUCGACCAGAGUUGCAAUAAGUGUCCAGUCGACUGAAGGCAGAACAUCAGUAAUCAUACCAGGGUGGAGGUAACAGCAUCCUCCAUCUCUUGGUCGUCGUCCUUGGCAGAGACCUCCGAAGUAGGAGCACUGCAAAUCUCGAAAGUCAGUCAGUUGGCUCAAUGAAUCGACCAAGGAUCUGUCCACGGUCGACAAAGGAAAACAAGUUUUGUUAUUACCCAGAAAUGGUGGGGACAGCCAUCUUCAUCUUGGGCAGAGCCUUGGGCGGCUUGGACGGCGUCGCGCGUGGGUGCUUGGGAGCCUUUCCAGUCAGCGUAGGAGAAGAGGUUCGAGGGCGUUUCGACAACUGCCCAACAGGAGCAGUCGCCUACCACGUUCCCGCGCUGGAUCAUGUGUGAGCUUGGAUCGCCUCUCCCGGUGGGGGGGGGGGGGGGGUCAACCUCCUCCUCCUCCUCUUCGCUGGAGUUGACGUCGUCGUCUCCCUCUCCUUCGCCAUCGGACUCCCACUCGCCUUGAUCGUCUCCACUCUCACAUCCGCUCGCCUCCCCUUCCUCAGUUGGCUCCUGUGCCCCGUUGGGUGUCGAGUACAUCUCAGUAGUCGCCUGGAAAACAACAGACAAGACAAAAGUUAGUCGACCAAUUCAAAGAAGACCAAUGAAGAAAACAAGAUUUCAAUCGGGAGCGUAAAGUCAGACCUGGUCCACUUCGUAUUGUUGUCGAGUGGAGAAACCCUCCUGGCGCCUCGGGGGUUGUCUUUGUUUCCUGUGAUGCUCGUCAGCCACCCCUCCAACAUCUCAUCAGUGACCUCCUCCGGGUGGAUCCGAGUGGUGUCUUCGAGGCCCGAGUACAGCCACAUCGGGUGGCCGCGAGCCUGGAGCGGUUGGAUGCGCCUCCGAAGAAAGACCUCCAGCAAGUCCAUGCCAGUCACGCCAUCACGGACGAGCUGAACCACUCGACCAACCAGCACUUUGAAUUGGGUCUUUUCUUCUGGCGUCACUUUCAGAGAAGCAGGUUUUUGAGCUCGGUCGAGAGAGAAAUGGGGAAGCCCGGUCGACUGUCCUGGGGUCACCUGGUCUUUGCAGUAAAACCAGGUCGCCUGCCAACCACGGACCGACUCUGGGAAAAUGAUAGAUGGAAAACAACUCUUUCCCCUCGUCUGGAUCGCGAGGCCCCCGCACAGCUGGAUCACUUGCGUCCUUUCCUCACUCGACUUGGCCUUCUUGACCGAUUGGGAGCGGCAAGUAAAGAUGUGCUUAAAGAGCCCCCAAUGGGGGCGGCAACCCAGGAAACCCUCACACAAGGAAAUGAAGGUAGCAAGGUACACGAUAGAGUUGGGAGUGAAGUGGUGGAGCUGCGCUCCGAAGAAAUUUAGAAAACUCCGGAAAAAAGGAUGAGGAGGCAGAGAAAACCCUCGAUCGAUGUGGGUGGUGAGAAGGACACACUCACCAUCACGGGGUUGAGGCUCGACUUCUCCCCCCUGGAGACGCGCAGCCUCGUAAGGAAUGACUCCCCCCUCAACCAUAUCGUCGAGGUCUUCCUGCCGAAUCACCGACGGCAUCCAAUCGCCCUGGAUCCAGCCUCUGGGCAGAGCAGUCCUUGAGGAAGAUCCGCCCCAAGCGGACUUCUUCCCUUUCCCCUGCACCGACGCCUUCUUCGCGCGCUCCAGAGCAGACGUCUUGCCCUUCACCAUCGUCGCCGGCGAAUCUCAAACGGGUCUGCGGCGCUAGGGUGAGAGCGGAGGUGGCGGAGGACUUCGCGAAGGGAGAAAGAAGAGAAAGAAGAGAAAGGAGAGAGCACUGUUCGGGAACCCGAGCAGGCGGCUUAUAAGAGGCCGCUCCUGAGUGGCUGACUGGUAGGCCCAGGCUAUCCCGUCAAAUCCCGCAGUAGACGCGCGCGCAGCUCGUGGCGGAAAAGGUGGCACGGGAAUCGAGGAGCUUCUGCCUUAUCACAUCCGAUUACUGCGGCCGCGCCCGUCCCGCUCGCUCCCCGAUGUUCAAAUCCCGCGAAAUCCGCGGGCUGCGGAACAACUCAUCAAAUAGAAGAUCCCUCUCGUGCCGGCACUCGGUAUUUCACAAGUAAGGAAAUUCACUCGACGGGAGACCAAGAAUGGAUCAAGGCGACCGAAAGAAGUUGACAACGUCAUCCUUGGCGAUAGAUCUAGUACAAGACGUCCAUAUGACGCUAAAAACCAGUCGGAAGGACCCCCAACUCCUUCCCCACUCGAACCUCGAUCCAUUCGGGGGCUAAUGACGAAGCUACGUACCUAGGGUAGGGGGAUGGACCUGUCCUAAGAGCCCUACCCAAGGACAUCCCUGGAAGAAGUCACCUUUCAAUCGACUUGAAGGUACCCACUCGACGGGUUUAAGACACUCGACCAAGAAGCUACCACUCGACACGAAGCCAAUCACUCGACUGCCAGGAGAUCUAAAGUCAUUCCACGGGCAAACGGUCGGCUAUUAAGUAGUCUUUAUGGUCAUUAUAGCACUUUAUUACCAGCGUUACCAGUAACGCCCCGCCUUAAUGUACAUUGAACCCUUGGUAACGUAGGCUGGCCGGGGUCCUGGCGCGCUCUAUAUAAGCCACCCCCUCCUCCGAGACAAGGGUUCGCACCUCUGUUAUUCACACGCCUAUAAUCCAAUCGACCGCCUCCGGGCACCGAGACGUAGGGCUGUUACUUCCUCCGCGAAGGGCCUGAACUCGUACACCUUGUUGUGUUUACAACUUCCCAAUAGCUGAGAUCUAGCCUCUCCAUACACACCCCCAACAUCACUGUCAGAGUUAGAACCACGACACCGCCUGCCGUGCCCCUCGCCGCACGCCCACCACCGCGCCAGCCCCCACUCUGUGGACGACCCUAGCCGCGCCCGCGCCGUGAUCCCCUUUUCCGCCCUACCUUCCCGCACUCGCCGCGGUCCCGAUGCUCCCCCGCGCCCUCUUUCAGGGGCGCCGACUGCCCCUGUCCCAUUACUCGCCGCCGCGCCUCGCCACCGCUCUACUGCUACGUUACUACUGCGCUGCGGCCGCCGCCUCUUCCCGCUGCUCCGCUAGCGCCGAAGCUCCCGGCUGGCUCUGCCACUGGUCACGUUUAACUACCGGUCUAAAUGGCCUAACCUCCCGGCAAAUGAACCCCCAGUAACCCACUGACACCGGGAGCCACAUCCCCUAAUUAACCAUUAAUAAAUUAAAACUCUUAAAUUAACAUUAGUGUAUGACAUGUGCGUCCCCUGUUAAUUAAUAAUUUACAUUAGUGUAUGACAUGUGCGUACCCUGUUAAAUAAACUGAUUUAAUUAAAAUCUAUUAACUUCGAGUCUAUGACAUAUCACUACUUGGGAAAAUCCUAGCAGUAGCGUGGGUAUUUUUCCUAUCAGUUGCGCCGGAUACCGCUCUACUGAUAAGGCACUACAGCUAACAUGUAGCAGUAAUGCGUGUCAUCCAACGCUACUGCUGUACAUGGCUAGCAGUAGCGAGCUUUAGUGCAAAGCGCUGCUGCUAAUAUCUGCAGCGCUUUUCAGCAUGAAGUGAUACUGGUAAGGGACCUCUACUACUAACUUUAUUCCCCUCGCUACUGCUAGUUUUAUUAGUUUCUGUUUUUUUCUGCAUAUUUCUUUUGUAUUUGAACAGGCUUUAUACAAUAAUAUUUAGCGUAUCAUACACAUACAAAUGUAAUCAUAGCAUAUACAUACAAAUAGUCUCGUCAAAUCAUGUCAUCAUCAUAAUCAUCAUCCAUCACAAAGUGGUCUCUCGUCAUCAUCUCUAAAAUAGCGAUACAAGUCUCGAUUACUUGCAACUACAUUGUCAUCCGUCUAAACAAUGAUAUACGCGAGAAGAGCUAUCACUAUGAGUGAGAGCGGAACUAUGCAGUACAUGAGUUUGUAUCCCUCUCUCGCAUUAGCGUGAACCUAAACUAACUACUAGUUGUCGCUCGGAAACCAGAAACCGGUACACCUGGGCCUGACACUCCGUCCACUCAUCUUAUACUCCUGGCGUAGCACUUCUGUGCCAUCGAUGAUCUAUGCACCUGCAUCGUCACAUGAGUCGAUGAUAUGCAACAUAUAUAGUUGAGCAAUAGAAACAGACAGACUUGGCAAAAAUAGAAGCAACAUAUCAUAAGCAUAAAUAACAAAGUUCAUCAUACCCAAAAUGCCCUAACUAGAGUGAUCUUCGCUAGUCGAGGAGGACGGUUUAAUUACAUCACAAAUAAUGUUUCAUCUUGCAUAACUCAAAGUGCCAUCAUACAGAAAGUAUGAACUAAACGGACACAUUGUCAUAUGUCGACAAUCACUCCAACAUGUCGUGCCAUCGAUCCAAGUCAAGGAGAUAGUCCCCGAGCUUAGUGAAAGGCUUCAGGUUGAGACGCUGAGCGGCAACGCGUGUUCGGACGUCUUCCCUCGACAUUUUUCCUUCUUCAUAGAACAUCCCUGUUUUUUCGAUGACCUCCCUCAUGAUGAUUUGGGCAAGUUCGCACUGGAAGUGAUAGAACUCAUCUUGAAGUCGAUGAUCCUCGAUAUCUCCUAAGUUCUUUGCCCAUUGCAGAAUAUGGGCAUCGCCGAAUCUAGGUGUCAUGCAAAGGUUCUGGUGAUCCCGUAUGUACUCCAUCAUGUGGUGUAGGACAUAGAAUCCAUCAUUAAGAGAAUCACUCAGUUGCUGGAUACAGCAGAAGCCGGUCUUAUGGCCGAAGGCGGGCCUGCCGUCCCUUUUCUUCUUGUCCUUGACCUCUCCACCCCGUGCACCGUAGUAAAACAUAGCACCGUCGAGAACAUACUUGAUGUGGGUGUAAUCCUUUUUUUUAAUGUUCUUCGAUGAGUCCAAGUAAAGAGCGUGGGAGUAUCGGGGGUAGAGGAUGAUGAGGAUGGUGCACCCGCCGCUGCGCAAAAUAAGUACACCUCAAAUUAAUUAGCCUCCACCGUGCAAAUGAAUGAUUGAAAUCGUAGGAAGGAUAUCCGCGUGGAUGACUUACAGGGGAUGAUAAGGCACAAGAAUCACCUCCUUGUCCUUAUUGGCACGCAUGAAAUUGACGAUGUAUUCCUCGCGUAUUCACGGUGCUUUGCGUGGACUCACAAGAAGACCUCGUGCAUGAAGUACCGAUCAGUGACACAGAUAUGAGGUAUUUGCUCAACCCCGAUGAGGUAGUUCAUGUGCAAGGCAUAAAGGUGGACGAAUGUAAAAUCCAGCUUCUUUAAGUGAAACAUGUCGAAGAUGUAAUCCAAUCGAAGGAAGAACUUGUUCGAGGGGAAUGUGUCGAUGUACGACAAUUGCAGCGACACGUUAACCACGGAGAGUGGGUAUGCUGGAUUUUUUGAGGCAAUGAGGCCUUUCUCUAUCAGCAACACAUCAUCAUGAAGUCUCCUUAUAUCGCCAAAUCAGGCCCCUAGCGCUGCUUUAGGUAGGAUUGGUUAACCGGGGAUACGCCAUAUUGCCGCACCGAGGAUAUCUAUACGGUCUUGAACCCGAGCCUGCUGAGGUGGCUGGAUCAUAGAAGCACCUUUGUUUCCUUUCCUCGGUGUCUUCCUUGGCUUCUUUGCUACCGGAAAGUCGUCUAUAAUAUGUUCAGCCUCUGGAGGCGGCAAUUCAGGCACCAACUCAUGCGCUCAAACCCUGAGUAGGCGCCAGUAUUGAGGUAUUGUUGAAUGUCAUCGUCGUCCUCAUCUAUGGCGAUGUCACUAGCGACAAAUCGAGCCUCUUCCUCACCCCGUCCGCUAUCACCCAGCACGACAGCCGACGCUAAUUGGGUAGGUGGGGUGUUGAUGUUCGUACCUAACUGCGUGCUCGUGUGUGUGCUCCCGGCCGCCUCCAGACAAAGCAGACUCUUUGACCACAACAGGACCCACCCAUUGCAACCACCAAGCCGCUGCGGGGUCUCGUCGUCAUCCCCUAGUAUCGGAGGAGCCAAAUUCUCGUGGCCCGGUUUGACACUGGCCACGAAAACUUUGAAGACAUACGGGGGGAUUGGUCGGCCAUGGAACAAUGGUUCCUUCGGCUUCAUUACCGUCACCUUCCCCACGUCCACCUUUUGGUCGCCGAUGUUGUACAAUAUGGUGCACGGGGUUACAUCGGCCUGCAAAGACACCGUGAGAUUAUACAUUUAUGGAAGAGGGCCGGUGUGACAGAUACCGUGAGGGCGUCGAGCUCAGCCAAAGACGAAGGACAGCUGAGCACGGCCGGUGUGGGAGCCGGUGUGGGAGCCGGUGCAGGUGCAGGUGCUGGUGCAUCGCUAGUCGUGCUACUCCCGAAGAAGUCAACAAUGGGAAAGUCCGCUGCAUUUUUUCUGGAUUUUGCAUGCUCCAAUUGAAAACGGCUGGAACCAAGACAAUAGACAUAUCUGCAACCACCUGUUUUGCGGCAGCUACCGUUAUCGUGACAGUCUCAGAUGAUUUCUUCUCUACUGCAAUCUCAACCUUCUUGUCGAUGUUUUCUUCAGUUAACCUCCAUCUUUCCUUUCUCUCCUCCGUGGUCUCACGGUAGCACUUCUUCCACGUGGCCCCGUCUCCGACACCGUGAACGCGUCCAUACGACGACCGAGUCUCCACUGGGAGUCCUUUCAAUAUGUUCAAUGCCCGGUUGAAUGGAGUGUCCCACUUGGGCCUCGCCAACGCCUCAGACGGCGAGUCUCUUUCGGUCGCAAUCUUGUGCUGCUCUCUCUACAAAAGGAACAAGGAUCAUUUACAAAUAUGACUAAACGUGCAGUCGAAUUGAUCAGAAACUAAAAUUACCAGCAGUCUCAUGAACUCCGUCGUGAUCGGGUCCGUCUUGAAAACCUUCUUGACCGAGUGCCAAUGGUGCCGUGCCCUGAGGACGUCAUGCUCCUACAGGACGGUGAAGUCCGCCAAGGGGUCUAGGAUGCCAGACUUUCGCGUUUCGUGUCCUCCUUGGCCCAUAUGGACCUCUUCCUGCUGUAACCACGGCUUCCGAGGUGGCGGUGCCCCAUGUUCCUUUGUUGAAACCCCUUCAUGUACUUUGACUUUGUUUUGGCAGUUUCAGCCUCGCAAGCCGCCUUGAAUAUUUCAAAGUGCUCUCCCGUGAUUGUCGGAUUAUCCUUUACAAUCUCGGAGUAGGGUUGAUACGUCUCCAAUGUAUCUAUUAUUUUUGAUUGCUCCAUGCUAUAUUAUCUACUGUUUUGGACAUUAUUGGGCUUUAUUAUCUACUUUUAUAUUAUAAUUUGGACUAACCUAUUAACCGGAGGCCCGAGCCCAGAAUUGCUGUUUUUUUGCCUGUCUUAGGGUUUCAAAGAAAAGGAAUAUCAAACGGAGUCCAAACGGAAUGAAACCUUCGGGAACGUGAUUUUCUCAACGAACAAGACCCAGGAGACUUUGACCCUACAUCAAGACACAAGGCGAAUCAUGUACGUAGCCACUAGUGAAACAUAUUAUCUUUAUUAUAUCUAUCAGAUCUCACUCUCGUAAGUGGCCGUGUUGGGAUUGACAACCCCUAUUCAUGUUGGUUGAGAGGAUUGAUUUGUUUUGUGCAAGUACAAAGGACUCGCGCGUAGCCUCCUAUUGGAUUAAUAGCUUGGUUCUCAAAAAGUGAGGGAAAUACUUACGCUACUUUGUUGCAUCAUCCCUUCCUCUUCGGGGAAAACCAACGCAGUGCUCAAGAGGUAGCAAGAAGGAUUUGCUGNNNNNNNNNNNNNNNNNNNNNNNNNNNNNNNNNNNNNNNNNNNNNNNNNNNNNNNNNNNNNNNNNNNNNNNNNNNNNNNNNNNNNNNNNNNNNNNNNNNNNNNNNNNNNNNNNNNNNNNNNNNNNNNNNNNNNNNNNNNNNNNNNNNNNNNNNNNNNNNNNNNNNNNNNNNNNNNNNNNNNNNNNNNNNNNNNNNNNNNNNNNNNNNNNNNNNNNNNNNNNNNNNNNNNNNNNNNNNNNNNNNNNNNNNNNNNNNNNNCCUCCACCCUCGUGGGCCCCCUGUUGCUCCACCGACGUACUCCUUCCUCCUAUAUAUACCUACGUACCCCCAAACGAUCAUAUACGGAGCCAAAACCCUAAUUCCACCGCCACAACUUUCUGUAUCCACGAGAUCCCAUCUUGGGGCCUGUUCCGGAGCUCCGCCGGAGGGGGCAUCAAUCACGGAGGGCUUCUACAUCAACACCAUAACCUCUCCGAUGAAGUGUGAGUAGUUCACCUCAAACCUACGGUUCCAUAGUUAUUAGCUAGAUGGCUUCUUCUCUCUUUUUGGAUCUAAAUACAAUGUUCUCCCCCUCUCUUGUGGAGAAUUAUUCGAUGUAAUCUUAUUUUUGCGGUGUGUUUAUUGAGACCGAUGAAUUGUGGGUUUAUGAUCAAGUCUCUCUAUGAAUAAUAUUUCAAUCUUCUCUGAAUUAUUUUAUGUAUGAUUGGUUAUCUUUGCAAGUCUCCUCGAAUUAUCAGUUUGGUUUGGCCCACUAGAUUGAUCUUUCUUGCAAUGGGAGAAGUGCUUAGCUUUGGGUUCAAUCUUGCGGUGUCCUUUCCCAGUGACAGUAGGGGCAGCAAGGCACGUAUUGUAUUGUUGCCAUCAUGGACAACAAAAUGGGGUUUUCAUCAUAUUGCAUCAGUCUAGCCCUCUACAUCAUGUUAUCUUGCUUAAGGCGUUAAUUUGUUUUUAACUUAAUACUCUAGAUGCAUGCUGGAUAGCGGUCGAUGAGUGGAGUAAUAGUAGUAGAUGCAGGCAAGAGCGGUCUACUUGUCUCGGACAUGAUGCCUAUAUACAUGAUGAUACCUAGAUAUUCUCAUAACUAUGCUCAAUUCUGUCAAUUGCUGAACAGUAAUUUGUUCACCCACCGUAGAAUACUUAUGCUCUCGAGGGAAGCCACUAGUGAAACCUAUGGCCCCGGGUCUAUCUUUAUCAUAUUAAUCUUCUACUACUUAGUUAUUUCCUUUGCUUUUUACUUUUCCUUUAUUUUACUUUGCAUCUUUAUCACCAAAAUACCAAUAAAAUUAUCUUUAUCAUAUCUAUCAAAUCUCACUCUGGUAAGUGGCCGUGUAGGGAUUGACAACCCCUAUUCGUGUUGGUUGCGAGGAUUUAUUUGUUUUGUGCAGGUACGAGGGACUCGCGCGUAGCCUCCUACUGGAUUGAUACCUUGGUUCUCAAAACCUGAGGGAAAUACUUACGCUACUUUGCUGCAUCAUCCCUUCCUGUUCGGGGAAAACCAACGCAGUGCUCAAGAGGUAGCAAGGGUUCCUUUUUGUCGACGAUCCGAUGUUUCAACCUUGUUUUCCAGGCGGCCAACGCGUCGCUAAACUUGGGCAUGGCGUGUUUGUUUAUCUUCUUCAUUGCCACGUCCUUAUCUGGAUCAUUAUUAUCCUUUUCAUUGCAGUCAGGGAACAAGAAUAUCUGGUGCAGCUUCUUUAGGAGGGAGGGCCUCAUAUUAUCUAUCUUCUGUAGUUUCCCAUCGUUGAUCGUGGCAGUUGUCCGUACGAUGCAACCUAUUUGAUUGCCGUAGCACGAUCGCGCUUCCUCGGGCGCUAUUGUCUCAAAAAUACCGUUGUCCAUCUCCGUGACCACCAGUCUAGUACUCAUGAGCUGGUUUGGGUGCCGUGGCCUCUUUGCUUUCGGUUCUAGACCAGCUCCGCUAGUCUCGGCGCCGGUCUCAGUCUCAUCACCGGUCUGCAUGUCGGUAUCAGUCCCCGAUGCGACAGCACAGUCGCUGCAACAUGGGUAAGGGAGACCACAUCAGUGCUGGGGUGGUCUGAAAAUUGGGACACACUUUCGCGCAUUGCGGGCCGCCUCUCAGACAGCUACUGGGGAGGCGGCGGAGUACCUGGGUGCGCGACGAAUCCCCGGGAACUCGGUGACCAACUUCCUUCCCAUGUAGCGCAUGGAGACGAUGGCGACCCCGCCGAAGAGCAGCUUAGUUGCGAGCUGCACAGCCUCGUCCACCUCCUAAGUUGGGACCUCCGCGCGAGCGUUGCGGGGCCGCCGCUCGGAUGGCUUCUGGAAGGCGCUUGUACAUGGGCACAGGGUGAAUCCCGGCAAGAGCUGGCCAUUGGUGCGCGCAAGUAGACGACGACGUCGCCGACGAAGAGCAGCCCGGCCAGCUCGCCUCACUCUCCUUUGAUUAGAAUUGAAAGAUUGGGAAGAAGCAGACUUGAGCCUGCAGGGAAAGGAUAAGGUGACGAUGCAGUCUCCACUCGUUCGGGGCGACACGCGUACUGAAUGUAUGAGAAACGCGACGUGGCAGGGACCCCAAGAUACUCCCUCCAUUUAUUUUUAGUCUGCAUAUAAAGUUUGGUCAAAGUCAAGAUUUGUAAAUUUUAACUAACUUUAUAAUAAAAAAAAUCAACAUUCACAAUAUGAAAUAAUUAUUACCAGAUGCGUCAUGAAAUGUAUUUCCAUACUAUAUAGGUUUGGUAAUGUAGAUGUUCAUAUUCUUUUAUAUAAAUGGGAAGUAGAGGCACUCUUCCAUAUAAUGAAGUUUAUAAUAUAUGUGCUUAUAUUAUACUAUAAUUGUUUGAAUAACUUAGCAUAUGUUCAGAUGUAUGAUAUCUGUAAUUUAAGCGCUUGAAUUUUACAUAUAAAUAUUUAUUAAUAAAUAUGUACCCCUAUAAUAGCUAGGCCGUGCAGUUGCACGGGUAGAUGACUAGUGAUUACAAUCUUGUUUGUGUGCAAGUCAAGCUUAUCUAGUUUACACGUAACAACUUGUAGAACAUUACAAAAUUUAUGCUUGCUAAUAACUUCUAGAACACUACAACACUUGACAUGUAAAAGGAAUUUGACGAGUCAUGGCCUACUAAAGAAAGUUACAUUACUAGUCUUAUAUCUAUCUUAAUAGACCACACAAGACUACAAAUUAAGUACCGUGACAGCCAUGAUUAUCUAGUUUAUGCGUAACAAUUUGCAGAAAAUUACAAACUUAGUUUUAGAAAAAUAGGCAAUCCAGAUUAGUGUUUGAGCUGUAAAGUGAAUAAGAUGAGUCAUGCGUGUUAUCACACCUUUUUGGUGGUGGAAUGAUAGUGCAAAACAAGGAACUUUAAUGAACAGUCCAAUAAUACACUUGUAAGUAGUGCCACCAAACAGAACAUACCAAAUGAUGAUUUUGAGAAGCAUCCAAGCACUUUCCACACAAACAAAUGCCAAUUGUGAAAGAGAUCAUUCCAUGGCAGCUAUAAAUAGCCCCGUAGCAUGACGAUCAUCCUUCCUCAUCCAUCAUUCUCAUAAGUAGAGCGCAUCAUUUAAGCCAAGCAAGCUGUGGUCAAUACAAAUCCACCAUGAAGACAUUUCUCAUCCUUGCCCUCCUUGCUAUCGUGGCGACCACCGCCACAACUGCAGUUAGAGUUCCAGUGCCACAAUUGCAGCCACAAAAUCCAUCUCAGCAACAGUCACAAGAGCAAGUUCCAUUGGUACAACAACAACAAUUUCUAGGGCAGCAACAACCAUUUCCACCACAACAACCAUAUCCACAGCCGCAACCAUUUCCAUCACAACAACCAUAUCUGCAGCUGCAACCAUUUCCGCAGCCGCAACUACCAUAUUCGCAGCCACAACCAUUUCGACCACAACAACCAUAUCCACAACCGCAACCACAAUAUUCGCAACCACAACAUCCAAUUUCACAGCAGCAGCAGCAGCAACAACAACAACAACAACAAGAACAACAAAUACUUCAACAAAUUUUGCAACAACAACUGAUUCCAUGCAUGGAUGUUGUAUUGCAGCAACACAACAUAGCGCAUGGAAGAUCACAAGUUUUGCAACAAAGUACUUACCAGCUGUUGCAAGAAUUGUGUUGUCAGCACCUAUGGCAGAUCCCUGAGCAGUCGCAGUGCCAGGCCAUCCACAAUGUUGUUCAUGCUAUUAUUCUGCGUCAACAACAAAAACAACAACAACAACCAUCGAGCCAGGUCUCCUUCCAACAGCCUCAGCAACAAUAUCCAUUAGGCCAGGGCUCCUUCCGGCCAUCUCAGCAAAACCCACAGGCCCAGGGCUCUGUCCAGCCUCAACAACUGCCCCAGUUCGAGGAAAUAAGGAACCUAGCGCUACAGACGCUACCUGCAAUGUGCAAUGUCUACAUCCCUCCAUAUUGCACCAUCGCGCCAUUUGGCAUCUUUGGUACUAACUAAGAAGAAAAUAACUCUAGUACUAGAUAUAUGAAACACCGUUUUCUCAGUCCAUGGUUUGGUCGUUGUAGCGGUGAAAAAAUAAAGUGACAUGCACUAUCAUGUAAGAACCCAAACUAUACUAGUUCAAACUUGGGAAUAAAAGACAAACACAGGUCUUGUCUACAUAUUUAUGCUGCAUCUAUUUAUAUAUUAAAAGUAAUAUAAGGUGAACCAGGAGCAAGGUAAAUAUGGUAGAAAAUUGCACGUUAAUUAGAAAUUACUAGCCCUCGAUCUGGUAAAUCUUAACAAAUAUAAUUAUCUUGACCGUUAGAUUUAUGUAACAUAUAUAAUGCUCUAGGCCUCCAACGACUGUACGUGACACAUCUGAACGCAGAUAUGUUAAAGAAAAUAUAUUUGGUAAAUGGUGGGCCUCUUUAAAAAGAGAACUUACGUACAUACACCAACUAAGAAAAACACAUACAUGUAAACGGGAAAAGGAUGAGAUUUUCUCACAUACGUGUGUUGAUGCUUAAAAGUGGCAUGAUCAUAAAGCAGCAUGCCAGGGUGAAAACCUUGCCGGGGUAAAAUCUUGCCGGUGUGAAAGCUUGCCGGUGUGAAGGCUUGCCGGUGUGGAAAGCUUGCCGGCACAGAAAGAUCGCCGGUGCUUGCCGGUGUGAAAUCUUGCCGGGGGAGAAACCUUGUCAGGGAGGAACCCUUGCCGGAGUACAAACCUUGCCGUAGUGAAACCUUGCCGGUGUGAAAGCUUGCCGGGUAGAAACAUUGCCGGUGUGGAAAGCUUACUCGGAUGGAAAACUUGCCGGGUUGGAGGCUGUGAUAGUCAAUCGAACGAGAAGUUGAAGAUGGGCUCAAAAGGUUAUUCAGAUGAUCUCGGAUGGAAAAAUGAUCUACAGGGGUUGUCUUCGUCUCGUCGAAACGAUCGAUUUUGAUAUAAAAAUCAUUCAAAUCCGAGUUCGUAUGCAAAAUUUAGAGCAAUCGGAGUGCAGCCCUGUCACGAGGCGAGAUGUGGCGCGCCCCACCAAACACAUGUCUGACGGGUAGCGCGAGGAAAUAGCCUGUGUUGCGAGACCGAUCUGACCCUCAAGAUGAUCUCUGAUCCAAAAACCUUCAACAUGAAAGUUGUUCGUCUCAUCGAAACGGUCAAGAUUGCUUUUGGGCUUGUUUUCAUCCGGGAUCGUUUACCACCGCAAAAAAGACCCGCAAGGUGCAGCCAGUUUAAACCGAACAGUUUUGGAAAGUUUGGAUAAACCAGUCCGAAUUUGACUAGGGUUUUGGACGUGAAUUGAUGUAAUUUUCUUGUAAGGAAAGCCUAGAUAAAUUCUUUGCUUGUACGGGAAGUCCAGCUGCCUCUUAUAUAUGUUGGGGGUGACGGGCGAUUGAAACAACACACAAUCGAACAAACACAUCUACUACUUUUUCGUGUUCAUCUACUUUUUAUCUCUCCCUUGUAUCUUUCUUCUCGUUCUUCGCUAGUUCUUCUUGCUGGAGGCUGCGGAUCCACGAGGCUCUAGGGGCGAGCGAAUCGACCUAGGGCAGCCCUGACGGGGUCCCUCCCGGGUGCGCGGGGUUUCGGGUCUGCAAAAGCGCCCGCCGACUGUCUUGCGUAUCACGCUAUCGGUCGGGUCUCCUUCGACGUGAGCUGCGGUGCAUCACCCCCGGCAUCGAGGGUACACGUGACGUGUUCGUGUGCGAACACACUUUUUCGCGACUCCACUGGGGACGAAGCUUUGAAUAGUCUCCAGCCUGUUCUUGCUACGAGGAGAGCGUCAUCAAGCGACUGCAUUCUACAACGGUAACAUGUAUCAUCAAUCUCCUUGCGUAGAUGCAAAUAGCCAUUAUGUUGAUGUUGCUAGAUCUUUCAAUGGACAUGUGAUGUCGGCCAGCCCUAAUGAGGAAAGGCCGACUAGUUAUUCCAUUGGAGAAACUUGGAAUUUACAGAAUCGUGACAUGCAACUUAUGAAUCUGAACUUUCGUGCAUCGGCAACAACUUUCAAUAUGCCGGUGAACAACACGAUUUGUUCGAGUGAUCAAUAUAGGACACCUCAUGUAAAAGUUUUAUCCAUCGGCAGCCGACUCGCAAUAUGCUGGUUCAUCCCCAAACAUGCCGAUGAAUGGGGGAAUCAGCCAUGCUUCUGUUAGCUAUUUGGCCGGUUAUCCUCAAACAUCAUAUACUACACCUCAUCCGAUUAAUUGUUCAGUGGCAUAUGAAACUAAAAAUAUUAAUAACACGGCUCACGUUCACGGUCAUGGACGAGUGAAUGGGGAUACUAUAGGAGCAUAUGUGUGUGACGCCCCCAAUUUAAUCGUACACUAAUCAUACACGCAAACAUGUACGAUCAAGAUCAGGGACUCACGGGAAGAUAUCACAACACAACUCUACAAAUAAAAUAAGUCAUGCAAGCAUCAUAUUACAAGCCAGGGGCCUCGAAGGCUCGAAUACAAGAGCUCGAUCAUAGACGAGUCAGCGGAAGCAACAAUAUCUGAGUACAGACAUAAGUUAAACAAGUUUGCCUUAAGAAGGCUAGCACAAACUGGGAUACAGAUUGAAAGAGGCACAGGCCUCCUGCCUGGGAACCUCCUAACUACUCCUGGUCGUCGUUCUGAGGGCAGCACGUAGUAGUAGGCACCUCCAGCGUAGUAGGAGUCGUCGUCGACGAUGGCGUCUGGAUCCUGGGCUCCAGCAUCUGGUUGCGACAACCAGGUAGAAGGGAUAGAGGGAAAAGAAGGAGAAAGCAACCGUGAGUACUCAUCCAAAGUACUCGCAAGCAAGGAGCUACACUACAUAUGUAUGCGUUGGUAUCAACUGGAAUAAGGCUAUUAUAUGUGGACUGAACUGCAGAAAGCCGGAAUACGAGGGAGAUAGCUAGUCCUUUCGAAGACUACGCUUUUGGUAACCUCCAUCUUGCAGCAUGUAGAAGAGAGUAGACGGAAGUCCUCCAAGUAGCAUCGCAUAGCAUAAACCUAACCGAUGAUCCUCCCCUCGUCGCCCUGUGCGAGAGCGAUCACCGGUUGUAUCUGGCUCUUGGAAGGGUGUGUUUUAUUAAGUAUCCGGUUCUAGUUGUCAUAAGGUCAAGGUACAACUCCGGGUCGUCCUUUUAUCGAGGGACACGGCUAUUCGAAUAGAUAAACUUCCCUGCAGGGGUGCACCACAUAACCCAACACGCUCGAUCCCAUUUGGCCGGACACACUUUUCUGGGUCAUGCCCGGCCUCGGAAGAUCAACACGUCGUAGCCCUACCUAGGCACAACAGAGAGGUCAGCACGCCGGUCUAAAUCCUAUGGCGCAGGGGUCUGGGCCCAUCGCCCUUUGCACACCUGCACGUUGCGAACGCGGCCGGAAGCAGACCUAGCCUAGUGGCGUUCCAGUCCAAUCCGGCGCGCGCCACUCAGUCACUGAUGUCACGAAGGCUUCGGCUGAUACCACGACGUCGAGUGGCCAUAACUGUCCCCGCAUAGAUGGUUAGUGCGUAUAAGCCAGAUGGCCAGACUCAGAUCAAAUACCCAGAUCUCGUUAAGCGUGUUAUGUAUCCGCGAACACCGACCAGGGCCAGGACCACCUCUCUCCUACGUGGUCUGAACCUGCCCUGUCGCUCCGCCACAAAGUAACAGUCGGGGGCCGUCGGGAACCCAGGCCCACCUCUACCGGGAUGGAGCCACCUACCCCUUCAGCCCCAACUACGAACAGUACCACAGGUAAUGUAACAGUGUAAAGUAUAUAGUAAAUGCCCGUGAUCACCUCCCGAAGUGAUCACGGCCCAGUAGUAUAGCAUGGCAGACGGACAAGAGAGUAGGGCCACUGAUGGAACACUAGCAUCCUAUACUAAGCAGUAGGAUAGCAGGUAAUGGUAACAAUAGUAGUAGCAAGGACAGGCUAUGCAUCAGGAUAGGAAUAACGGAAAGCAGUAACAUGCUACACUACUUUAAUGCAAGCAGUAUAGAGAAGAGUAGGCGAUAUCUGGUGAUCAAAGGGGGGGCUUGCCUGGUUGCUAUGGCAAGAGAGAGCGGUCGUCAACACCGUAGUCGUACUGUGUAGCAGCGCCGUCAGUCUCGGUGUCUAGCGAGAGAAGAGGGGGAGGAAACAAUAAAUAUAAUGCAAACAAAUGCAUGAUGAUGCAUGACACGACAAAGCGUGAUGCUAGGUGUGCCCUAACGCGGUACGAGGUGGUACCGGUGAAGGGGGGAAACAUCCGGGAAAGUAUUCCCGGUGUUUCGCGUUUUCGGACAGAGGAGUCAGAGGGGGAAAGUUGCGUGUUCGGUAUGCUAGGGAGGCGUGGUGGACGAACGGGUUGUCUAUCCGAGUUCGUCUCGUCGUUCUGAGCAACUUUCAUGUUGAAAAUAAUUUAAUCCGAGUUACGUAUUAAAAGAUAUGGUUUUCUAAAGAUUUUACUAAUUUCUGGAAUUUAAUUAAUUAUUUAAUUUAAUUUGAAAUUUGGAUUUAUGACAUCAGCAUGAUGUCAUGCUGACAUCAGCAGUCAACAUGGGUUGACUAGGUCAACUGAUGCGUGGGUCCAGUGGGACCCACCUGUCAUACUAUAUUAGGUUAAUUAGGGUUUAGUUAAUUGAUUAGGCUAAUCUAAUCAGGAUUACUUUGUUUAAUUAAUUCUUUAAUUAAUUAAUUAUCAUUUUAACUAAUUUUAAUUAUUAUUUAUUAAUUCAUUCAUUUUUUUAAAUUAUUAUUUUUAUUUCGUUCUCGUUUCAGGGGGGCGUGGGGCCCCGCACACAGGGCCACCGCGAGGCUGUUGCCAGCGGGCGCUGGGGCGAUGGGUGCGGGCGCACCCGAGCGGGCACUCGCCCGCAGGGCGGGAUGAGCCGCCGGCGGGCAGCGACAGGCGCGUGCCAACCGGGCGGUGGCCGCGGCUGAUAGGGCGCAGGAAGGGGAGAGGCGAGAACGCGACGCACGGGGAAGCAGCAUCAGGGGCGAGGAGCACCACGGGACGAAGCGCAGCGGGCGCCGGUCNNNNNNNNNNNNNNNNNNNNNNNNNNNNNNNNNNNNNNNNNNNNNNNNNNNNNNNNNNNNNNNNNNNNNNNNNNNNNNNNNNNNNNNNNNNNNNNNNNNNNNNNNNNNNNNNNNNNNNNNNNNNNNNNNNNNNNNNNNNNNNNNNNNNNNNNNNNNNNNNNNNNNNNNNNNNNNNNNNNNNNNNNNNNNNNNNNNNNNNNNNNNNNNNNNNNNNNNNNNNNNNNNNNNNNNNNNNNNNNNNNNNNNNNNNNNNNNNNNNNNNNNNNNNNNNNNNNNNNNNNNNNNNNNNNNNNNNNNNNNNNNNNNNNNNNNNNNNNNNNNNNNNNNNNNNNNNNNNNNNNNNNNNNNNNNNNNNNNNNNNNNNNNNNNNNNNNNNNNNNNNNNNNNNNNNNNNNNNNNNNNNNNNNNNNNNNNNNNNNNNNNNNNNNNNNNNNNNNNNNNNNNNNNNNNNNNNNNNNNNNNNNNNNNNNNNNNNNNNNNNNNNNNNNNNNNNNNNNNNNNNNNNNNNNNNNNNNNNNNNNNNNNNNNNNNNNNNNNNNNNNNNNNNNNNNNNNNNNNNNNNNNNNNNNNNNNNNNNNNNNNNNNNNNNNNNNNNNNNNNNNNNNNNNNNNNNNNNNNNNNNNGGCCUGGGGUUUGUCCUAGCUAGCAGCUGGGCCGAGUGGCCCAGUGGGGGGGGGGUUGUUUUAUUCCUUUCCCUUUUAUACCUUUUCACACUUUUCUUCUUUUGUUUUAUUUUAGUUACACAUUAAUUUUAAUUUUUGACAAAUAUAUCUAUAGCCCCUAAAAUAAUGUUUCAGAACAAUCCACUACUAUAGAAAGUUUUACCCUGAUAAAAUAGUCUAGUAUUUUAUAAAAUACCAAACUCGUUUAAAUAGUUGUUUAGCUACUAUUUAAAUCAUUUUAGUGCUUUAAAUCUUUUUACUAAAAUGUGGUUCCUCCACCAUUUGGACUUAGGAUUUAUUUGUCCCAUUUUGAACAUUUUAGUCUUAACGUUUGAAGAAUUUACCGUUUGACUCGAUUUUGAAUUUGAAUUUGAAUCGGUGUCGAACUAACACGAGAUUAGCAACAGUAACCAUCGUGACGUGGCAUCAUUAACAGAGGUUUACUGUAUAUCAAAUACCCGGGCGUCACAAUUCUCCUCCACUACAAGAAAUCUCGUCCCGAGAUUUAAGAGGGGAGUAUGGGGGAAAGAUCUGGUUACGAAAUUCUAACGAGUCUUCUCGGUCUUGCUUGCUCUUGUCGAAAUGGUCGAUCCAUUAUGUUGAUGUUUUCAUUUCUCUGCUUCAGGUCAUCAUGGUGAAGUCGUCCUUUUCUUCGGGAACUCCAACGUGCUUACGAAUAGGUAAGGGGCAGCUUGGCUACGACAGAAUGCUUAUGAGGGAAACAAUCUGGUGAUAACCCAUGAAUGAACAUAAGAUUAUCUCUCGAGUUGAACAUAUAAAAUACAUCAAGAGUAAGGUACGAAGGUACCAUGAGAAGUUUCAAACGGAUAGGCAAUCGUUCGAUGUCUGAAACAACACGCGAAAGGGGUCCAGAGCAACGAGAUUGAGUAUUGCGUCUGUUACCAGAAUAGAUCACUAGGACGGUGGUCUGUGAAUUACAUACAAGGUCACGCACGAGGAAUAACUUUAGGAACAGGGGGUGUACAGGAGAGUCAGGUUCGAUCCUGUGGAACUGUGGGUUAUGGGCCCACCAUGUGGGUUAAAGUAGGAAGGGCAGUGACGUCUUGCAAGAUCAUGUAAGCAAGGCAUGUCAGAGGAUAGCCUGUCAGCUAUGUCGACGACAACAUCGAUACCAAGGGCGAGGGACGAAGAGAACCAUUUUCCUGCUCGUUGAACGAGGCGGACCAAUAAGAAAAGUUCUCGUCCAUCAGUGGUUACCAGAAUGUCAUCAACAAAGGUAAUAGGGUCUUUCUGACAGAGUGGUACAACGAGGUGACUGCUUAUAUAAUAUAGAUUACAAGAAGGUUUAAACAGAACAAUGGAAAGGAAAAUGUGUGUAAACACACAUUUCAAGGGUAUAUCCUUCCCAAGGACAAGCAAAGCAAGAUAUCCAUGAAAGGAUAUAAUGUAGAAAACUCUUUAGGUAAGGUGAGAGAAAUUUCAUGACAUUACCCAUACAAUGGUGUUUGGAUAAAUGAGCGAGAAACAUUUAGCAUUGGGCUUCAAAUGUUCUUUGUGGAAAAUUGGAGUACCACAGACAUGCUUCGAGAUAGCGUUGGCGUGGUAUUCAAGCAAAGGUCAGACUUAGGAUGCACAAAGGAUUCAUCAGGAACAACUUAUAGAAUAAGUCUUACCAUUUCUCAAGGAAGAAUAGAUAACCUUGCUAAAAAGAAAAACUAUAACAUUAGGUCCUCCGACCAGGUGGGCUAGGCAUGCUAUCACCUUACUGGGUUAUAUUGAUAACAAUGUUAUAACUCUUGGAAAUAUGUCUCAACCAUCAUAUCUGACCGAGAUUCAGAUCCGAUUGGUGUCAGGAUACAUCAGACAUCAGGAUGCCUGAGAAGAGAAGGUGCAACACAAUUUAACGAGAUGACACUGCGAGAAUCUCAGAAAUGAUCUAUGGAAGCGAGUUCCGAAGCAAGAGUUCAUCAUUAAACCAAGGAGAGGAUGAGGGGUGGCUGAUGAACUAACGGCAAUUCAUCGAGAUUUCCAAAAGAUGGAUUUCCACAAUCAUGUGAACAAAGAGUUAACAUUUGUCAGAUCAAACAAUAUAAUGAGGUGUGCUCGAGGAAAACAUACUCAAUUAAACAUUGGUGGAAAGCUGCACCCAAAAUAUGGGCUUAGGUAGCCUGAUCAAUGUUGGAACGGUGAUUCGAUAACCAAUAUUCUAAGAAUGAAAGGUCGACCAUUAACUUCAAAGCAAUAUGGUUGCUAGAAGUACAGAAUCCAAGCAACAACGUUCACCUGUUGGUAUCCCGGUUAGAAUCAACACGGGAACCAAGAAAGAAUGAUGAUGGUGAGGAGUAUCGCUAUACCAAGAAUUCUCAAGAGGUGGAGCAAUCCUCACAACAUACAUGUCAUCAAGGACAUUGAUACUUCAAGGUAGAAUAUCAUAAAAGCUAGAUAGCAAGUUGCAUCCAUAACAUGGACAAGUUUGUGUUGGGGGAAGGCAAGAAAGUGAUCGAUGAUAACACAAAUCAUCGAGGGCAAGGAUGGUACUUUUCAUUAUGAAUUCGAUUGAUAUCCUGCAAGAGCUCAAGAUGUGGGUGCUGAUGACGACACAUUUGUCGAGAGAUUUCAUGAAGAUGUAGUCUAUCGGCGAUGACAUCAAGUCAAAGGAAUUAUGAAGCAAAAGGUUAUCGGAACCAUGGGUACGACACAAACUCAAAAUCAAGCUUGUUGUUCAAGGUGAAAGAUAUGACGAGAAAGAUCAACGUAAGCUUAGCUCAUCGUUGAAAGUUGUGUUCCGGGAAGAAGGACCAGGUAGCACAGUUAAAAUUUAGCACGGUAAUGAUAUAGCCAACCGGGCUAGGAAUGACUUGAAGGAUUAUUAAACUCAUAAGCAGUAAAAAUUACUUAUAGUUAUUGAAUCGAAGUACAGACUCGAUUCACUGUCGGUGUCCUUGAGUGUCUAACAACUCAGAACCCGGGGAAAAUUUUGGAACCAGUGAGAAAUAAUACUUGAAGAAUAACUCAUAAGAAGUUAUGCAGUUCCAUGAUAAUCUCGAGAUACCAGGGGGUAAUACUCGACGACAGAUCAAAGUAGAGGUUGGACUAGGGAUUGCUCUGUAGAAGACAAGUGCUCAAACUUGCACGAGAAAUGGAAUCAAGGAGAAACAUGGUCGAAACCUCGUCCACAGGUACAAGAUGAACUUAUAACAAGUGGACAAUUAUUUUAAGAGAAGCUUCCAUGAUAAGGUAUACAUCGUGUCCAUGGGCAUGAACACAGGGUUCAAGGUCGACUCCCACUUAUUCAACACAUAACCUUUCAUGCACCUCUCGUAUUUCAAAAAUGACAUUAGUUCUUGAAAGUUUUUACCUGGUGCAAUACCAGAUACAUAUUACCCGUGAAAUCUUUCGGGUUCACACGGAUUAGGCAAGGCGUAGGUUCAACCCAUCAGGGCAUCUUAGGAACAUAUACCACAAACUUCGGAGUAAAUAAUACAAGCUUGAAAGUAGAGCAUGGUUGACAAAAGGGGAGGAUACAAUUUACCACAGGCAUUAUGUAUCGGAGAAAGAACUCACAAGGUGAUUAAUUUUGAAGGACACUGUCGGAUAAUAAUCCAACAGUGGAAUUGGCGAUCCACAAUGGAGCUGAUGUGAGUAUCGAUACCCAAUCAGAGGAAGAAAGAAUGCAAAUGCAUCGGUUUAUAGAACAUCUGAAUAAUUCAACGUUUAAAUAGCAAAGGAAUUAUGAUUUUCAAAUCAAGGGAUCGGGAGCAAAUGCUCUGAUUAGGGAUGGGUAAGUAGAAUAGCCUUAGGGGUACAUGCGACGACAUUUGGAUUUGUUGAGAACCAGCUCAUGUUUAAAAUGACGUCUGAGCCGGAAUGAUAAUUUAAAAGGAUCAACUGAUGAUUGCGUGCAUUCGCACUCAUGUUGAGUCAAUAGGAUCAAAAAGACGAUGCCUAAGGAUACUAACGAAUAUUUCCAGACAUAUGGAAAGCAUCCAUAAUGCAAGCAGGCAAGUAUUGCAGAGCAAUAAGCUACUAAGGAUUUUUGGAGGAUCGAAUAGUAUUUUGAAGACCAUUGUGAAACACAUGAACAACUGGGGAUGAGUGGAUACUCGACAAGUGCGAGGAUUUAAUUGAAGGGGUAUUCAUGUGGCAAGGAACUGCUAGGCAGUAGGCACAAAGUAUUCUCGGAACAAUAGAGAGAAUUUUGGGGCAUCUUGUAAUAACAAGAUCAAUGAGGAAUGAUUAUAUGAAUAGCACAUGUAGGUGGUUAUCCAUAGAGGUCUAUCGAUAGAAGGGAAUUGCAAAAGCAACAGGCACAAGGUCUCGACAGAAUAUCGGAGAGUAUCUUCGAAAUCUUCUAGUGUAGUCGGCGAUCAUCUGGAUUGAAAGGGCUCUCCGGGAGAAAGUAUUUUCGAGAACCUAAGUUAGAUUUUUAGUAAAUUCAUUAAACCCGAAUAGGAGGGAGUUCAGAGUCCCAGAGCAUAGACGAGGAAUAAAAGAUCCUAAUACCACCCAAUGGCGACGUGGGCCCAUAGGCCACACAGCCAUGUUAGUAAAGGUUUUGCAAUGACUAGACUCAACUUCGGCCAAGGAGGUGGAAAGGGGAUUCCUACAGGCAGUCGGCUCUGAUACCAACUUGUGACACCCCCGAUUUAAUCGUACACUAAUCAUACACGCAAACGUGUACGAUCAAGAUCAGGGACUCACGGGAAGAUAUCACAACACAACUCUACAAAUAAAAUAAGUCAUACAAGCAUCAUAUUACAAGCCAGGCGCCUCGAAGGCUCGAAUACAAGAGCUCGAUCAUAGACGAGUCAGCGGAAGCAACAAUAUCUGAGUACAGACAUAAGUUAAACAAGUUUGCCUUAAGAAGGCUAGCACAAACUGGGAUACAGAUCGAAAGAGGCGCAUGCCUCCUGCCUGGGAUCCUCCUAACUACUCCUGGUCGUCGUUCUGAGGGCAGCACAUAGUAGUAGGCACCUCCAGUGUAGUAGGAGUCGUCGUCGACGAUGGCGUCUGGAUCCUGGGCUCCAGCAUCUGGUUGCGACAACCAGGUAGAAGGGAUAGAGGGAAAAGAAGGAGAAAGCAACCGUCAGUACUCAUCCAAAGUACUCGCAAGCAAGGAGCUACACUACAUAUGUAUGCGUUGGUAUCAACUGGAAUAAGGCUAUUAUAUGUGGAUUGAACUGCAGAAAGCCGGAAUACGAGGGGGAUAGCUAGUCCUUUCGAAGACUACGCUUCCGGUAACCUCCAGCUUGCAGCAUGUAGAAGAGAGUAGACGGAAGUCCUCCAAGUAGCAUCGCAUAGCAUAAACCUAACCGAUGAUCCUCCCCUCGUCGCCCUAUGAGAGAGCGAUCACCGGUUUUAUCUGGCUCUUGGAAGGGUGUGUUUUAUUACGGUUCUAGUUGUCAUAAGGUCAAGGUACAACUCCGGGUCGUCCUUUUACCGAGGGACACGGCUAUUCGAAUAGAUAAACUUCCCUGCAGGGGUGCACCACAUAACCCAACACGCUCGAUCCCAUUUGGCCGAACACACUUUUCUAGGUCAUGCCCGUCCUCGGAAGAUCAACACGUCGCAGCCCUACCUAGGCACAACAGAGAGGUCAGCACGCCGGUCUAAAUCCUAUGGCGCAGGGGUCUGGCCCCAUCGCCCUUUGCACACCUGCAUGUUGCGGACGCGGCCGGAAGCAGACCUAGCCUAGUGGCGUUCUAGUCCAAUCCGGCGCGCGCCACUCAGUCGCUGACGUCACGAAGGCUUCGGCUGAUACCACGACGUUGAGUGCCCAUAACUGUCCCCACGUAGAUGGUUAGUGCGUAUAAGCCAGAUGGCCAGACUCAGAUCAAAUACCCAGAUCUCGUUAAGCGUGUUAAGUAUCUGCGAACGCCGACCAGGGCCAGGCCCACCUCUCUCCUAGGUGGUCUGAACCUGCCCGGUCGCUUCGCCACAAAGUAACAGUCGGGGGCCGUCGGGAACCCAGGCCCACCUCUACCGGGAUGGAGCCACCUGCCCCUUUAGCCCCCAACUCCGAACAGUACCAUAGGUAAUGUAACAGUGUAAAGUAUAUAGUAAAUGCCCGUGAUCACCUCCCGAAGUGAUCACGGCCCAGUAGUAUAGCAUGGCAGACGGACAAGAGUGUAGGGCCACUAAUGGAACACUAGCAUCCUAUACUAAGCAGUAGGAUAGCAGGUAAUGGUAAUAAUAUUAGUAGCAAGGACAGGCUAUGCAUCAGGAUAGGAAUAACGGAAAGCAGUAACAUGCUACACUACUCUAAUGCAAGCAGUAUAGAGAAGAGUAGGCGAUAUCUGGUGAUCAAAGGGGGGGCUUGCCUGGUUGCUCUGGCAAGAGAGAGGGGUCGUCAACACCGUAGUCGUACUGUGUAGCAGCAACGUCGGUCUCGGUGUCUAGCGAGAGAAGAGGGGGAGGAAACAAUAAAUAUAAUGCAAACAAAUGCAUGACGAUGCAUGACACGACAAAGCGUGAUGCUAGGUGUGCCCUAACGUGGUACGAGGUGGUACCGGUGAAGGGGGGAAACAUCCGAGAAAGUAUUCCCGGUGUUUCACAUUUACGGACAGAGGAGUCAGAGGGGGAAAGUUGCGUGUUCGGUAUGCUAGGGAGGCGUGGUGGACGAACGAGUUGCGUAUCCGGGUUCGUCUCGUCGUUCUGAGCAACUUUCAUGUUGAAAAUAAUUUAAUCCGAGUUACGUAUUAAAAGAUAUGGUUUUCUAAAGAUUUUACUAAUUUCUGGAAUUUAAUUAAUUAUUUAAUUUAAUUUGAAAUAUGGAUUUAUGACAUCAGCAUGAUGUCAUGCUGACAUCAGCAGUCAACAUGGGUUGACUGGGUCAACUGACGCGUGGGUCCAGUGGGACCCAUGAAGGAAAUAUGCCCUAGAGGCAAUAAUAAAGUUAUUAUUUAUUUCCUUAUAUCAUGAUAAGAGUUUAUUAUUCAUGCUAGAAUUGUAUUAACCGGAAACAUAAUACAUGUGUGAAUACAUAGACCAACAGAGUGUCACUAGUAUGCCUCUACUUGACUAGCUCGUUAAUCAAAGAUGGUUAUGUUUCCUAACCAUGAACAAAGAGUUGUUAUUUGUUUAACGAGGUCACAUCAUUAGUAGAAUGAUCUGAUUGACAUGACCCAAUCCAUUAGCUUAGCACCCGAUCGUUUAGUAAGUUGCUAUUGCUUUCUUCAUGACUUAUACAUGUUCCUAUAACUAUGAGAUUAUGCAACUCCCGUUUACCGGAGGAACACUUUGGGUACUACCAAACGUCACAACGUAACUGGGUGAUUAUAAAGGAGUAUUACAGGUGUCUCCAAUGGUAGAUGUUGGGUUGGCGUAUUUCGAGAUUAGGGUUUGUCACUCCGAUUGACGGAGAGGUAUCUCUGGGCCCUCUCGGUAAUACACAUCACAUAAGCCUUGCAAGCACUGCAACUAAUAAGUUAGUUGUGAGAUGAUGUAUUACGGAACGAGUAAAGAGACUUGCCGGUAACGAGAUUGAACUAGGUAUUGGAUACCGACGAUCGAAUCUCGGGCAAGUAACAUACCGAUGACAAAGGGAACAACGUAUGUUGUUAUGCGGUCUGACCGAUAAAGAUCUUUGUAGAAUAUGUAGGAGCCAAUAUGGGCAUCCAGGUCCCGCUAUUGGUUAUUGACCGGAAGCGUGUCUCGGUCAUGUCUACAUUGUUCUCGAACCGUAGGGUCCGCACGCUUAACGUUACGAUGACAGUUAUUAUGAGUUUAUGCAUUUUGAUGUACCGAAGGUUGUUCGGAGUCCCGGAUGAGAUCACGGACAUGACGAGGAGUCUCGAAAUGGUCGAGACGUAAAGAUUGAUAUAUUGGAAGCCUAUGUUUGGGCACCGGAAGCGUUCCGGGUGAAAUCGGGAUUUUACCGGAAUACCGGGAGGGUUACCGGAACCCCCCGGGAGACUAAUGGGCCUAUUGGGCCUUAGUGGAAAAGAGAAAAGGGAAGCCCACUAGCUGGCCAGCGCCCCCCUAGAGUCCUAUUAGGAAUAGGACAAGGGGCCGGCCCCCCUUCUCUCUCUUUUUCCCCGGGAGUCCUAAUAGGAUUAGGAUUAGGGGGAGGAGUCCUACUCCCGGUGGGAGUAGGACUCCCCUGCGCCUCCUCUCUCCUAGCCGGCCGAACCCCCUGCCCCUGGCCUUUUAUAUACGGGGGCAGGGGGCACCCCAAGACACACAACUUGAUCCUUGAGAUCGUUCCUUAGCCGUGUGCGGUGCCCCCUGCCACCAAAUUCCACCUCGAUCGUACCGUUGUAGUGCUUAGGCGAAGCCCUGCGUCAGUAGUACAUCAAGAUCGUCAACACGCCAUCGUGCUGACGGAACUCUUCCUCGACGCUUUGCUGGAUCGGAGCCCGAGGAACGUCAUCGAGCUGAACGUGUGCUAAGAACUCGGAGGUACCGGAGUAACGGUGCUUGGAUCGGUCGGAUCGGGAAGAAGACGUACGACUACUUCCUCUACGUUGUGUGAUCGCUUCCGCAGUCGGUCUGCGUUGGUACGUAGACAACACUCUCCUCUCUCGUUGCUGUGCAUCACCAUGAUCUUGCGUGUGCGUAGGAAAAUUUUUGAAAUUACUGCGUUACCGAACAGUGGCAUCUGAGCCUGGUUUUAUGGUUUGAUGUUAUAUGCACGAGUAGAACACAAGUGAGUUGUGGGCGAUACAAGUCAGACUGCCUACCAGCAUGUCAUACUUUGGUUCGGCGGUAUUGUUGGUUGAGACGAUCCGGACCAACCUUACGCGUACUCUUACGCGAGACCGGUUCCCUCGACGUGCUUUGCACAUAGAUGGCUUGCGGAAGACUGUCUCUCCAACUUUAGUUGAACCAAGUGUGACUACGCCCGGUCCUUGAGAAGGUUAAAACAGAGUCUAUUUGACGAACUAUCGUUGUGGUUUUGAUGCGUAGGUGAGAUGAGUUCUUACUUAAGCCCGUAGCAGCCACGUAAAACUUGCAACAACAAAGUAGAGGACGUCUAACUUGUUUUUGCAGUGUAUGUUGUGAUGUGAUAUGGUCAAGGCAUGAUGCUGAUUUUAUUGUAUGAGAUGAUCAUGUUUUGUAACUAAGUUAUCGGCAACUGGCAGGAGCCAUAUGGUUGUCGCUUUAUUGUAUGCAAUGCAAUCGCGAUGUAAUGCUUUACUAGAUUACUAAACGGUAGUAAUAGUCGUGGAAGCAUAAGAUUGGCAAGACGACAACGAUGCUACGAUGGAGAUCAAAGUGUCGCGCCGGUGACGAUGGUGAUCAUGACGGUGCUUCGGAGAUGGAGAUCACAAGCACAAGAUGAUGAUGGCCAUAUCAUAUCACUUAUAUUGAUUGCAUGUGAUGUUUAUCCUUUUAUGCAUCUUAUCUUGCUUUGAUUGACGGUAGCAUUAUAAGAUGAUCUCUCACUAAAUUAUCAAGAAGUGUUCUCCCUGAGUAUGCACCGUUGCCAAAGUUCGUCGUGCCCAGACACCACGUGAUGAUCGGGUGUGAUAAGCUCUACGUCCAUCUACAACGGGUGCAAGCCAGUUUUGCACACGCAGAAUACUCAGGUUAUACUUGACGAGCCUAGCAUAUGCAGAUAUGGCCUCGGAACACAGAGACCGAAAGGUCGAGCGUGAAUCAUAUAGUAGAUAUGAUCAACAUAACGAUGUUCACCAUUGAAAACUACUCCAUCUCACGUGAUGAUCGGUUAUGGUUUAGUUGCUUUGGAUCACGUGAUCACUUAGAAGAUUAGAGGGAUGUCUAGCUAAGUGGGAGUUCCUAAGUAAUUUGAUUAACUGAACUUAAACUUAUCAUGAACUUAGUACCUGAUAGUAUCUUGCUUGUUUAUGUUGCUUGUAGAUAGAUGGCUCGUGCUAUUGUUCCGUUGAAUUUUAAUGCGUUCCUUGAGAAAGCAAAGUUGAAAGAUGAUGGUAGCAAUUACACGGACUGGGUCUGUAACCUGAGGAUUAUCCUCAUUGCUGCACAGAAGAAUUACGUCCUGGAAGCACCGCUGGGUGACAGGCCUGCUGCUGGAGCAACGCCAGAUGUUAUGAACGUCUGGCAGAGCAAAGCUGAUGACUACUCGAUAGUUCAGUGUGCCAUGCUUUACGGCUUAGAAUCGGGACUUCAACGACGUUUUGAACGUCAUGGAGCAUAUGAGAUGUUCCAGGAGUUGAAGUUAAUAUUUCAAGCAAAUGCCCGAAUUGAGAGAUAUGAAGUCUCCAAUAAGUUCUAUAGCUGUAAGAUGGAGGAGAACAGUUCUGUCAGUGAGCAUAUACUCAAAAUGUCUGGGUAUAAUAAUCACUUGAUUCAGAUGGGAGUUAAUCUUCCAGAUGAUUGCAUCAUUGACAGAAUUCUCCAAUCACUACCACCAAGCUACAAGAGCUUCGUGAUGAACUAUAAUAUGCAAGGGAUGAACAAGACUAUUCCCGAGCUCUUCGCAAUGCUGAAAGCUGCGGAGGUAGAAAUCAAAAAGGAGCAUCAAGUGUUGAUGGUUAGCAAGACCACUAGUUUCAAGAAAAAGGGUAAAGGGAAGAAGAAGGGAAACUUCAAGAAGAACAGCAAGCAAGUUGCUGCUCAAGAGAAGAAACCCAAGUCUGGACCUAAGCCUGAAGCUGAGUGCUUCUACUGCAAGCAGACUGGUCACUGGAAGCGGAACUGCCCCAAGUAUUUGGCGGAUAAGAAGGAUGGCAAAGUGAGCAAAGGUAUAUGUGAUAUACAUGUUAUUGAUGUGUACCUUACUAGAGCUCGCAGUAGCACCUGGGUAUUUGAUACUGGUUCUGUUGCUAAUAUUUGCAACUCGAAACAGGGACUACGGAAUAAGCGGACACUAGCAAAGGACGAGGUGACGAUGCGCGUGGGAAACGGUUCCAAAGUCGAUGUGAUCGCGGUCGGCACGCUGCCUCUACAUCUACCUUCGGGAUUAAUAUUAGACCUAAAUAAUUGUUAUUUGGUGCCAGCGUUGAGCAUGAACAUUAUAUCUGGAUCUUGUUUAAUGCGAGACGGUUAUUCAUUUAAAUCAGAGAAUAAUGGUUGUUCUAUUUAUAUGAAUAAUAUCUUUUAUGGUCAUGCACCUUUGAAGAGUGGUCUAUUCUUGUUGAAUCUCGAAGAUAGUGAUACACAUAUUCAUAAUGUAGAAGCCAAAAGAUGCAAAGUUAAUAAUGAUAGUGCAACUUAUUUGUGGCACUGCCGUUUAGGUCAUAUCGGUGUAAAGCGCAUGAAGAAACUCCAUACUGAUGGGCUUUUGGAAUCACUUGAUUAUGAAUCACUUGGUACUUGCGAACCGUGCCUCAUAGGCAAGAUGACUAAAACACCGUUCUCCGGUACUAUGGAGAGAGCAACAGAUUUGUUGGAAAUCAUACAUACCGAUGUAUGUGGUCCGAUGAAUAUUGAGGCUCGCGGCGGAUAUCGUUAUUUUUCACCUUCACAGAUGAUUUAAGCAGAUAUGGGUAUAUCUACUUAAUGAAACACAAGUCUGAAACAUUUGAAAAGUUCAAGGAAUUUCAGAGUGAAGUUGAAAAUCAUCGUAACAAGAAAAUAAAAUUUCUACGAUCUGAUCGUGGAGGAGAAUAUUUGAGUUACGAGUUUGGUGUACAUUUGAAAAAUUGUGGAAUAGUUUCGCAACUCACGCCACCCGGAACACCACAGCGUAAUGGUGUGUCCGAACGUCGUAAUCGUACUUUACUAGAUAUGGUGCGAUCAAUGAUGUCUCUUACUGAUUUACCGCUAUCGUUUUGGGGUUAUGCUUUAGAGACGGCCGCAUUCACGUUAAAUAGGGCACCAUCAAAAUCCGUUGAGACGACGCCUUAUGAACUAUGGUUUGGCAAGAAACCAAAGUUGUCGUUUCUCAAAGUUUGGGGCUGCGAUGCUUAUGUGAAAAAGCUUCAACCUGAUAAGCUCGAACCCAAAGCGGAGAAAUGUGUCUUCAUAGGAUACCCAAAGGAAACUGUUGGGUAUACCUUCUAUCACAGAUCCGAAGGCAAGACAUUCGUUGCUAAGAAUGGAUCAUUUCUAGAGAAGGAGUUUCUCUCGAAAGAAGUGAGUGGGAGGAAAGUAGAACUUGACGAGGUAACUAUACCUGCUCCCUUAUUGGAAAGUAGUACAUCACAGAAAACUGUUUCUGCGACACCUAUACCAAUCAGUGAGAAAGCUAAUGAUGAUGAUCAUGAAGCUUCAGAACAAGAUACUACUGAACCACGUAGAUCAACCAGAGUGAGAUCCGCACCAGAGUGGUACGGUAAUCCACUUCUGGAAGUCAUGAUGCUAGAUCAUGAUGAACCUACGAACUAUGAAGAAGCGAUGGUGAGCCCAGAUUCCGCAAAGUGGCUUGAGGCCAUGAAAUCUGAGAUGGGAUCCAUGUAUGAGAACAAAGUAUGGACUUUGGUUGACUUGCCCGAUGAUCGGCAAGCAAUUGAGAAUAAAUGGAUCUUCAAGAAAAAGACUGACGCUGACGGUAAUGUUACUGUCUAUAAAGCUCGACUUGUCGCAAAAGGUUUUCGACAAGUUCAAGGGGUUGACUACGAUGAGACUUUCUCACCCGUAGCGAUGCUUAAAUCCGUCAGAAUUAUGUUAGCAAUUGCCGCAUUUUAUAAUUAUGAAAUAUGGCAGAUGGAUGUCAAAGCUGCAUUCCUGAAUGGAUUUCUGGAAGAAGAGUUGUAUAUGGUACAACCAGAAGGUUUUGUCGAUCCAAAAGGAGCUAACAAAGUAUGCAAACUCCAGCGAUCCAUUUAUGGACUGGUGCAAGCAUCUCGGAGUUGGAAUAAACGCUUUGAUAGUGUGAUCAAAGCAUUUGGCUUUAUACAGACUUUUGGAGAAGCCUGUAUUUACAAGAAAGUGAGUGGGAGCUCUGUAGCAUUUCUGAUAUUAUAUGUGGAUGACAUAUUGCUGAUUGGAAAUGAUAUAGAAUUUUUGGAUAGCAUAAAGGGAUACUUGAAUAAAAGUUUUUCGAUGAAAGACCUUGGGGAAGCUGCUUACAUAUUAGGCAUAAAGAUCUAUAGAGAUAGAUCAAAACGCUUAAUUGGACUUUCACAGAGCACAUACCUUGACAAGAUUUUGAAGAAAUUCAAAAUGGAUCAAGCAAAGAAAGGGUUCUUGCCUGUGUUACAAGGUGUGAAGUUGAGUAAGACUCAAUGCCCGACCACUGCAGAAGAUAGAGAGAAAAUGAAAGAUGUUACCUAUGCUUCAGCCAUAGGCUCUAUCAUGUAUGCAAUGCUGUGUACCAGACCUGAUGUGUGCCUUGCUAUAAGUUUAGCAGGGAGGUACCAAAGUAAUCCUGGAAUGGAUCACUGGACAGCGGUCAAGAACAUCCUAAAAUACCUGAAAAGGACUAAGGAUAUGUUUCUCGUAUAUGGAGGUGACAAAGAGCUCACCGUAAGAGGUUACGUUGAUGCAAGCUUUGACACUGAUCCGGACGAUUCUAAAUCGCAAACCGGAUACGUGUUUACUUUAAACGGUGGAGCUGUCAGUUGGUGCAGUUCUAAACAAAGCGUCGUAGCGGGAUCUACAUGUGAAGCGGAGUACAUAGCCGCUUCGGAAGCAGCGAACGAAGGAGUCUGGAUGAAGGAGUUCAUAUCCGAUCUAGGUGUCAUACCUAGUGCAUCGGGUCCAAUGAAAAUCUUCUGUGACAAUACUGGUGCAAUUGCCUUGGCAAAGGAAUCCAGAUUUCACAAGAGGACCAAACACAUCAAGAGACGCUUCAACUCCAUCCGGGAUUUAGUCCAGGUGGGAGACAUAGAGAUUUGCAAGAUACAUACGGAUCUGAAUGUUCCAGACCCGUUGACUAAGCCUCUUCCACGAGCAAAACAUGAUCAGCACCAAGGCUCCAUGGGUGUUAGAAUCAUUACUGUAUAAUCUAGAUUAUUGACUCUAGUGCAAGUGGGAGACUGAAGGAAAUAUGCCCUAGAGGCAAUAAUAAAGUUAUUAUUUAUUUCCUUAUAUCAUGAUAAGAGUUUAUUAUUCAUGCUAGAAUUGUAUUAACCGGAAACAUAAUACAUGUGUGAAUACAUAGACCAACAGAGUGUCACUAGUAUGCCUCUACUUGACUAGCUCGUUAAUCAAAGAUGGUUAUGUUUCCUAACCAUGAACAAAGAUUUGUUAUUUGUUUAACGAGGUCACAUCAUUAGUAGAAUGAUCUGAUUGACAUGACCCAAUCCAUUAGCUUAGCACCCGAUCGUUUAGUAAGUUGCUAUUGCUUUCUUCAUGACUUAUACAUGUUCCUAUAACUAUGAGAUUAUGCAACUCCCGUUUACCGGAGGAACACUUUGGGUACUACCAAACGUCACAACGUAACUGGGUGAUUAUAAAGGAGUAUUACAGGUGUCUCCAAUGGUAGAUGUUGGGUUGGCGUAUUUCGAGAUUAGGGUUUGUCACUCCGAUUGACGGAGAGGUAUCUCUGGGCCCUCUCGGUAAUACACAUCACAUAAGCCUUGCAAGCACUGCAACUAAUAAGUUAGUUGUGAGAUGAUGUAUUACGGAACGAGUAAAGAGACUUGCCGGUAACGAGAUUGAACUAGGUAUUGGAUACCGACGAUCGAAUCUCGGGCAAGUAACAUACCGAUGACAAAGGGAACAACGUAUGUUGUUAUGCGGUCUGACCGAUAAAGAUCUUCGUAGAAUAUGUAGGAGCCAAUAUGGGCAUCCAGGUCCCGCUAUUGGUUAUUGACCGGAAGCGUGUCUCGGUCAUGUCUACAUUGUUCUCGAACCGUAGGGUCCGCACGCUUAACGUUACGAUGACAGUUAUUAUGAGUUUAUGCAUUUUGAUGUACCGAAGGUUGUUCGGUGUCCCGGAUGAGAUCACGGACAUGACGAGGAGUCUCGAAAUGGUCGAGACGUAAAGAUUGAUAUAUUGGAAGCCUAUGUUUGGGCACCGGAAGCGUUCCGGGUGAAAUCGGGAUUUUACCGGAAUACCGGGAGGGUUACCGGAACCCCCCGGGAGACUAAUGGGCCUAUUGGGCCUUAGUGGAAAAGAGAAAAGGGAAGCCCACUAGCUGGCCGGCGCCCCCUAGAGUCCUAUUAGGAAUAGGACAAGGGGCCGGCCCCCCUUCUCUCUCUUUUUCCCCGGGAGUCCUAAUAGGAUUAGGAUUAGGGGGAGGAGUCCUACUCCCGGUGGGAGUAGGACUCCCCUGCGCCUCCUCUCUCCUCGCCGGCCGAACCCCCUGCCCCUGGCCUUUAUAUACGGGGGCAGGGGGCACCCCAAGACACACAACUUGAUCCUUGAGAUCGUUCCUUAGCCGUGUGCGGUGCCCCCUGCCACCAAAUUCCACCUCGAUCGUACCGUUGUAGUGCUUAGGCGAAGCCCUGCGUCGGUAGUACAUCAAGAUCGUCAUCACGCCGUCGUGCUGACGGAACUCUUCCUCGACGCUUUGCUGGAUCGGAGCCCGAGGAACGUCAUCGAGCUGAACGUGUGCUAAGAACUCGGAGGUACCGGAGUAACGGUGCUUGGAUCGGUCUGAUCGGGAAGAAGACGUACGACUACUUCCUCUACGUUGUGUGAUCGCUUCCGCAGUCGGUCUGCGUUGGUACGUAGACAACACUCUCCUCUCUCGUUGCUGUGCAUCACCAUGAUCUUGCGUGUGCGUAGGAAAUUUUUUGAAAUUACUGCGUUACCCAACAACCCACCUGUCAUACUCUGUUAGGUUAAUUAGGGUUUAGUUAAUUGAUUAGGCUAAUCUAAUCAGGAUUACUUUGUUUAAGUAAUUCUUCAAUUAAUUAAUUAUCAUUUUAACUAAUUUAAUUAUUAUUUAUUAAUUCAUUCAUUUUUUUAAAUUAUUAUUUUUAUUUCGUUCUCGUUUCAGGGGGGCGUGGGGCCCCGCACACGGGGCCACCGCGGGGCUGUUGCCAGCGGGCGCUGGGGCGCUGGGUGCGGGCGCACCCGAGCGGGCACUCGCCCGCAGGGCGGGACGAGGCUGCCGAGGCAUCGACAGCGGGGCAAGCCNNNNNNNNNNNNNNNNNNNNNNNNNNNNNNNNNNNNNNNNNNNNNNNNNNNNNNNNNNNNNNNNNNNNNNNNNNNNNNNNNNNNNNNNNNNNNNNNNNNNNNNNNNNNNNNNNNNNNNNNNNNNNNNNNNNNNNNNNNNNNNNNNNNNNNNNNNNNNNNNNNNNNNNNNNNNNNNNNNNNNNNNNNNNNNNNNNNNNNNNNNNNNNNNNNNNNNNNNNNNNNNNNNNNNNNNNNNNNNNNNNNNNNNNNNNNNNNNNNNNNNNNNNNNNNNNNNNNNNNNNNNNNNNNNNNNNNNNNNNNNNNNNNNNNNNNNNNNNNNNNNNNNNNNNNNNNNNNNNNNNNNNNNNNNNNNNNNNNNNNNNNNNNNNNNNNNNNNNNNNNNNNNNNNNNNNNNNNNNNNNNNNNNNNNNNNNNNNNNNNNNNNNNNNNNNNNNNNNNNNNNNNNNNNNNNNNNNNNNNNNNNNNNNNNNNNNNNNNNNNNNNNNNNNNNNNNNNNNNNNNNNNNNNNNNNNNNNNNNNNNNNNNNNNNNNNNNNNNNNNNNNNNNNNNNNNNNNNNNNNNNNNNNNNNNNNNNNNNNNNNNNNNNNNNNNNNNNNNNNNNNNNNNNNNNNNNNNNNNNNNNNNNNNNNNNNNNNNNNNNNNNNNNNNNNNNNNNNNNNNNNNNNNNNNNNNNNNNNNNNNNNNNNNNNNNNNNNNNNNNNNNNNNNNNNNNNNNNNNNNNNNNNNNNNNNNNNNNNNNNNNNNNNNNNNNNNNNNNNNNNNNNNNNNNNNNNNNNNNNNNNNNNNNNNNNNNNNNNNNNNNNNNNNNNNNNNNNNNNNNNNNNNNNNNNNNNNNNNNNNNNNNNNNNNNNNNNNNNNNNNNNNNNNNNNNNNNNNNNNNNNNNNNNNNNNNNNNNNNNNNNNNNNNNNNNNNNNNNNNNNNNNNNNNNNNNNNNNNNNNNNNNNNNNNNNNNNNNAGUGGCCCAGUGGGGGGGGGGGUUGUUUUAUUCCUUUCCCUUUUAUACCUUUUCACACUUUUCUUCUUUUGUUUUAUUUUAGUUACACGUUAAUUUUAAUUUUAGACAAAUAUAUCUAUAGCCCCUAAAAUAAUGUUUCAGAACAAUCCACUACUAUAAAAAGUUUUACCCUGAUAAAAUAGUCUAGUAUUUUAUAAAAUACCAAAGUCGUUUAAAUAGUUGUUUAGCUACUAUUUAAAUCAUUUUAGUGCUUUAAAUCAUUUUACUAAAAUGUGGUUCCUCCACCAUUUGGACUUAGGAUUUAUUUGUCCCAUUUUGAACAUUUUAGUCUUGACGUUUGAAGAAUUUACCGUUUGACUCGAUUUUGAAUUUGAAUUUGAAUCGGUGUCGAACUAACACGAGAUUAGCAACAGUAACCAUCAUGACGUGGCAUCAUUAACAGAGGUUUACUGUAUCUCAAAUACCCGGGCGUCACAAUGUGCCUAAUAUUGCAGGAGAUGAGGUGGCUCUGGCUGCAUUAAAAUUUUUAGCCCAAAAUAAGAAGAUUAGUGAUAUUUUCCUUGAGCAACACGACAAGGGAUUGGUUCCUCAUUAUGAGGCAAUAAUAGCUAGGGUUUUGAAAGAAGACCAAGUGUUGCCGAUUGAUCAAAUUGUCGAGAGAAAAUAUUCAACAAUGAUGCAGAUGCCUUCACCUAUCAUUGCAACAUGUUAUACACCCCCUGUACAAGCGCAAAAUUUCGGCAACAUCAAUUCAUUGCCGAAAGAUCCUAAAAGUAUUGGGGGGCAAGCCGAUCCAAGCAGGGUUGAGUUUAAAGAAAAAUAUCUAGCCCAGGUGGACAAGAUCAAGCCAAAGCUCACAGGGAAUAGAGUCAACGAAUUUACUACACCUACCCUUGAGGAAUUACCAGCAGAAUAUCAACAGGCCUACGAAGCACUCAAGAAGAAACGUGGAGAGAGAUAUUUGCAAGAAUACGUCAAGUGCCUUCCUCCAUGUAGCAACCAUGUUGGCCCUUCUACACUAUUGAGGCAAGAUAAAAAAGAAGCUUUGCAAGCAAACCAGCAAAAAAGGAUUCACUCGGCUAAUACGGUGGAUUCGGUUGAAACCGGAUUGAGCAACAGGAUGUUUAAGGCCGAGUGCGUUGCAUCGUGCCAGCCGAGUGCAUCGUUCCAGACGAGUGCAUCACCAGCUAAAGCCGAGUGCAUCAAGCCAACUAUUGCCUCGUGUACGAAAAUAGAAGAUGCAAGCUUGGCUGAGCAAAGGAACGACAAACGCAACAAAUUGGUUGUGCUCGAUUUUUCUGGAUGUAAGGGAGCUUACAUGCUACCUUAUGAGUUUCAUGCUAAAGAUAUUGAUGAGCAUCAAGAACACAGUAAUGGCUGAACACAGUUCAGUUAACGAUGAACAUCAAGACCAAGAAAAUGCGGCCGAGCAAAGUUCAACUGACAAAGAGCGUCCGAGUGAAAUCCACUCGGGCAAUCCGACUGAAAUAUACUCGGGCAAUUCAAGUGAAAUAUACUCGGGCAACCUGAGUGAUGAGGCACCAGAUCCAGAAAAAGAGGAAGAGGCAUUGGAGAAUUAUUCAGAAGUGGAGCAAUGUAUUGUUCCAGUGGUACAACCAUCUUCUCCUUCCAACGUCUUCACAAAGGUACACCUAGCAGAUAGUUUACUCAAUUUUCGAUUUGGUCAAAAUCAUAUUGUUGAUGCACCUAUUAGUAAGAUUCUAAUUAAUUUUGAAAGACCAAUUGAAAUGAGUAAUCUUUUUGUUAGGAAGGAUCUUGUCACUAAUCAUGAUAGUCAACACAUGGUAUCGUUCAUAGAGGUUAAUAGUGACAACUUAUCAAAACCAAAGUUGUUCUUGUCAUGCCAACUGAACUUUGUAUUCAUAUGGACAACUUUGUUUGUUUCAUGCCUAGCUAACAUUUGGACUCCUAUGAGCCGUAUAUUCUGUAAUUAUUUUAGUUGCAGAAACAUAAAGUCAGGUCCAAAGUCCUUCGAAGCCGAUUCAAAUGCAUCAGGAAAAGAAGAUGAAUCUUUCCCAAUUGAUAAAAUUGGCGAGCAAAAAUAUGGUUUUACAACAAUGCAUAUGCCUUCACCUAAUACUACAUCAUAUUAUACAGCCCCUACACAAUUGCAAAGUUUCGGCAACACCCAUGUGCCAUUGCCGAAAGAAUCUAAAAGCAAUGGGGGACAAUCGUAUCCGAAGUGGGCUGAAAAUGAGAAAAAGAUUAAAGCCAAUUUCGCCGCUCGCCGGCAGAAACAAAAAGAAACAGAAUUGGCUCAAGUGAAAGAAGCAUUGCCAAUUGGUAGAAGCAAUGUAAAGAAAGAUGAUUCAGAACAUGAAAGUACUAAGGUUAAAAGAGCCGAAUCAAGGAGUAUAUAUUCUGAAUCCAUCAAAUGCAAAGAGGCAAGCAUUAUUGAGAAAGGGCAUGGCAAGCAUAGCAAAGCGACCAUACUUGAUUUUUCUAAAGUUAAUGGAACCUACUUCCUGCCCUAUGAGUUUUGUGCCAGAGAAAUUGAUGAACUUCAAGGACAAGAAUAAGUAGCCGAACAAAGUUCGGCCGACAAAAAUCUUCAAUGUAAUGAUGCACGAAAUCAACAAAAAGAUGAUGAAGAAGCGUUGGGGAGCCAUCCAAAGGCGGAGCAAGAUAUUGUUCAAGUCACACCACCAUCGUGCUCUCCCAACAUAUUUGAAGAGGUAUGUUUAGCAAGUAAUUUACCUAUUUUCAGAUUUGGUCAGGACUUUAUUGUUGAUGCAUCUAUUAGAAAAAUCCUCAUAAGUAAUUUUGAAAGACCAAUGAAGCAGGGUAAUUUACUUGCUAGCAAUAAAGUUGUUAUUGAGCAUAUCGGUCAACCCAUUACGCCAUUUAUAAAGACCGAUAGUGACUUAUUAUUACAGCCAAAGUUUUCCCCGUUGCUUUAUCUAAAGUUCAUAUCUAUUUGGGUAGCUUUGCUUAUUUCAUACUUGGCUUGCACUUGGUCCCAAUUGAGACAUGUGUGUUCUAACUAUUUUCGUUUUAGAAAUUUAAAGCCAAGAUUAAAUUCUGUUGAGAAAACCGAUGCUAGUAUAAUAUCUUACCCAAAGACAUCGGAGAUAGAUUGCAAAACACAAUGCAUAGCCGAAUGGUGUGAUGCAAAAUCUGAACCAUUCGUUUGCUUCAUUCCGAAGCCGUUCUCACAGCAAGAUCGGCUAGAAAACAAGAAGUAUACCUUCAAUUCAAGCAUGUGUGUUCAAAUAUUUGAUUUGUUGCUGAAAAAUAAUUACAUUACAAUUCUUGAUCACCAUGUUAAGCCAUCAAUCCAAGGACGAAUGUAUUGUAAGUUGCAUGAUUCGUCCAAGCAUAAUUUUGAGGAUUGCAACAUGUUUCGUCAAAUAGUUAAAUCGGCCAUUGAAAAAGGACGAUUGAAGUUUGUUGAAACACCAAGAGAUGACCAGUCUAUUCCGAUUGGUCCCGAUGGCAAAAAGUUUUUGCAUCGACUGCUUCAAGCCGAUCCAUUUAAAGAGAAGGUAAAAACUGCAGGUGAUGGGAUCAAGCUUUCAAGUAAAGAAGUUGUUGAAGAGCAUAAUGAACAUAAUCUUGAGGGUGAGAAUUCCAUCCAAGCUACAAUGGAGACGCCAAGGACUGGGGGGCAGCAAGCAAAUCCAACGAUCGAUGAAAGAAAACCAAAAGAAAACAAAGGCCGAAAUAAGCGCAAGUGUAAAAGAUCAAAAAUCACCUUCGAUGAACUAUUUGAGAAAUAUCAAAAGAAGAGUGAAGAGAAGAAUGCUUAUCGGCCCAAUCAUGCAAAGAAACCAAGAUCACCCCCAAGGCGCAAAUAUGAGGAUCGGUAUUGGCAAUGUGAGAGUUUCAAUGCAACAUAUUCAUAUCCUUAUUUUGGGCCGCCAAUGCCAAUGCCGUGGAUGCCUCCCUAUGCUCAUGUAGAUCCAUAUUCAUCAUGGGACAGGUAUGAUACAAGGGCACAUUCUCCAUCUUAUUUUAGACCAUCUCACCAAUAUUAUGCAGCUCCGAGAAGAUCAACAUUUGAACAGUCACAUGUUAAAGACCGUUUCAAUUAUAAGGAAUCGGUCCGGACACCAUGGAUGAAAAAAGAGGUGGUCAAGCAAGUCUACCGCGUGAAACUAUGAAGGACCGAGCCGAAGGAUUCAACAUCUUUGGUCUACACAUUAUCCAAAUUCUUCAACUAUGUCGUUAACGCCUAUGCCAUGGAAUUCGUCAUCAGGUAUGAUCGGUAACCCUCAAUGGGCUUAUUUUAAUCCAUGGAUGCAAUAUAAUUUCUUACGUCAUGAAAGGGUAUUACCAAGUCACUAUACAUUUGAUUAGCUACAAGUUUGUUGCUGAUCCAAAGGGCCGAAAUACUUGAUUUGUCAUUUCAUUUGUUUAUUUCGGCUAUAUGUGCUUUGAAUGAAGUUUAGAUGGUAAUGGCCGAUGAUAUUUAUCUAUCGUCCUAAGAGUAUGUCAAUGCAUGGCAGGUGUAGUAUUCUAAUAUCGUCCUUAGUUUGAUUGGUGAGCGAGACAAUGUACAUGCUCAUGAAAAUUUAUAUGUAUGCCUAUAUUAUGAUUGAAUGGAGUUGAGACAUCAUGACCGAUGUCAUUGAAUAUAUGCUGCAUAGACCAAUUCAUAGCUGCGGAAUUGGUUGAUGGGCUUAUACUUUGUUUGGAUAUGAUUUGGCUUAUGCAUCUUUGAGAUCUAUAAGAGGCCAAAUCAUAGUUGAUUUUGUUACUGAACAUCGGAUUAGUGUCAUGCAUAAUAUUAAUAUUAGCCUUGUCUCUCUAGUACUAUGGAGAUUAUGUUUUGAUGGUUCAAUUCAUAGCAAUGGCCAAAGUGUUGGUGUUGUUUAUAUAUUUCUUUAUGGUACUAUUUUUUGAAGCCUCGUGCCGCUUAGAAUAUUUUUAUGCACGAUUAAUCAAGGCCGAAUAUGCAUUGUUAUUCGGAUUGACUCUUUUACUUGCUAUAGGUGUUAUACAUAUUGAGGCUUUUGGUGAUUCGUUCUGAGUAGUGCAACAAAUAUCCAAGGAUUAUCAAUGUGUUUUACCGAAUCACUUAUAGUUUAUCUUGGGCUAUGUCUAGAUGAAGAAUUUACCUUGGGUUGCAUUCAAAUUGUUCAUAUAUUUAGACAUGGCAAUUGGAGAGAGUUGGCAUAGCAAGCAUCCGGCUACCAUGUCCAUCAUGUUGUAUUGCAUUUCUCUCAAUAGCCGAUGCUUAGUCUUGUCAACAUAGGUAAGGUCGAACCGAAGUCCAGAACUUCGGCCACUAAUGAAAUUUUUAUGCAGGCCAAAGUAAGGAUUGGAGAAAGUUUAUUGUUGAUUGUCUACAAAAUCCUAGCAAAAGGGUGAACAAUAUGGUUCGGAGGAUGACAUUGAGAUACAUAUCUAUGGAACUUUAUCACCGGAUUGUUAAUGAAGCUGAGAAGGUUUCACCCGAGUUUGCAUCAGAAAGUUCACACAAGACAUGGCCGAUAUAUACUUAUCGUCCUAAGAACAUAUAAAUGGCCGAUGGAGUGUUGACAUCGUCCUUAGAACAAACUUGGUACAAGUAUUUUUCGACACGCUAGGUUUACCGAAAAACAGUGGGGCAUGUGUUGACGCUCAAAAGUGGCACGAUCAUAAAGCAGCAUGCUGGGGCGAAAACCUUGCCGGGGUAAAAUCUUGCCGGUGUGAAAGCUUGCCGGUGUGAAAGCUUGCCGGUGUGAAGGCUUGCCGGCGUGGAAAGCUUGCCGGCACAGAAAGAUCGCCGGUGCUUGCCGGUGUGAAAUCUUGCCGAGGGAGAAACCUUGUCAGGAAGGAACCCUUGCCGGAGUACAAACCUUGCCGGAGUGAAACCUUGCCUGUGUGAAAGCUUGCCGGGUAGAAACAUUGCCGGUGUGGAAAGCUUACUCGGACGGAAAACUUGCCGGGUUGGAGGCUGUGAUAGUCAAUCGAACGAGAAGUUGAAGAUGGGCUCAAAAGGUUAUUCAGAUGAUCUCGGAUGGAAAAAUGAUCUACACGGGUUGUCUUCGUCUCGUCGAAACGAUCGAUUUUGGUAUAAAAAUCAUUCAAAUUCGAGUUUGUAUGCAAAAGUUAGAGCAAUCGGAGUGCAGCCCUGUCACGAGGCGAGAUGUGGCGUGCCCCACCAGACACAUGUCUGACGGGUAGUGCGAGGAAAUAGCCUGUGUUGCGAGACCGAUCUGACCCUCAAGAUGAUCUCUGAUCAAAACACCUUCAACAUGAAAGCUGUUCGUCUCGUCGAAACGGUCAAGAUUGCUUUUGGGCUUGUUUUCAUCCGGGAUCGUUUACCACUGCCAAAAAGACCCGCAAUGUGCAGCCAGUUUAAACCGAACAGUUUUGGAAAGUUCAGAUAAACCAGUCCGAAUUUGACUAGGGUUUUGUACGUGAAUUGAUGUAAUUUUCUUGUAAGGAAAGCCGAGAUAAAUUCUUUGCUUGUACGGGAAGUCCAGCCGCCUCUUAUAUAUGUUGGGGGUGACGGCCGAUUGAAACAACACACAAUCGAACAAACACAUCUACUACCUUUUCAUGUUCAUCUACUUUUUAUCUCUCCCUUGUAUCUUUCUUCUCGUUCUUCGCUAGUUCUUCAUGCUGGAGGGCUGCGGAUCCACGAGGCUUUAGGGCCUAGCUAGCGAAUCGACCUAGGGCAGCCCAUAGCCGCCGCAAUCCCUGACGGGGUCCCUCUCGGGUGCGCGGGGUUUCGGGUCUGCAAAAGCGCCCGCCGACUGUCUUGCGUAUCGCGCUGUCGGUCGGGUCUCCUUCGACGUGAGCUGCGGUGCAUCACCCCUGGCGUCGAGGAUACAUGUGACGUGUUCGUGUGCGAACAACGUGCUCCCUGGCUCCACCCCAUUGAAAAAAUAUACAUCUGGAGGCUGCUUUGUUUCCUCAUCAAAAAAAACUUACGUUAAAAAGAUUGCAUGCAUCCCAGGAAAAAUAAUCAAGAAGUCGGACUCAUCCUUACAAAAACAAGGAACGUGUUAAGUUGACUUCAAAGAAAAAAGGAACAUGUUAAGUUAAAAAAAACAAGAAACCUGUUAAGUUAGAAAAAAACAAGGAACGUGUUGUCCUAGGAAAGAUAUGUGUCAAAUCUUACAAAAAAAAGAAUACACACACGUACGUUCAUGCACUUGGAAAAUAGAAAAAAAAGAACAUCACGUAUGUAUACACUUUGGAAACUCAUUACAUGACCAUGUCUGAUAUACUCCUCUAAUGCUUAACAUUAGUGCCUAAUAAUUUAUAUUUAAAAUUUAAUUUACUGAUCAAAUAUCCCCACUGUUUAAAUUUUAAUUUGGCACAUUGUUUGACUACAGUAUGAACCUAAAUUUCCUCUUAUUAAUAUAUAUCAUGGUAAUAAUCCAAAGGCGACUAAUCUGCGCCGGUGCACCGGCGCAAUCAAUUUGGCCGGACACAGCGCGGCCUUUUGAUUAGAUUGCAUUUAACCAUCAGAUCUGGAAUCGUUUUCUUUCCAAUUAAACGGAUUCAACCAAACAGCAGAGGGGAAAACAAAGCAGCGCCGCCGCCAACACUAGCCAUGGACGAUCGAUGUACCAAAACCUUGAAUAACUGCCGCCGGUCGCCACCCUCGCCGCUGGUGGCCGCCCUCGCCGUCGGUCACCGCCGAUCACCGCCCUCGCUGCCUGCGUUUCUCAUCGGCUUCAUGCAUGCAACAGCAUGCAGUCGUGGUUGCAGGCUUGCAGCUCCGGCUCCGGGGGACAUGGCCGCAUCUCCGGUAACGCCAGCCGCCGACCGCAGCACCUGUCGUUAUGGUCGCGUUGUACCUCGCCGUGUGCCCUCCCGAGGCUCUUGCUGGUUCCAACAAAAAACAAUACGUGUUGUAGCAAAAAAGUUUAUCGCUUCCAGCAAAAAAGCUUACCGCUACAGCCCGCCAUCGUCAUUGUAGCAAAAAUGUUAACCCGAUGUAGCUUUUGUGGUUGCCGACUGCAACAAAAAAUGACGUGGUUGUAGCAAAACACAAAAGAAAAAUGCCGGCCGGCCGCUGUGUAUGGUGGUAACAAACCCUAUAGCCGGUGGUAGCGAAAAACUUCAUAGUUUGCAGCAAAAAAAUGUUGUCGCCCGUCGUCGAGGUUGCAUCGUCUUCAUGAAUUAUGUCGCAAAAAAACAUUGUCGCCGGUAGUAGCAAAUGAAGCCGCCGGUAGUAGCAAAACAAGACACUGGUUCCAGCCAAAAAAUAAAUCAGCGACAGAACCUUUGGUUGGUUACAACAAAAAAACUUGUCGGUUGUAACAUCCCUCGCCGCCGGAUGUAGCAUCUCCCGGGGCUGGUUGCAACACUCCAUAAAAAAAAUGUUGUCUAUGAGCGCAUCCAUGGCGACUGCUGCACCAUCAGCAACGAGGGGAAGAGGAGGCAAUGAAAAUCGUUCGAGUCGUAGCUCCACAGGACGCGGCUGCAGCAUGGGGAGUCCAAAAAUCUGUCACAAGCAACAUGCGCCUCACCAUCCUCCUGCGCAGGAGAGAGAAGAAAAAGGAAUAAGAGGAAGAAGAAAGGAAACGGGAGGAAGAAAAAAGAAACGAUUGGUGGUGGGCUGAGGCAAUUAGUCAAACGAGGGGCACGCGGGGCCGCAGGAUACAGCGCAAUCGAACGAAGCGCGCGCGUCCGGCCGAAGACUCGGCCGGACUGCCGUCUGGAAACGUUUCCCUAAUCCAAAGGCUUUGUCUGAAUGACAAGUCGUCUGGGUUACCGGCUAACUAGAAAAAAGAUAAAUAUGCUAGAGAAUUUCAUAAUAAUUAGAAAUAUCUAGCCUUUAAUUAUGUAAAUCAGAAAAUCACAACCGUUGGAUUUACUUUAAAGGUAAAUUUCUCUAAAUUCCCACCAUUGCCAGUAUGUAGAAACAUGUGCUGCUUCAAUUCUCCCAUAAUCACCAAUCAAUCAACAACACAAAACAUACCUCAGUUAAAAAAACUGAACAAAAAAAAAGAAAAAAGAAGAAAGGACAAGAUACACGCAUGUACACGACAGCCUUGGCUUGAAACACAUCAGUAGAUCAAGUGUCCGCCUCCCUUACACAGAAUAAACUCAUAGGGAAGAAAAUAAUUGUGCAACCUAACCUUAUACGUACUAUUCUAUCCUCACGUCCCAUGAGGUUUACUAGCCUACCGCCGCCGCAUCAUGCCAUCCCCUCCUUUCAGCUCCCAUGCUUUCCAGCACCCUCAUUGCCGCGCCACUACUUGCCUAGGGAUAUUGCUGCUCAGACCGUGGAGCUUAACCUGCUUCUUCUUCAGCAAAUAUGGUACUGCUUUAGGAUCCUUCUCACAUCAGCACGUAUGGGCCUCAUUAUACUGCAGCUCCUGGACCUCCUACAAUUGGUUGGCUAUGGCCAGUUGAUCGAUGUGCCGAAGUCCAGGUCUGUUUGCUGGCACAUAUGCUUUGGAAAUAGGCCACUAUGUUUGUACUUCAAAAUUGUUUCUGUAUUCUUGAGUGGUACAUCCUUUUAAGCGCCAGUUUUUUAUGUCAAUUCAUGCUGACAACACUUAACCUAGCCUUUCAUCUUCACGUACUAAAUACAGGAGCAAGUAAAAACAACAGACCACCUAAUUGCUCUGCAUGUACUACAUAGGAAAAUUUGUCAUGUUCUACGAUCGCACCAUCCCACACUUCUCUCUUGGUAUGGGCGCCAAUUGAGGGAUUGAUAAAACUGAAACGAAGACGUCACGGGGCUGGAAGUACCGCUAGCCUGGUUUGCACUGCAACCUACUCAACGCCAUCAGAAACUAGCAACUGAGGCAGUUGUUGAUCGAUUCUCUCAAAUUGCUCUCAUGUAAGUACUACCCCUUGCAUGUGCGUACAUACCUUUGUUCCAUUCUCAAACAGAUAGAACAUUUAUGAUCGGUGCAUGGCUAUUUUUCAUCACAUGACAUCCAGAUAACAAGCAUGAAAGGACUACAUUGGAGAUCAAAAAAUAUUGGUUCCUGGCUAGAGGACCACUACCUAUGGACUUGUCUCCAUAGAAUUUGUUCCCAAGACGUUAUUUUAAUUAACCUCUUUAGCUUUCUUCCAUUGCAAACGGUGAUGUGCAUCAUGGUAUAUACGUGACCAUCUUGCACAUGUAUACACAAGAGGCUCAGACGGAGGUGCUGGAUUCUGGACGAGGGAAUAUGAAGCAGGAGUGAGCGAAGAGUAAAUAAUGGUGGGAGUACCGAUUGGUGUUAUGAAGAAAAAUGCCAUUCAAAGAUUGAUUAGUGUCAUGGAAGAUUAAUUUCUGAAUGCGAAUAUAUAUGUUACAUUGGUUUGGAUCUUUUUGAGAUAAUUGCACCUAAAUUAGGUUCUUUCUUAUUUCAUAUGUAUACCUUAUUUCAGUAAAAGUUCACAACGAACUUAGUAGGACAAAUAUAAUUUUGUUUGUGCUUUCUGUUGUCCGCCACCAAAGCUCAGUUUGAACUCUCUAGAAAUGGACAAUGAUUUAUGCAUUCUAUAUCUUCUUGAUUGAUUAGUCAUGACAAGGAAAUAAAAUGAUUGACUGAUAUAGCAUAACUUUGGAACGAUCUGUUCGUAGAGGUUACUACAAAUUAGAGUAGUGUCUGUUGGAAUUUUGCUAGUAGGCCUUUGGCCCAAAGCCCAACUAAAAUUCUGAAAUUCUCUUGGCUCAUUCAUGCACACAUGUGAGUGGAGUGAGUGAGACUAAAGUUUAGUCCCUCCCCGAAAGUUGAGAGAGUGUUGCACCUCUUUAUAAGGUGAGCUCUUCUACCACUUGUAUGAGCAUGGGAAGAGGAGACCUACACGCGCGCUCCUCCUCCUCGCUCACCAUGCCUCGUCACGACGCGCCGCGCCGCACCGCGUGGUGGGUUGUGGGAUUGAGCCGAGCCGAGGACGUUGUCUAUAUUUUUGCUGCUCGGGAAAAAUUAAUGAGUCAUUAAUUAAUAAUUAAUGGACGCGUUAAUUACUGAACCGUUUCCGAUUCUUUUGGAUCCUGACGACUCGGACGUGGGGUUUACUCCCACGACCUACCCGACCUGCACUACAUAGCCAGGCAGACGUCUACCUUAGCCGCCGCCCCUUCGUAUGGUUUCUCACCACCGUUACAGAUCAUUGCGCCGCCAAGCAAGUUUUCUCCAUCCCUCGUUUCGGCGUGCACCGGGAGAAGGGACAGCAGGCCUCCGGAACCCCGCCUCUCGUGAUCCUGUACGGAAGAGGGGCGAUCAGGUUUUUGGGGAGCGCAUCGCACGACUGCUGGCAGCGACGACUUCGCGAACGACGACUUCUUCCCCGACCUCGGCAACCUCAUCCUCGAGGACAUGGGCGACAACGUCAACGCCGGCGGUGCUACACCCACUGCACCGUAUGUUAUUCUAUCCUUCUUGUUCGAGAUCGUGGUAGAAUUCAUGUUUCUAGUAUGUGCCCUAGAGGUGAUCUGUUCAUCUACUAUGCUAGUUCGCAUGAUUAGUUUAAUCUCUGCUAUUGCUGUCAUGAUCUAUUUCCUAUUUAUUCGGAUUAAAUCUCGUAGUAAUUUUCUCAUUUUUCCAACAAUCCAAAAACCUAAUUAUAGGCAACUUACUCCGAGUGGUUUUGAUGCGCAUCUGAAAGCCGCCUGCCUUUAAGGGGGCGCAAUAUAAGAGGUGGCGCACGAGAGCAGUCUACUGGUUUCAGAUCAUGGGCUGCUAUGACGCCAUCGAUACCCUCUUUAAAGGCACUCUUCUGAGUGUUCUUGAUGACUCCAUUGUGGAUUCGUAUAUGUCGUUGACAACGGCAAGAAUAUGUGGGCUGCGCUCGAGGCCAAGUUUGGUGCCUCGGAUGCUAGUAGCGAGUUGUACGUCAUGGAGCAAUUCUAUGACUCCAAGAUGACUGAUGAGCGCCCUGUUGUACAGCAGGCUCAUGAGAUACAGUCGCUCGGAAAAGAACUUGAGUACUUCAAGUGUGUGUUGCCGAACAAAUUUUUUGCCGGAGGCAUCAUUGCCAAGCUUCCACCUUCGUGGAACAAUUUUGCUACUUCCCUGAAACACAAGAGACAGGAGUUUUUCGUUGCGGAUCUCAUUGGUACUCUUGAUGUUGAAGAGAAGGCGAGAGCAAAGGAUACACGUGCUCGAGUUGCUGAGGGAGGUUCUAGUGCCCACAUGGUACAGAAGAAGAACUUCCAGCCCGUUCAAAAACAACAAGAACAAAACUCAGGGCAAAGGCAAGUUUGAUACAAAGAACAAGCCAUCACAUUCUACCAACUUCAAGAAGAAUUCUCAUAAGAAGGGGAAGGGACUUUGCCAUGUCUGCGGUGAUCCUAAUCACUGGGCUCUGAAGUGUCCUAACUGCUUUGAGGAGCGCGAACAUGAGAAGAGCGGCAAGUCCGCUAAUGUUGUCAUCGGUGAUACUGAUAUGAAGGAAUCAGGGUACGGUAUUUUUCCUACCAUCCUUUCAGUUUUCCAAACCCCUGAUUGGUUAAUUGACACCGGUGCCAAUGUACAUGUUUGUGCUGAUGCCUCCAUGUUUUCUUCUUACCAGGCCAUUGGGACUUCACCCGUGCUGAUGGGGAACGGGUCACAUGCCAUCGUUCGAGGUGUUGGUACGGUCGAUCUGAAGUUUACUUCGGGGAAGACCGUGCGUCGGAAGAACGUUCAUCAUGUUCCAUCCAUCAAUAAAAAUCUCGUUAGCGGUUCCCGUUUAUGUCGAGAUGGUUUUAAGUUGGUUUUCGAAUACACUAAAGUUGUAAUUUCUAAGUACGGACAAUUUGGUGGAAAAGGCUAUGAGAGCGAAGGCUUGUUUUGCCUGUCUUUGUCAGAUAUUUUCACUAAAGUUAUUAAUAAUGUUUGCCACAACAAUGAGUCUGAUAUUUGGCAUUCACGACUUUGUCACAUUAACUUUGGUUGCAUGACGCGGCUAGCCAAUAUGAAUUUAAUUCCGAAAAUCUCUACUGUCAAAGGCUCUAAGUGCCAAGUAUGUGUGCAAGCUAGCUAAGCAACCUCGCAAGUCCCAUAAGACUGUAGAGGCAAGAGACUUGGCGCCACUAGAGCUUAUACAUUCUGAUAUUUGUGAGAUGAAUGGCGUGUUGACAAAAGGUGGAAAGAGAUACUUCAUGACGUUGAUUGAUGACUCCACUAGAUAUUGUUAUGUGUAUCUUAUGAAAUCAAAAGAUGAGGCUUUGACUUUCUUCAAAAACUAUAAAGCUGAGGCAGAGAACCAACUUGAUCAAAAAAUUAAACGGCUUAGGUCCGAUCAUGGUGGAGUGUAUUUUUCCAAUGAAUUUGAUCUGUUUUGUGCGGAACAUGGUAUAAUCCAUGAGAGGAUGCGUCCCUACUCAGCCUAGUCAAAUGGGGUAGCCAAAAUAAAGAACCGAACUCUAACUGAUAUGGUUAACACCAUGUUAGACACUUCAGGUCUAUCCAAGGAAUGGUGGGGGCAGGCGCUAACGACUGCGUGUCAUGUCCUAAACAGAGUACCCACAAAGCAUAAGACCAUGACUCCAUUUGAGGAAUGUGAAAGGAAAAUGUUGAAACUCUCUUACCUACGUACUUGGGGUUGUUUGGCGAAAGUCAAUAUACCAAUUCCCAAGAAGCGCAAGGUUGGACCAAAAACCGUGGAUUGUGUUCUUCUGGGCUAUGCUUUUCAUAGCAUCGGCUAUAGAUUUUUGAUAAUAAAAUCUGAGGUAUCCGACAUGCAUGUUGGUACGAUUAUGGAGUCGAAUGAUGCAACUUUCUUUGAGGACAUAUUUCCUAUGAAGGAUAUGUCGAGUUCAUCAAAUCAGGAGACACCUACUCCAUCUAGUGAGGAAUUCACUGUAAUUCCUGAACCCACCAUUGCGAUGGAACACGUUGAGAAUCCUGUUGAGGGUGACAAUGGAACUCCUAUGAGGAGUAAGAGACACAGGACUACAAAGUCCUUUGGUGAUGAUUUCAUUGUGUUCCUCGUGGAUGACACACCCAGGACUAUUUCAGAAGCCUGUGCAUCUCUUGAUGCUAACUACUGGAAGGAAGCUGUACGUAGCGAGAUGGAUUCCAUCUUAGGUAACGGAACCUGGGAGAUCACUGACCGUCCUUAUGGGUGCAAACUUGUAGGAUGUAAGUGGGUGUUCAAGAAGAAGCUUAGACCUGAUGGUACGAUUGAAAAGUACAAGGCACGGCUUGUGGCCAAGGGUUAUACCCAGAAAGAAGGUGAAGACUUCUUUGAUACUUACUCACCCGUGGCUAGAAUGACCACAAUUCGGGUGCUACUAUCACUUGCUGCCUCACAUGGUCUUCUCGUUCAUCAAAUGGAUGUUAAGACAGCUUUCCUCAAUGGAGAGAGUUGGAGGAAGAAAUUUACAUGGAUCAGCCAGAUGGUUUUGUAGUACCUAGUUAGGAAGGAAAGGUGUGCAAGUUAUUAAAGUCUUUAUAUGGCCUUAAACAAGCUCCUAAAGAGUGGCAUGAGUAGUUUGAAAGAACAUUAACUGCUGCCGGCUUUGUAGUAAACGAUGAUGACAAGUGCGUGUACUAUCGCUAUGGUGGGGCGAAGGAGUUAUUCUUUCUCUGUAUGUCGACGACAUAUUGAUCUUUGGAGCCAAACUUGAUUUAAUCAAGGAGGUUAAGGAUUUCUUAUCUUGUUGUUUUGAGAUGAAGGAUCUAGGAGUAGCUGAUGUUAUCUUAAACAUCAAGCUGUUGAGAGAUGAGAAUGGUGGGAUCACACUACUUCAGUCUCACUAUGUGGAAAAGGUCUUGAGUCAUUUUGGGUAUAGCGACUGCACACCUUCUCCAACUCCAUAUGAUGCUAGUGUGUUGCAUCGAAAGAAUCGAUGGAUUGCUAGAGAUCAACUGAGGUAUUCUCAUAUUAUUGGCCCGCUUAUGUAUUUGACGAGUGCCACGAGGCCUAACAUCUCAUUUGCUGUUAGCAAGCUGAGUCGGUUUGUGUCAAAACCGGGAGAUGAUCGUUGGCAUGCUCUUGAGAGAGUUAUGCGCUAUUUGAAAGGCACCGCGAGCUAUGGGAUUCACUACACCGGGUAUCCAAGGGUACUGGAGGGUUAUAGUGACUCAAACUGGAAGUCCUGCAAACAGACCAUCUUAACAAGGUCAAGUAUGGAAGCAGAACUCACAGCAUUAGAAACUGCCACUGUGAUAAUCAAACUAUGAUCGUCAAGAUAAACAGUUACGGACAAUAUGAAGUCCUCAAGGCAUGUGAAGAGGAGACUGAAAUCUGUCAGAAAAUUGAGGAACUCUGGAGUUAUUACGUUGGAUUAUAUCGAAACAUCGAAAAAUUUGGCAGAUCCCUUCACAGAGGGUCUAUCACGUAAUGUGAUAGAUAAUGCAUCGAUGGAGAUGGGUCUGAGACCCACCGCAUGAGUUGUCCAUAGUGGUCUAUGUGAUCGGAGAUCCCGUGAAGUAGAAGUGGGAGACAAGUUGUUGAUCAGCUGGGAGGAUAGUAUCCCUAUAUUACCUAUCCCACUCCAUGAAGAUGCAAUACUCUCCUAAUCUGCAUGGCAGGUUGACACUUAUGUUAAUGUGUUCCAAGUGGCUUAUUCGGGUAAGCAGAGAUGUUGUCCUGCAGAACAUCUUCUAAGGAACACACCUAUAUGAAUUUGACUGUUAACGUCGCAGUAUGUGAGAAUUGGGUGUUCUCUAAUAAAUUGAUGAAAAGGCCCUGGAGUAUGACGUAUACGCUCCACCCGCGGGGAAGCCUUGCGGCAGCCCAGUAUCGGUCAAGAAUUUGUGUGAAACUAGUCUCGCAGAAAAUUUGUAGUUCAAGGCGUAGUCCAAACGGAAUAUCAAACGGAGUCCAAACGGAAUGAAACCUUUGGGAACGUGAUUUUCUCAACGAACAAGACCCAGGAGACUUGGACCCUACGUCCAGACACAAAAGAGGAGGCCACGAGGUAGGGGGGCGCGCCCUCCACCCUCGUGGGGCCCCUGUUGCUGAAGGACAUAUGCCCUAGAGGCAAUAAUAAAGUUAUGAUUUAUUUCCUUAUAUCAUGAUAAAUGUUUAUUAUUCAUGCUGGAAUUGUAUUAACCGGAAACAUAAUACAUGUGUGAAUACAUAGACAAACAAAGUGUCACCAGUAUGCCUCUACUUGACUAGAUUGUUAAUCAAAGAUGGUUAUGUUUCCUAACCAUAGACAAAGAGUUGUUAUUUGAUUAACGGGAUCACAUCAUUAGUUGAAUGAUCUGAUUGACAUGACCCAUUCCAUUAGCUUAGCACCCGAUCGUUUAGUAUGUUGCUAUUGCUUUCUUCAUGACUUAUACAUGUUCGUAUGACUAUGAGAUUAUGCAACUCCCGUUUACCGAAGGAACACUUUGUGUGCUACCAAACGUCACAACGUAACUGGGUGAAUAUAAAGGAGUUCUACAGGUGUCUCCAAAGGUACAUGUUGGGUUGGCGUAUUUCGAGAUUAGGAUUUGUCACUCCGUUUGUCGGAGAGGUAUCUCUGGGCCCUCUCGGUAAUGCACAUCACAUAAUCCUUGCAAGCAUUGCAACUAAUGUGUUAGUUGUGAGAUGAUGUAUUACGGAACGAGGAAAGAGACUUGCCGGUAAUGAGAUUGAACUAGGUAUUGGAUACCGACGAUCGAAUCUCGGGCAAGUAACAUACCGAUGACAAUGGGAACAACGUAUGUAGUUAUGCGGUCUGACCGAUAAAGAUCUUCGUAGAAUAUGUAGGAGCCAAUAUGGGCAUCCAGGUCCCGCUAUUGGUUAUUGACCAUAGACGUGUCUCGGUCAAGUCUACAUUGUUCUCGAACCGUAGGGUCUGCACGCUUAAAGUUACGAUGACAAUUUCAUUAUGAGUUUAUGUAUUUUGAUGUACCGAAGGUUGUUCGGAGUCCCGGAUGUGAUCACGGACAUGACGAGGAGUCACGAAAUGGUCGAGACAUAAAGAUCGAUAUAUUGGAAGCCUAUAUUUGGACAUCGGAAUCGUUCCGGGUGAAAUCGGCAUUUUACCAGAGUACCGCGGGGUUACCGGAACCCCCGGGGGGGUUAUUGGGCCUACAUGGGCCUUGAAGAAGAGAGGAGGCAGGAGGUGGCCGCGCGCCCCUCCCCUUCCUAGUCCGAAUAGGACAAGGGAAGGGGGGUGGCGCCCCCCCUUUCCUUCCCCUCUUCCUCCUCUUUCCCCCCUUCUCCUUCUCCAACUAGGAAAGAAGGGAGUCCUACUCCCGGUGGGAGUAGGACUCCCCCUGGCGCGCCCCUCCUUGGCCGGCCGCCCCCUCCCCUUGGUUCCUUCAUAUACGGGGGCAGGGGGCACCCUAGGACACAGAAGUUGAUCUUCGUGAUCGUUCCUUAGUCGUGUGCGGUGCCCCCCUCCACGAUAUUACACCUCGAUCAUAUUGUAGCAGUGCUUAGGCGAAGCCCUGUGACGGUUAAACAUCAAGAUCGUCACCACGCCGUCGUGCUGACCAAACUCCUCCCCGAAGCUUUGCUGGAUCCGAGCCGGGGGUGCGUCAUCGAGCCGUACGUGUCUCAAGAACUCGGAGGUGCCGGAGUAAAGGUGCUUGGAUUGGUUGGACCGGGAAGACGUACGACUACUUCCUCUACGUUGCGUCAACGCUUCCGCUUCGGUCUACAAGGAUACGUAGACAACACUCUCCCCUCUUGUUGCUAUGCAUCACCAUGAACUUGCGUGUGCGUAGGAAAUUUUUUGAAAUUACUACAUUCCCCAACAGUGGCAUCCGAGCCUAGGUUUUAUGGUUUGAUGUUAUACGCACGAGUAGAACACAAGUGAGUUGUGGGCGAUAUAAGUCAUACUGCCUACCAGCAUGUCAUACUUUGGUUCGGCGGUAUUGUUGGAUGAAGUGGCCCGGACCGACAUUACGCGUACGCUUACGCGAGACUGGUUCUACCGCCGUGCUUUGCACAUAGAUGGCUGGCGGGUGUCAGUUUCUCCAACUUUAGUUGAACCGAGUGUGGCUACGCCCGGUCCUUGCGAAGGUUAAAACGGCAUCAACUUGACAAACUAUCUGUCACAGCCCUAGAAUUUGCUUGUAGCUAUUUACCCGAGUGAGCAUGAUGCAUCAUGUCUAAAUUCUGAAAGUUGAAUUGAGGUUAGUAGAAACCCUCAUAAAUCACUUCAAAAAUAAUCAACAUUAAAAUCUUUUCAAAGAAGUCCAAGAAAGUGUUCCUCUUAGUCUCUGAAAAUAUUGGCAAGAGGUAAAACUUAAAACAAUAUUUUUGGAAUCUCAGAGAUAUUUAUUUUGGGCCUUUGAAUUAAUUCAAUAACAAUUUGCAUUGGAUAUAUAUUUUAUAUAUAACUAAUAUAUGUCCAAUAAUUCUAGAACAUUUUAUGUGGUUUGUUAUAUUUUAGUUCUAGCCACAUAAUUAUUUUCAGGAUUUUAUUAAAUGGUUUAGUAUUUUUACUAAACCAAAACAAAACAGAACAAAAUAGAAAAAAACUGAAACAGAAAGCAAACAGAAAAUAGAGAGAGAGAGAGGAGCUACCUGGGCUUACCUGGCGCCCCAACUGGCCCACCUCUGUAGCAGCCCAACUGGCCAAAGCCAGCCCGGCCCAUCAGGGGCAGCACUGUCUUCUUCCUCCUGCCAGGAGGAGAAGCAGCUGCGUGCCCGAUGGCCGGCGAGCCGCGCUGGCUCCUCCCUGCCUGCGUGCCCCCCCUCGACUUCCUGGAUGCCAUGCACUCCCCCUCGCCCCCUGCACCUCUCCUCUCUCCCCCUGGACCCCAUCCCCUCCUCUGCUCCCCUCUCGCGCGCACCACCGAGCGGAGCUCGUCGUCAUCGUCGCCGUACUCGUGGCCACCGGCCACCCCUCGCCCUGCCGCUGCGCCCAAAAGCUCUGCCAUUUCGUCCUCGACCCCCUCACCGAGCCACGCCACCGCGGGAGCCCCACAUCGCGGCUACGAGUCGUCCUCCCCGAGCACGGCCGCCGGACUUCAUCGAUGAAUUCGUCGCCUUCCGGUCGUCCCCGAGCCAGCUGAGCUCCGCUUCGACCUCACCGUGAGAUCCUCUACCAAACCCCUCUCUCCCCGCCGUCUAUUUCCUCCUCUAGCCUCACUAACCACCGUGGCCGAAGCUCGCCGCCGCCGUACCUCAUCGCCGCCACGGCCAUAGCUGCCGCCACCCACGCCCGAGCUUUGCCCCAUGCUCAGCACUCUCCCAGGAGCCGGGCGCGCCCACCCAUUCGACCCGUUGUGCCCCCUAGCGCCAACCCCGACCUCGCCCGAAUUCCGGCCGCCGCAAAAGUUGCCGCCACCGUCGAUUUAGUCAACCCCGGUGCGAGGUGUUGCCACCGAUGGAUGCGCGAGUCUCCCAGCUCGCCGUAGCCACAAACCACGAGCGAAACGAUGCUCUGUAGCUCCGUCCCGAGCAUCUCCGGCGAGCCACGGCCGUGCUUUUGGUCGCCGGCGUCGACCGCUGACGUGGUCGCUUAAUUAAGUCUAAUCACCACUAAUCCCUGCCUAACAGACGCUGACUCACGGGCCCCACCUGUUAAUUAACCACAAGGUUAUACCCUGUUUAAUUUAAGCUAAUGACCGUGGCCCCACGGGUCAGUUUGACCUGGCCACGUCACCGUUGACCUGGUCCCACACGUCAGCCACAGAAACCAGCCCUGGGUCACUGACCAGUGGGCCCCACUAGUCAGGUUUGACCCGGACCAGCCCUGUUGACUUGCUUACGUCACCCUGAUGUCAUGCUGACGCAGUAAUUAAUUUCUGUUUUAUAAUAAUUCAGAAAAUUUCAGAAAAUGUCCAAAACUUCUAAAAAUCAUAGAAAUUAAACUGUAACUCCAAAUAAAAUAAAUUAUAUAUGUAAAAUUAUCAGAAAAAUUCAAGGAAUCUGUUUAUGGCAUUUUCAUGCAUGUUUGAAAAAUGUUUGACCUCUGUUUUGGACAAAACAAUAAAGGGCAUUUAAAUAAUCAUAUAUGGAGUUUGAAUUUGAAUCUUGUAUUCAAACCAACUUCAUUUAAUUGUGUUGUUAGUUGCUUUAGGUCAAUCAAUAGCAUAUUGCCAUGUCAUUAUCAUGCAUCAUAUUGUUGCAUCGCAUUGAUUGUGUCCUUCCUUGUUUGCCGGUAAUUGCCCCCUCUCAGUAGACGUUGUUUCCGACGACGUGAUCGAUGACACCGAUGAAGAGCUAUUCUAUCUUCAGAAGUGCCAGGCAAGCACAACCCCCUUGUUCAUUCCGAUACAAGCCCACUCUCUCGCUCCUGCUCUCUUUUACUGCAUUAGGACAACAAUGAUUCAUUUGUUACUUGUUGCGGUAGUUGAACCCCUUAUCCUCUGCAUGACCUAUCAUUGCCACAGUAAUUAGAUGAAACCCGCUAGCAUGAGUAGGAGUUGUUUGAGCCCUGAUGUGCCUACUCAUUCAUGCUUGUUUGUCAUGCCUGCUACUGCUUAGAGUUGAGUCAGGUCUGAUUCAUCGGGGAUGGAUCGGAGGUGUGUAAACAUGUCCUAUUGUGUGUGAGCUAAGUGUGUGAACACGUUUUGGUAAAGGUAGCGGUGACAGGCCAUGUAGGAGUACAUGGUGGGUUGUCUCAUUGAAACCGUCCACAGGAACUAAGUUCUGUGUUUGUGAUCCAUGAAACAGCUGCUACCACACGUUGGGCCCCGAAAUAUGACCCCGCUCGACUUACUGACCCCUCUCUUCCUCUGUCCAGGAGUUGCAAUUAGUUUCUGGUGUUUAUAGGAUAUGUGUUGGCGGCCGUGUGUAGCGCUGACCCUAGGGGUGGGCUAUGAUGCGGUAGAUACACUGUGGCCCGGUGUACCGGGCGCCCGUUUGGUGUCUCUGGAACCCUGCACACAUCGUUUGGGGCUGUGAGCGAAACUCCGUCCGGAUCUCCUCGCGGAUGGAACCCGAAUAGGCGAUAAACCUGGACUAGAGACUUGUGUGGUUAGUCAGGUCGUGGUCUACACCCACGUCGGCUUUCGCUUGAAGUCUGCCGAGCACAUGUCGUGUGCAGACGCUAAGUGGUGGAAACAUGUGUGACGAAGUACACCCCCGCAGGGUUAUAAAUGAUCUAUUCGAAUAGCCGUGUCCGCGGUAAAGGACUUCUGGGUUGCCUAUAACAGUUCAUAGACAAGUGAAAGUGGAUACUCUAAAAACUCGCAAGAUAAGUGUGAGUGCUACGGAUGGCCUUCUCGUAGGGAGACGAGAGCGGAUCCAUAGUGGUCUAUUGAAUGGUGAAUAUGUGGACUCGUGUGCGCCACCUUAAAAGAGUUGCUUGCCAUCGUAGUUCAGGUUAGCCCCGGAAUCAAAGCUGGCUUGCUGCCGUUAAACUCCACCCCCCUUUGAUGAUACCGAUGCAUAUGUAGUUUAGAUCUGAUGUAAGUAUUGCUGAGUACCUUUGUACUCACGUUUGCUUAAUUUAUGUUUUGCAGAGAGACUUCAGUCUCGCUAGUAGUUCCGCGUGGACUUCGACGUUUAGCUUGAUACCUCAGCUACGAUCUUGUGCCCUCGACAGGAUCUGGUAGAUAGUCAGGCUUCUUAGCCUUUUUCAUUUAUAGAUGUCUGUACUCAGACAUGUUAAGCUUCCGCAUGUGCUUUGCAUUGUAUGCUAUGAUUGUCGGGUCAUGAGACCCAUGCUUGUAAUAUCUAGCUCUUCGGAGCCUAAUGAAUUAAUACUUGAGUCGUAGAGUCUUGUUUUGAUGCCAUGUUGUAUUUACACAUAUCGAGCAUAUUGUGUGUAUGAUUGAAAUGCUUGGUAUGUGUAGGAUCCAACAACCUAGUUGUUUAUCCUUCGCAGCCUUUCUUAUGGGGAAAUGUAGUCUAGUGUUCCUCGAGCCAUAGUAGUCCGCUACAGCCCGGUUCACCGGAGUCCUGCUAGCCCAGCACUACUGUUCAGGACACUUGACUGGCCGGCAUGUGUUUCACUUCAUCCCUAUGUCUGUCCCUUCGGGGAAAUGUCACGCGGUGAUUUCCGGAGUCCUGCCUAGCCUGCUACAGCCCGGGAUCCCCGGAGUCCUGUUAGCCCAGUGCCACAGCCCGGAAUAACUCAUUGAUGACCGACAUGUUCGAUGUGAUUCAUGUAUGCCUGUCUCCAUAGGUCUGUGCCACUUUGGGUUCACGACUAGCCAUGUCGGCCCGGGUUCUUUGUCAUAUGGAUGCUAGCGACACUAUCAUAUACGUGAGCCAAAAGGCGCAAACGGUCCCGGGCCAGGUAAGGUGGCACCCGUGGGAAUACCGUGCGUGAGGCCACAAAGUGAUAUGAUGUGUUACAUGCUAGAUCGGUGUGACCUAGGAUCGGGGUCCUGAUAGCGUUGGUAUCAGAGCCUGACUGCCUGUAGGAUUACCAAGCCAAACUGGUCGAAGUUGAGUCUAGAAAUGCUUUAGUUAUGUAAGGGAAUUGAUUGCGGAAGGGAACGUAAGGCUCUUUUUAUUCCUUAUACCUCAUGCCCUUGUGAUCUGAGUCAUCCUCUUCCUUUCUAUGGGGAUUAAGAACUAGGCUUUCUUAUCUAUCUAUCAGGAUGACGUGUUACUAACCCGUUGACUUAUAGGAUUGAUGGAUUCAUGCUGCAGUUCAGUUCCUACUACUUCCAUAUAUUCAUAACUGGCCGCAGAACCUUGAUAUUAUGAUUCGAGUGGUUAUGCCACCAUUUUUGCAGGAUGUCUCAAAUCUUUUCGAGCAUUUACAGCCGUUAUGCUGUCCGAGUCAUCCCAGGUUUCUAAAUAGUCUGAUGCAUUUGCAAACCUUUUCCCCUGUUCCUGAUGUCCAUUUAGGCCAGGUUAAUCACACUAAUUGUGAGUUGGCGUAUUCUUUUGCCUGGACAUAUAUUUUGGAAUUAUUAUUAUGACCCUAGAUGUCUUAGAGUGCCACCUAGUAAUCGAACCAUGUUUUGCGUUUCUAGUGUGAUGAUUCUGGCCGUUAUUCUUGAAAGCAUCCCGUGAUGCCAUUUAGUUAGUAGGCAUUCUAUUCCUGGGUUUUGAACCCGAGACCCACCCUACCUGCUUCAUGUUGAUAGUGUUUGCUAGUUCCUUAGGACAUUAGUAAACCUUGUGAUAGACCUCGAGGUCCGUGGUAUUUCCUUCUUCCAAUUAUCAUGAACCAUUCAUGGCAGGAGUUCUUUUGAACCAAAAGGUCACGACAGAGUGCUCUUGAUGAGUUCUCCAUUCUAUAUUGUGGCUCUGCCAGUUCUACCUUUCUGCAUGGGUUAUCCGGAAGAAAUAUGUUGAACUCGUUCGACAUACUAACCUAUGCAUCCACAACUCAGAAAGUUAUAUGUUCCUUGAGUUGUUCCUCUUCAGUUGUAUUCCGACCAUCCUCUAUCAGUAGAUAGCCAAGAGUAUGUGUGCAUUUGUGUUCAUCGGUGCCUCUUAUUCUUGUGGUUCGUCGAGCCGUUCUAUUUUAGAAUGACUAGGAGAAACAAACUCCAGUACCUCAUCCAUAUCUAGGGUUGGGUCAAAAUAGUUGUAUUCCGCAGAUCAAAAUGCAACCCAGCUUUUGGUUCUGUUCUACCCUGAAGUAUUACCCACCUUAUGUCAAGAGCGACGUGAGAAUUGCACCUUCUCCUAUGAAUUCUUGACGCAGUGAUACUUCUUGCCAUCAUUGUUCAUUCCUCGGUUCCUGUGUUAUUGUAACCAGAAUGCCGGCACGUGAGUCGUUAUGUGUGAAAUCAAUACUCCUAGCAACUAUGCUGCUUGGUAGUUAAUGGACAAUAUUCUCAUUCUUAGCGUGUUGGUUAUUGAAUUAUCAUUCUAAGACUGAUCGUGCUACCUAGUCCAUAUUUCUGGUGCACACUUCGAUCAAUGGGUUAGGACUGUGCCAAUCCCUCACUCUUUGAUCAUAUCAUCUUGCCCUGAAAAGCAAGGUUGUUCUCGAGCUUAGUAACAUACCGGUGGUUCGUGAUUUUCCGAAUAUCUUCUCAGAAGUGUUACUAGGUUGUCACCUGACCGUUAUGUUGAGUUCAUGAUCAAGAUGGUUUUUCAAUAAACCACUUUUCCCUAAGAAUCUGUGUUGGAUACCCCUGAGCUAGUUGGUUAAGCUUAACAACAACUUGGAGAGUUGGAAGAUGAAAACUUGUCCGACUUAGCUCAUCCCUAAGGGAUAUCCUUGUGUGUGUGGGUGUUGAAGAAAGAUGAUAUAUUCACCAAUUGGUCCUCAUGAUCAGUUGUUGUAUCUAUUAUCUUGUCCAAACCUUGAUUUGAGUGUGGGCUAUCGUCAAAUCAAAUCAGAACCAACGAUGUUCAUAAUGUUGUCUUACUUACGGUUGUCCCUCGAGCAUACACCAUUAUAUAUUUGGUUUGACCAAUACUAUCACAUUGUUCACAUAGUGGUGGAAGUCCAGUGAUAUGGAAAUACCGAUGCGUUGUUGUUGAUCCCAUCAGCAGCCUUUUGUCUCCCCCAUGAGUCAUGUUGAAUGCUACACUAGUAUUGGAAACUUAUAAGCAUUAUCUUUGUGUUUCGUUCAUGAAGCAUAUGUUUGGAUGAAAGAAGUGACUUCCUCUAAUUCAUGUGCACUCGAUGUAAGUUGCCACCAUGAAUUGAGCAAGGUUUGUUUUGUUUCCCUUGGAAUCAUCCCAAAUCAGUCAUGCAUAUGUGCGAAGUAUUCUAUGGUUUGGUAGAUUAAUUACCUCCACUCCAUAUGUGUUCCUAGCACACCAAGCCACUGGUUGAUUUGUUCAAGGAGAAGAAGUUCCUUCUUAAGAAUCAUGACUUAUGUUAGGACUUUGUUAUCCUCGAUAAUGGUUCCCCACCUGAACUCGGUAGUGUUUUAUUAUAAGACUACCAUGUGGUCAUGCUUUUCUGGGACAGCGUGUUCACAUGUGUUUAGCAGAACCAGCUCAUGCUUUGGAGCUUACUACCGUAGUUCAUUCCCCGAGAAUCUCGCAAUGUCGUCUCGUCGAUUUGUGUUGCAAACCUUCAUUUUCCUUUCUAGACUCGAUGAGUCUGGAAUAUCCCGUCACCAACCAGAUCUGAAUCUCAGGCAGAUAUGAUGGUUGGAGCAUUUUCCAAGAACUAUAAUAUUGGUCUCCCGAUAACCGGUAAAGUGGAUGUCGUGGCCAACACAUCCAGCCGGGCGACCUAUUAUUGUAGUAUCUUGAUUGAAGAAAGUUGGCCACCUUCCCAUGAGGAUUUCAUAGGAUUUACUCCAGAAGUUGUUCCUUAUGGAUCUAUUGUAUUCCGAAGUCCGACCACUACUUGGUGGCUAUGCCGAUGCUUAAAGCAUGACCGUGGUUGCCCCCUCUCAGUAGACGUUGUUUCCGACGACGUGAUCGAUGACACCGAUGAAGAGCUAUUCUAUCUUCAGAAGUGCCAGGCAAGCACAACCCCCUUGUUCAUUCCGAUACAAGCCCACUCUCUCGCUCCAGCUCUCUUUUACUGCAUUAGGACAACAACGAUUCAUCUGUUACUUGUUGCGGUAGUUGAACCCCUUAUCCUCUGCAUGACCUGUCAUUGCCACAGUAAUUAGAUGAAACCCACUAGCAUGAGUAGGAGUUGUUUGAGCCCUGAUGUGCCUACUCAUUCAUGCUUGUUUGUCAUGCCUGCUACUGCUUAGAGUUGAGUCAGGUCUGAUUCAUCGGGGAUGGAUCGGAGGUGUGUAAACAUGUCCUAUUGUGUGUGAGCUAAGUGUGUGAACACGUUUUGGUAAAGGUAGCGGUGAGAGGCCAUGUAGGAGUACAUGGUGGGUUGUCUCAUUGAAACCGUCCUCAGGAACUGAGUUCUGUGUUUGUGAUCCAUGAAAUAGCUACUACGACACGUUGGCCCUGAAAUAUGACCCCGCUCGACUUACUGACCCCUCUCGUCCUCUGUCCAGGAGUUGCAAUUAGUUUCUGGUGUUUAUAGGAUAUGUGUUGGCGGCCGUGCGUAGCGCUGACCCUAGGGGUGGGCUAUGAUGCGGUAGAUACACCGUGGCCCGGUGUACCGGGCGCCCGUUUGGUGUCUCGGGAACCCUGCACACAUCGUUUGGGGCUGUGAGCGAAACUCCGGCCGGAUCUCCUCGCGGAUGGAACCCGAAUAGGCAAUAAACCUGGACUAGAGACUUGUGUGGUUAGUCAGGUCGUGGUCUACACCCAUGUCGGCUUUCGCUUGAAGUCUGCCGAGCACAUGUCGUGUGCAGACGCUAAGUGGUGGAAACAUGUGUGACGAAGUACACCCCUACAGGGUUAUAAAUGAUCUAUUCGAAUAGCCGUGUCCGCGGUAAAGGACUUCUGGGUUGCCUAUAACAGUUCAUAGACAAGUGAAAGUGGAUACUCUAAAAACUCGCAAGAUAAGUGUGAGUGCUAUGGAUGGCCUUCUCGUAGGGAGACGAGAGCGGAUCCAUAGUGGUGUAUUGAAUGGUGAAUAUGUGGACUCGUGUGCGCCACCUCAAAAGAGUUGCUUUCAAUCGUAUUUCAGGUUAGCCCCGGAGUCAAAGCUGGCUUGCUGUAGUUAAACUCCACCCCCCCCCUUUGAUGAUACCGAUGCAUAUGUAGUUUAGAUCUGAUGUAAGUCUUGCUGAGUACCUUUGUACUCACGUUUGCUUAAUUUAUGUUUUGUAGAGAGACUUCAGUCUCGCUAGUAGUUCCGCGUGGACCUCGAGGUUUAGCUUGAUACCUCAGCUACGAUCUUGUGCCCUCGACAGGAUCUGGUAGAUAGUCAGGCUUCUUAGCCUUUUUCAUUUAUAGAUGUCUGUACUCAGACAUGUUAAGCUUCCGCAUGUGCUUUGGAUUGUAUGCUAUGAUUGUUGGGUCAUGAGACCCAUGCUUGUAAUAUCUGGCUCUUCAGAGCCUAAUGAAUUAAUACUUGAGUCGUAGAGUCUUGUUGUGAUGCCAUGUUGUAUUUACACAUAUCGACCAUAUUGUGUGUAUGAUUGAAAUGCUUGGUAUGUGUAGGAUCCGACAACCUAGUUGUUUAUCCCUCGCAACCUUUCUUAUGGGGAAAUGUAGUCUAGUGUUCCUUGAGCCAUAGUAGUCCGCUAUAGCCCGGUUCACCGGAGUCCUACUAGCCCAGCACUACUGUUCAGGACACUUGACUGGCCGGCAUGUGUUUCACUUCGUCCCUAUGUCUGUCCCUUCGGGGAAAUGUCACGCGGUGAUUUCCGGUGUCCUGCCUAGCCUCCUACAGCCCGGGAUCCCCGGAGUCCUGUUAGCCCAGUGCCACAGCCCGGAAUCACUCGUUGAUGACCGACAUGUUCGAUGUGAUUCAUGUAUGCCUGUCUCCAUAGGUCUGUGCCGCUUUGGGUUCACGACAAGCCAUGUCGGCCCAGGUUCUUUGUCAUAUGGAUGCUAGCGACACUAUCAUAUACGUGAGCCAAAAGGCGCAAACGGUCCCGGGCCAGUUAAGGUGGCACCCGUGGGAAUACCGCGCGUGAGGCCACAAAGUGAUAUGAUGUGUUACAUGCUAGAUUGGUGUAACCUAGGAUCGGGGUCCUGACACUAUCGUUGUGGUUUUGAUGCGUAGGUAAGAUUGGUUCUUGCUUAAGCCCGUAGCAGCCACGUAAAACUUGCAACAAACAAAGUAGAGGACGUCUAACUUGUUUUUGUAGGGCAUGUUGUGAUGUGAUAUGGUCAAGACAUGAUGCUAAAUUUUAUUGUAUGAGAUGAUCAUGUUUUGUAACUGAGUUAUCGGCAAUUGGCAGGAGCCAUAUGGUUGUCGCUUUAUUGUAUGCAAUGCAAUCGCCCUGUAAUGCUUUACUUUAUCACUAAGCGGCCGGUAGCGAUAGUCGUAGAAGCAUAAGAUUGGCGAGACGACAACGAUGCUACGAUGGAGAUCAAGGUGUCGCGCCGGUGACGAUGGUGAUCAUGACGGUGCUUCAGAGAUGGAGAUCACAAGCACAAGAUGAUGAUGGCCAUAUCAUAUCACUUAUAUUGAUUGCAUGUGAUGUUUAUCUUUUAUGCAUCUUAUCUUGCUUUGAUUGACGAUAGCAUUAUAAGAUGAUCUCUCACUAAAUUAUCAAGAAGUGUUCUCCCUAUGUAUGCACCGUUGCUAAAGUUCGUCGUGCCCAGACACCACGUGAUGAUCGAGUGUGAUAAGCUCUACGUCCAUCUACAACGGGUGCAAGCCAAUUUUGCACACGCAGAAUACUUGGGUUAAACUUGACGAGCCUAGCAUAUGCAGAUAUGGCCUCGGAACACGGAGACUGAAAGGUCGAGCGUGAAUCAUAUAGUAGAUAUGAUCAACAUAAUGAUGUUCACCAUUGAAAACUAAUCCAUUUCACGUGAUGAUCGGUUAUGGUUUAGUUGAUUUGGAUCACGUGAUCACUUAGAGGAUUAGAGGGAUGUCUAUCUAAGUGGGAGUUCUUAAGUAAUAUGAUUAAUUGAACUUCAAUUUAUCAUGAACUUAGUCCCUGAUAGUAUCUUGCUUGUUUAUGUUGAUUGUAGAUAGAUGGCCCGUGCUGUUGUUCCAUUAAAUUUUAAUGCGUUCCUUGAGAAAGCAAAGUUGAAAGAUGAUGGUAGCAAUUACACGGACUUGGUCCAUAACUUGAGGAUUAUCCUCAUUGCUGCACAGAAGAGUUACGUCCUGGAAGCACCGCUGGGUGCCAGGCCUGCUGCUGAUGCAACUGACGACGUUAAGAACGUCUGGCAGAGCAAAGCUGAUGACUACUCGAUAGUUCAAUGUGCCAUGCUUUACGGCUUAGAACCGGGACUUCAACGGCGUUUUGAACAUCAUGGGGCAUAUAAGAUGUUCCAGGUGUUGAAGUUAAUAUUCCAGCAGAAUGCCCGGAUUGAGAGAUAUGAAGUCUCCAAUAAAUUCUAUAGCUGCAAGAUGGAGGAGAAUAGUUCUGUCAGUGAGCAUAUACUCAAGAUGUCUGGGUAUUGUAAUCACUUGAUUCAACUGGGAGUUAAUCUUCCGGAUGAUAGCGUCAUUGACAGAAUUCUCCAAUCACUUCCACCAAGCUACAAGAGCUUCGGGAUGAACUAUAAUAUGCAAGGGAUGGAUAAGACAAUUCCCGAGCUCUUCGCAAUGCUAAAGGUUGCGGAGGUAGAAAUCAAGAAGGAGCAUCAAGUGUUGAUGGUCAACAAGACCACUUGUUUCAAGAAAAAGGGCAAAGGGAAGAAGAAGGGGAACUUCAAGAAGAACAGCAAGCAAGUUGCUGCUCAGGAGAAGAAACCCAAGUCUGGACCUAAGCCUGAAACCGAGUGCUUCUACUACAAGCAGACUGGUCACUUGAAGCGGAACUGCCCCAAGUAUUUGGCGGAUAAGAAGGAUGGCAAAGUGAACAAAGGUAUAUGUGAUAUAGAUGUUAUUGAUGUGUACCUUACUAGAGCUCGCAGUAGCACCUGGGUAUUUGAUACUGGUUCUGUUGCUAAUAUUUGCAACUCGAAACAGGGACUACGGAUUAAGCGAACACUGGCAAAGGACGAGGUGACGAUGCGCAUGGGAAAUGGUUCCAAAGUCGAUGUGAUCGCGGUCGGCAUGCUACCUCUACAUCUACCUUCGGGAUUAGUAUUAGACCUAAAUAAUUGUUAUUUGGUGCCAGUGUUGAGCAUGAACAUUAUAUCUAGAUCUUGUUUAAUGCGAGACGGUUAUUCAUUUAAAUCAGAGAAUAAUGGUUGUUCUAGUUAUAUGAGUAAUAUCUUUUAUGGUCAUGCACCCUUGAAGAGUGGUCUAUUUUUGAUGAAUCUCGAUAGUAGUGAUACACAUAUUCAUAAUGUUGAAGCCAAAAGAUGCAGAGUUGAUAAUGAUUGUGCAACUUAUUUGUGGCACUGCCAUUUAGGUCAUAUCGGUGUAAAGCGCAUGAAGAAACUCCAUACUGAUGGACUUUUGGAACCACUUGAUUAUGAAUCACUUGGUACUUGCGAACCGUGCCUCAUGGGCAAGAUGACUAAAGCACCAUUCUCCGGUACUAUGGAGAGAGCAACAGAUUUGUUGGAAAUCAUACAUACAGAUGUAUGUGGUCCGAUGAAUGUUGAGGCUCGUGGCGGAUAUCAUUAUUUUCUCACCUUCACAGAUGAUUUAAGCAGAUAUGGGUAUAUCUACUUAAUGAAACAUAAGUCUGAAACAUUUGAAAAGUUCAAAGAAUUUCAGAGUGAAGUGGAAAAUCAUCGUAACAAGAAAAUAAAGUUUCUACGAUCUGAUCGUGGAGGAGAAUAUUUGAGUUACGAGUUUGGUGUACAUUUGAAACAAUGCGGAAUAGUUUCGCAACUCACGCCACCCAGAACACCACAACGUAAUGGUGUGUCCGAACGUCGUAAUCUUACUUUACUAGAUAUGGUGCAAUCUAUGAUGUCUCUUACAGAUUUACCGCUAUCGUUUUGGGGUUAUGCUUUAGAGACGGCCACAUUCACGUUAAGUAGGGCACCAUCAAAAUCCGUUGAGACGACAACUUAUGAACUGUGGUUUGGCAAGAAACCAAAGUUGUCAUUUCUUAAAGUUUGGGGCUGCGAUGCUUAUGUGAAAAAGCUUCAACCUGAUAAGCUCGAACGAUAAUCGGAGAAAUGUGUCUUCAUAGGAUACCCAAAGGAAACUGUUGGUUACACCUUCUAUCAUAGAUCCGAAGGCAAGACAUUCGUUGCUAAAAAUGGAUCCUUUCUAGAGAAGGAGUUUCUCUCGAAAGAAGUGAGUGGGAGGAAAGUAGAACUUGAUGAGGUAACUAUACCUGCUCCCUUAUUGGAAAGUAGUUCAUCACAGAAACCGGUUUCUGCGACACCUACACCAAUUAGUGAUGAAUUUAAUGAUGAUGAUCAUGAAAUUUCAGAUCAAGUUACUACUGAGCCUCGUAGAUCAACCAGAGUAAGAUCCGCACCAGAGUGGUACGGUAAUCCUGUUCUAGAAGUCAUGCUACUAGAUCAUGAUGAACCUACGAACUAUGAAGAAGCGAUGGUGAGCCCAGAUUCCGCAAAAUGGCUUGAAGCCAUGAAAUCUGAGAUGGGAUCCAUGUAUGAUAACAAAGUAUGGACUUUGGUUGACUUGCCCGAUGAUCGGCAAGCAAUUGAGAACAAAUGGAUCUUUAAGAAGAAGACUGACGUGACGGUAAUGUUACUGUCUACAAAGCUCGACUUGUCGCAAAAGGUUUUCAACAAGUUGAAGGGAUUGACUACGAUGAGACCUUCUCACCCGUAGCGAUGCUUAAGUCUAUCCGAAUCAUGUUAGCAAUUGCCGCAUUUUAUGAUUAUGAAAUUUGGCAGAUGGAUCUAAAAACUGCAUUCCUGAAUGGAUUUCUGGAAGAAGAGUUGUAUAUGAUGCAACCAGAAGGUUUUAUCGAUCCAAAGGGAACUAACAAAGUGUGCAAGCUCCAGCGAUCCAUUUAUGGACUGGUGCAAGCCUCUCGGAGUUGGAAUAAACUCUUUGAUAGUGUGAUCAAAGCAUUUGGGUUUGUAUAGACUUUUGGAGAAGCCUGUAUUUACAAGAAAGUGAGUGGGAGCUCUAUAGCAUUUCUGAUAUUAUAUGUGGAUGACAUAUUACUAAUCGGAAAUGAUAUAGAAUUUCUGGAUAGCAUAAAGGGAUACUUGAAUAAGAGUUUUUCAAUGAAAGACCUCGGUGAAGCUGCUUACAUAUUGGGCAUUAAGAUCUAUAGAGAUAGAUCAAGACGCUUAAUUGGACUUUCACAAAACACAUACCUUGACAAAGUUUUGAAGAGGUUCAAAAUGGAUCAAGCAAAGAAAGGGUUCUUGCCUGUGUUACAAGGUGUGAAGUUGAGUAAGAAUCAAUGCUCGACCACUUCAGAAGAUAGAGAGAAAAUGAAAGAUGUUCCCUAUGCUUCAGCAGUAGGCUCUAUCAUGUAUGCAAUGCUGUGUACCAGACCUGAUGUGUGCCUUGCUAUAAGUUUAGCAGGGAGGUACCAAAGUAAUCCAGCAGUGGAUCACUGGACGGCGGUCAAGAACAUCCUGAAGUACCUAAAAAGGACUAAGGAUAUGUUUCUCGUAUAUGGAGGUGACAAAGAGCUCAUUGUAAACAGUUACGUUGAUGCAAGCUUUGACACUGAUCCGGACAAUUCUAAAUCGCAAACCAGAUACGUGUUUACAUUAAACGGUGGAGCUGUCAGUUGGUGCAGUUCUAAACAAAGCGUCGUGGCAGGAUCUACAUGUGAAGCGGAGUACAUAGCUGCUUCGGAAGCAGCAAACGAAGGAGUCUGGAUGAAGGAGUUCAUAUCCGAUCUAGGUGUCAUACCUAGUGCAUCGGGUCCAAUGAAAACCUUUUGUGACAAUACUAGUGCAAUUGCCUUGGCAAAGGAAUCCAUAUUUCACAAAAGAACCAAGCACAUCAAGAGACGCUUCAAUUCCAUCCGAGAUCUAGUCCAGGUGGGAGAGAUAGAGAUUUGCAAGAUACAUACGGAUCUGAAUGUAGAAGACCCAUUGACUAAGCCUCUUCCACGAGCAAAACAUGAUCAUCACCAAGGCUCCAUGGGUGUCAGAAUCAUUACUGUGUAAUCUAGAUUAUUGACUCUAGUGCAAGUGGGAGACUGAAGGAAAUAUGCCCUAGAGGCAAUAAUAAAGUUAUUAUUUAUUUCCUUAUAUCAUGAUGAAUGUUUAUUAUUCAUGCUGGAAUUGUAUUAACCGGAAACAUAAUACAUGUGUGAAUACAUAGACAAACAAAGUGUCACUAGUAUGCCUCUACUUGACUAGCUCGUUAAUCAAAGAUGGUUAUGUUUCCUAACCAUAGACAAAGAGUUUUUAUUUGAUUAAUAGGAUCACAUCAUUAGUUGAAUGAUAUGAUUGACAUGACCCAUUCCAUUAGCUUAGCACCCGAUCAUUCUUCAUGACUUAUACAUGUUCCUAUGACUAUGAGAUGAUGCAACUUCCGUUUACUGGAGGAACACUUUGUGUGCUACCAAACGUCACAACGUAACUGGGUGAUUAUAAAGGAGCCCUAUAGGUGUCUCCAAAGGUACAUAUUGGGUUGGCGUAUUUCGAGAUUAGGAUUUGUCACUCCGUUUGUCGGAGAGGUAUCUCUGGGCCCUCUCGGUAAUGCACAUCACAUAAGCCUUGCAAGCAUUGCAACUACUGUGUUACUUGUGAGACGAUGUAUUACGGAACGAGUAAAGAGACUUGCCGGUAAAGAGAUUGAACUAGGUAUUGGAUACCGACGAUCGAAUCUCGGGCAGGUAACAUAUCGAUGACAAAGGGAACAACGUAUGUAGUUAUGCGGUCUCAACGAUAAAGAUCUUCGUAGAAUAUGUAGGAUCCAAUAUGGGCAUCCAGGUCCUGCUAUUGGUUAUUGACCGGAAACGUGUCUCGGUCAUGUCUACAUUGUUCUCGAACCGUAGGGUCCGCACGCUUAAAGUUACGAUGACAGUUUCAUUAUGAGUUUAUGUAUUUUGAUGUACCGAAGGUUGUUCGGAGUCCCGGAUGUGAUCACGGACAUGACGAGGAGUCUCGGAAUGGUCGAGACAUAAAGAUCGAUAUAUUGGAAGCCUAUAUUUGGACAUCGGAAUCGUUUUGGGUGAAAUCGGCAUUAUACCGGAGUACCGGGGGGUUACCGGAACCCCCCGGGGGGUUAUUGGGCCUACAUGGGCCUUGAGGAAGAAGAGAGAAGGAGGUAGGAGGUGGCCGCGCGCCCCUCCCCUUCCUAGUAUGAAUAGGACAAGGGAAGGGGGCGGUGCCCCCCCCUUUCCUUCCCCUCUUCCUCCUCUUUCCUCCCUUCUCCUUCUCCAACUAGGAAAGAAGGGAGUCCUACUCCCGGUGGGAGUAGGACUCCCCCCUGGUGCGCCCCUCCUUGGCCGGCCGCCCCCUCCCCUUGGCUCCUUUAUAUACGGGGGCAGGGGGGCACCCUAGGACACAGAAGUUGACCUUCGUGAUCGUUCCUUAGCCGUGUGCGGUGCCCCCCUCCACGAUAUUACACCUCGAUCAUAUUGUAGUAGUGCUUAGGCGAAGCCCUGCGACGGUUAAACAUCAAGAUCGUCACCACGCCGUCGUGCUGACGAAACUCCUCCCCGAAGCUUUGCUGGAUCGGAGCUCGGGGUGCAUCAUCGAGCUGUACGUGUGUCAAGAACUCGGAGGUGCUGGAGUAACGGUGCUUGGAUUGGUUGGACCGGGAAGACGUACGACUACUUCCUCUACGUUGCGUCAACGCUUCCGCUUCGGUCUACGAGGGUACGUAGACAACACUCUCCCCUCUCGUUGCUAUGCAUCACCAUGAUCUUGCGUGUGCGUAGGAAAUUUUUUGAAAUUACUACAUUCCCCAACAGUUGCUCCACCGACGUACUCCUUCCUCCUAUAUAUACCUGCGUACCCCCAAACGACCAGAUACGGAGCCAAAACCCUAAUUCCACCACCGCAACUUUCUGUAUCCACGAGAUCCCAUCUUGGCGCCUGUUCCGGAGCUCCACCGGAGAGGGCAUCGAUCACGGAGGGCUUCCACAUGAACAGCAUAGCCUCUCCGAUGAAGUGUGAGUAGUUGACCUCAGACCUACAGUCCAUAGUUAUUACCUAGAUGGCUUCUCCUCUCUUUUUGGAUCUCAAUACAAUGUUCUCCCCUCUCUUGUGGAGAACUAUUCGAUGUAAUCUUCUUUUUGCGGUGUGUUUAUUGAGACCGAUGAAUUGUGGGUUGAUGAUCAAGUCUAUCUAUGAAUAAUAUUUGAAUCUUCUCUGAAUUCUUUUAUGUAUGAUUGUUUAUCUUUGCGAGUCUCUUCGAACUAUUAGUUUGGUUUGGCCUACUAGAUUGAUCUUUCUUACAAUGGGAGAAGUGCUUAGCUUUAGGUUCAAUCUUGCGGUGUCCUUUCCCAGUGACAGUAGGGGCAGCAAGGCAUGUAUUGUAUUUUUGCCAUCGAGGACAACAAGAUGGGGUUUUCAUCAUAUUGCAUUAGUUUAUCCCUCUACAUCAUGUCAUCUAGCUUAAGGCGUUACUCUGUUUUUAACUUAAUACUCUAGAAGCAUGCUGGAUAGCGGUCGAUGAGUGGAGUAAUAGUAGUAGAUGCAGGCAGAAGUCGGUCUACUUGUCUCGGACGUGAUGCCUAUAUACAUGAUCAUACCUAGAUAUUCUCAUAAAUAUGCUCAAUUCUGUCAAUUGCUCAACAGUAAUUUGUUCACCCACCAUAGAAUAAUUAUGCUCUCGAGAGAAGCUACUAGUGAAACCUAUGGCCUCGGGAUCUAUGUUUAUCAUAUUAAUCUUCUACUACUUAGUUAUUUCCUUUGCCUUUAUUUUACUUUUCAUUUUUAUCAAAAAAAAUACCAAACAUAUUAUCUUUAUCAUAUCUAUUAGAUCUCACUCUCGUAAGUGGCCGUGUAGGGAUUGACAACCCCUAUUCGUGUUGGUUCCGAGGAUUUAUUUGUUUUGUGCAAGUACGAGGGACUCGCACGUAGCCUCCUACUGGAUUGAUACCUUGGUUCUCAAAAACUGAGGGAAAUACUUAUGCUACUUUGCUGCAUCAUCCCUUCCUCUUCGGGGAAAACCAACGCAGUGCUCAAGAGGUAGCAAGAAGGAUUUCUGGUGCCGUUGCCGGGGAGGUCUACGCAAAAGUCAACAUACCAAGUACCCAUCACAUACCCUUAUCUCCCGCAUUACAUUAUUUGCCAUUUGCCUCUCGUUUUCACCUCCCCCACUUCACCCUUGCCGUUUUAUUCGCCGUCUCUCUCUAUCCUCCCUCUCUUUCUCUAUUUGCCUCUUUUUUCCCGCUUGCUUUCUGUUUGCUUGUGUGUUAGUUGCUUGCUUGUCAUGAUGGCUCAAGAUAAUACUAAAUUAUGUGACUUCACGAUGGCUAAAGCUUGGUUUUCAUCUUUGCCUAAAAAUAGUAAUGAUUCAUGGAAUAAGUGCAAAGAUGCUUUUUUCUCUAAGUAUUUUCCUCCUGCUAAGAUCAUCUCUCUUAGAAACGAUAUUAUGAAUUUUAAGCAACUUGAUCAUGAACAUGUUGCACAAGCUUGGGAGAGAAUGAAACUAAUGGUACAUAAUUGCGCUGCCCAUGGUUUAAAUUUGUGGAUGAUUAUACAAAUAUUUUAUGCCGGAUUGAAUUUUGCUUCAAGAAAUCUUUUAGAUUUGGCCGCGGGAGGCACUUUUAUGGAAAUCACUUUAGGAGAAGCUACUAAACUCAUAGAUAAUAUUAUGGUGAAUUAUGCUCAACGGCAUACUGAAAGAUCUACUAAUAAAAAGGUGCAUGCGAUAGAAGAAAUUAAUGUUUUGAGUGGAAAGAUGGAUGAACUUAUGAAAUUAUUUGCUAAUAAGAGUGUUUCUUCUAAUCCUAAUGAUAUGCCCUUGUCUAGUUUGAUUCAGAAUAAUAACGAAUCUAUGGAUGUGGAUUUUGUUGGUAGGAACAAUUUUGGUAACAACGCGUAUAGAGGAAAUUUCAACCCUAGGCCUUAUCCUAGUAAUCUCUCUAAUAAUUAUGGUAAUUCCGACAACAAUUCUUAUGGAAAUUAUAAUAAGAUGCCCUCUGAUUUUGAAUCUAAUAUUAAAGAAUUUAUUACUUCGCAAAAGAAUUUCAAUGCUUUGAUUGAAGAAAAAUUGCUUAAGAUUGAUGAUUUGGCUAGGAACGUUGAUAGAAUUACUCUUGAUGUUGAUUCUUUGAAACUUAGAUCUAUUCCACCUAAGAAUGAUGUCAAUGAGUCUCUCAAAGCCAUGAGAAUUUCCAUUGAUGAGUGCAAAGAAAGAACCGCUAGGAUGCGUGCUAAGAAAGAUGCCUUUAUAAUAGCGUGUUCUUCUAGUUCCUAUGAAAAUAAUGAUGAAGAUCUAAAAGUUAUUGAUGUGUUCCCUAUUAAAUCUUUGUUUUGCAAUAUGAAUCUUGAUAGUGAUGGGACUGAAUAUGAUCCACCUUUACCUAGAAGGCGUUCCAAGAAUUCAGAAUUUGUUGAUCUUGAUGCUAAAAUUGAUAAAGGAGGGAUUGAAGAAAUUAAAACCCUAGAUGUUGCUAAACCCACUAUUAUGGAUUUCAAGGACUUUAACUAUGAAAAUUGCUCUUUGAUUGAUUGUAUAUCCUUUUUACAAUCCGUGCUAAAUUCUCCUCAUGCUUAUAGUCAAAAUAAAUCGUUUACUAAACAUAUCGUUGAUACCUUGAUGCAAUCUUAUGAAGAAAAACUUGAAUUGGAAGUUUCUUUCCCUAGAAAGCUUUAUGAUGAGUGGGAACCAACUAUUAAAAUUAAAAUUAAAUAUCAUGAAUGCUAUGCUUUAUGUGAUUUGGGUGCUAGUGUUUCCACGAUUCCAAAGACUUUGUGUGAUUUGUUAGGUUUCCAUGAUUUUGAUGAUUGCUCUUUAAACUUGCGCCUUGCGGAUUCCACUAUUAAGAAACCUAUGGGAAGAAUUAAUGAUGUUCUUAUUGAUGCAAAUAGGAAUUAUGUGCUUGUAGAUUUUAUUGUUCUUGACAUAGAUUGCAAUCUUUCAUGUCCUAUUAUUCUUGGUAGACCUUUCCUUAGAACGAUUGGUGCAAUUAUUGAUAUGAAGGAAGGAAAUAUUAGAUUCCAAUUUCCAUUAAGGAAAGGCAUGGAACACUUUACUAGAAAGUCAAUUAAAUUACCUUAUGAAUCUAUUAUGAUAGCCACUUAUGGAUUGUUGGGGAACGUAGUAAUUUCAAAAAAUUUCCUACGCACACGCAAGAUCAUGGUGAUGCAUAGCAACGAGAGGGGAGAGUGUUGUCUAUGUACCCUCGUAGACUGAAGCGGAAGCGUUGACGCAACGUAGAGGAAGUAGUCGUACGUCUUCCUGAUCCGACCGAUCCAAGCACCGUUACUCAGGCACCUCCGAGGUCUUGGCACACGUUCAGCUCGAUGACGAUCCCCAGGCUCCGAUCCAGCAAAGCGUCGGGGAGGAGUUCCGUCAGCACGACUGCGUGGUGACGAUCUUGAUGUUCUACCGUCGCAGGGCUUCGCCUAAGCACCGCUAAAAUAUGACCGAGGUGUAAUAUCAUGGAGAGGGGCACCGCACAAGGCUAAGGAACAAUCACGAAGAUCAACUUGUGUGUCCAUGGGGUGCCCCCUGCCCCCGUAUAUAAAGGAGUGGAGGACGGGAGGGCGACCCUCUCUAUGGCGCGCCCUAGGGGAGUCCUACUCCCAUAGGGAGUAGGAUUCCCCCUUUUCCUAGUCCAACUAGGAGUCCUUCCAUGUAGUAGCACUAGUGCAGAACCGGGCAAUAGCACCGGUUCGUAAGGCCCUUUAGUGCCGGUUAGGUAACCGGCACUAAAAUUUCAGCACUAAAGGCCCCCCCUUUAGUACCGGUUCAGCACGAACCGGUGCUAAAGGGCAACCACAUGGCACGAGCGAGCUCCGGGGGCCGGGAGCCCUUUAGUACCGGUUGGUAACACCAACCGGUACUAAAAUGUUUGGGGGGUUUUUGGUUUUAUGAUUUCUUUUUCAUUAAAUUUUGUGUUUUCCAUUUUAAUUCUUUUUCGUUUGCUGGUAUUUUACGGUACUACACGUUGUACACGUUAUAUAUAUAUAUAUAUAUAAAUAGAAUUUCUAGUAGAACCAAUCAUAUAUAUAUCAUCAAUCAUGUCUCACAAAACACCAUAUUAAUUCACACAUACACACAUGUAUAGCUAUAUACAAUUUCUCCUACAUAUGCAUGUUGCCUUCGGAGCCAGUGGCAUUAGCCUGAUUGGUGCCUUCGGAGCACGAUGACAAUUGGAAGUGGUUCAUGACCUGGUCGAUGGGGGCGGUAGCGGGUAAUAGUAUUCUCCCUUCGGAUUUAUGACCUGGUCGAGCAAAAAUCCUGCUAUUUCCUAUUGAAGUGCUUCUACGCGCUCCGUUUCUAGGAGCUUGUCCCGCACCUCUUUGAACUAUUAAGAAGGAGAUCAAUAUGCAUGUGUAUUAGUUGUGUGACUAGAUAUUGAUAAUGGUGUAAAAAUUGUGAAUAGUGUUCUGACAAGCGUACCCAUUCCUGUCUUUGAGAUCUGCUCCUUCCGGACGCCAUCAUGCGAAUGUUCUCGCAAACGCAGAAUGCACACAGUUCAGUCCCCUGCGCCUGCUUCAGGGCCUUUAUUACGAGAAUGGAAUUUAAUUUGAUCAGAUAAUAAUUAAUCAAGCAUGAUAAUUAAAGAGAUGGCAGCUAGCUAGCUAGCUAGUACUACUUAAUUACUUACCUUGGCUCGAGACCAUUUCAGCUGUGGUUUCCAUUCGCCUUCCGUGUCGCUGAUGAACCUUGCCCAAGCCCUGCCCGCCGACAAAGAAAAUGAAUAAAGGGGUUAUUAAAUAGUUCAUAUCAUGAAAUGAAGAACUAAAUAGGCCGAGAUAUAUAGUUAAUAAUGAUUGAAAUUACCUGUUGACUAUCCCAAACAAGAUGUUAUAGUCACUAUUUCCUUUGAGUAGCGAGUCCAGUAUUUCAACUAUUCCGGCAUCAACUUUAAUGAUACACAAGAUCCAGUGAAAUCUGCAUGCACACACGUUUGCAAGUCUUAAUUAAGCGGGCAUAUGUAAGCAAAAACAUGUAGCUAGCUAGUAGGCAAAAAUAGAGAAUUUGUAGUACAAGAAAGUGUGACUCACUGGCAGUUGUAAGGAAGUAGUAUAUCUUCAUUGUAUUUGAGGAGCUUCAAGAACUCUAGCAUGCUGUCCUCUACCUCUUUUUCAUGAUGCUUGUUUAUUUUCCAUGUGUAUUCAUUAACGGUGUUUGGGUCAAUGAACCCAAUGCCAUAGCGUCCACCUUUUCUCAUUCCAUACAUCUUCAUCCUGCAUAAUACCACAGAAAAGAAUAUAGUAAGGAUAAUUACACGUAAUGAUUGAUCAAAAGGAUCACUACAGCUAGCUUGAGACUUAAAUUACAGAAAGAAAUCACUUACAGACAAUAGCAACUGACGAUAGAUUUGUCGAGUGUGUCUUGAUUGUAUAACUGAAACAGUUCAGAAUACUCAACGGCCACAACUUUCUCAUGGUAGUAAUCAUCCUUCUUGACAUACACCAUGAGGGACUCUCGAUCGGAUCUCUUGGUAAUGUCCAUGUACCAUUGAUGCAAUUCAUACAUUCUCGUUGGGAGCUUCUUGACAUCUUCUGGCUCGACCAAAGGUUGGCCCCGAACAUAUUUCCGUUUUAUUUCCUCCUCUGUAAUCAGAGGCAUGUCCUCGAUCUCGAGGAGUUGUCCAACAGUGAUCUUGAGUUCUUCAGCCUGCAUUAUAUGCUCCUCGGUUAUUACCACAUCGCCCACCUCGGGAAUGUAAACUGUUUGGCCACAAUAAUAUUGGGCGCGCGUACUGUCACGUGUUGUUGGCGGCACAACAAGCGGNNNNNNNNNNNNNNNNNNNNNNNNNNNNNNNNNNNNNNNNNNNNNNNNNNNNNNNNNNNNNNNNNNNNNNNNNNNNNNNNNNNNNNNNNNNNNNNNNNNNNNNNNNNNNNNNNNNNNNNNNNNNNNNNNNNNNNNNNNNNNNNNNNNNNNNNNNNNNNNNNNNNNNNNNNNNNNNNNNNNNNNNNNNNNNNNNNNNNNNNNNNNNNNNNNNNNNNNNNNNNNNNNNNNNNNNNNNNNNNNNNNNNNNNNNNNNNNNNNNNNNNNUUCCCAGCUGGGCAACGGUUUUCCUGCAUUUUUUGACAGCUGCUUGUUGUUUGCUCGAGCUCGAGCUCGCCUCCUUCUGUAGACGUUGUCGAUGUAACUUCCUGAUGUGGCGCUCAUAGUCUGUUUCAACAGGCUUAGGAGCUAGUGGUUGAGCCAUACGAAUGAAGUGGUCAACUACUUCCACAGGCACUUUCUCCCUUGGCGGCGGUGGCGGUUUCGGUCCAAAAUGGGCGUCGACUUCUGCCCGCACUAUGGCAUUGGUUUGCUCCUCAGUCCUGUCGUAAGCCCUCACAGGAAGAGGAGUACUGAGGUUUGGACCAUAUUUAUAUCGCUUGCCUCCACCUGUACUUCCUGUACUAUCACCUCGACUCGUACCGCUACGCACCAUAGCUGCGGGGUGUCUCUUCUGCGAUUGCUGAGGCGGCGGAGACGGCAGACGGGGCUGAGUUAGACGAGGAGGAGUGGCCUGAAGCUGUGCCGGACUUGGAGGAGGAGUGGCCUGAGGUUGUGCCGGACUUGGAGGAGGAGUGGACGUCUGACGCUGUGUCGGACUUGGAGGAGGAGUGGCCUCACACAUUGCCGGACUUGGAGGAGGAGGAGUGGCCUCACGCGUUGAUGGACUUGGAGCGGGAGUCUGCUGACUCGGUGGUGGACUUCGACGAGGAGUCGGGUGACGCGGUGUCGGUGGCCUUCGAAAGAUGAUGCAAUCCUUUCUCCAUAGGAUGACAUGAUGUAUGGCCUCUCCCAAUGUGUGCUCGUCGUCACCUCUAGGAAUGUCAAGUUGUAGCUCCGAAUAUGGGUCCACCACCUCAUCAACCAAGACACGAGCAUAGCCUGCUGGAAUCGGGUUGCAAUGGAAGGUUGCCUCGGGGGAAUUUGAAAAAGCAACGGCGUCCGCCACCUUCAUGGAUAUGUUCUUCAUUUUGAAGUGUACCUCGCAGUUAGUGUUCUCCGUGAUGUCAUCCAUGGGGUAUCUAUCCAGCACUGCGUCGCCCGGGGCGGAACCCACGCUGCUUCUCGGCAUGGAUGGGGUGGUGGUAUCCAAUGCUGGAUCAUCCGCUAGGUGCUGCAGCUGCUGAGACCCCAUUUGCUGGCUAAGUGAGUCGAUCUGCUCCUGCUGCCGCUGGAAUUUAGCUGCCAAUUCCGCUUGACUUGCUUCUAGGCCUUGAAGGCGUUCAUAGUCCCGCUUCCUUUGCUCCUCCUCCAUCUUCCUCUUCUUCUCCUCCGCAAUCUUCUUUCUCGCACGGGUUCUGUAGUCGGCGUUCCAGUCCGAAAACCCCUCAUACCACGGAAUAGCGCCCUUGCCUCGUGGUCUUCCCGGGUGUUCAGGAUUUCCCUGGGCACGCGUAAGCUCGUCCUUCUCUCUGUUGGGCUGAAACACCCCCGAUCGAGCCUCUUCUAUUGCAACAAGUAGCGCAUCGUCGGCUCCAUUCAGACAUGCCUUCGUCAAAACAUUGCCUGUCUUCGGGUCCAACUCCCCCCCAUGCGCAUAGAACCAAGUCCUGCACCUAGGGGGCCAACUCUUAGUAAACGGAGUGGCACCUGCAUCCUCCAUCUCUUUCUCAGACUUAUCCCACUUAGGCAUUGCCACCGUGUAGCCAGCUGGCCCCAGCUUAUGGAACUUAUCCUUUUUUCGGCAUUCUUCUUGUUUAUUCUCGACCGUUCCUUAGCUAAUUCGGAAUCCUUGAAUUUCAUGAAAUCGUCCCAAUGAGAACUUUGAUUCUCUAGUAUCCCCUCGAAUACUGGAGUCUUCCUUCCUCCCUUGACGUACUUCUCCCACGUCGUUCUCUUGUGGUUCUUGAAUGCAACCGCCAUCUUCCUAAAAGCAGCGUCCUUGACUUUCUGCACAUCUGCUUCCGUGAAAUGAUCUGGUAGGGUGAAAUGUUCCAUGAGAGUAUCCCAAAGCAGUUUUUUAUAUUCUCGUCUACAAAAGUAUCAUUUGGACGUGGCUUUGCUGGCUUUCUCCAUUCUUGAAGGGAGAUCGGGAGUUGGUCCUUCACAAGAACUCCACACUAACGAACGAACUUGUCCGCAAUCUUCUUAGGCGCUAAUGGUUCGCCAUUAGGUUUGAAUGCCUCGAUAUUGUACUUUACGCCCUCCUUCAACUUUUUGUUCGGGCCUCGUUUUGUCCUUUUGCCUGAAGAUUUGCUCGAUCCGGAUGGCUGAAAGAAGAAAGAUCGAUUCGUUAAUAUAUCUUCAACUCAUUUAAAACAUGCGAUGAUCACCAGAUUCCUGCUUAUAUAAAUAUAUAUACCUCGCCGGUACAUGUUGUUUCAGGGUCAACAUGUUCUUCGUCGUAGUUCAGGACUUCAUCUUCUCGGUCAUCGCGAUCAAAUAUCAUAUCACCCUCUCCGGUGUUGUUUAGAAAUUCAGAGCCGUCAAAAUCUUCUUCAUUCUGAUCAUCAUCUGGCCCGCGUAUGAUACCGAACAUGGUAUGUUCUCUCUCUCUGUCGGUAUUGUCCGCCAUAGCUUUUAUUUAACUAUGCCAAAAGAAAUAUAAAAUAAUUUAGUAUAAUCUCGAAUAAUAGAUAUAAUCUCGAAUACAUCGUCUCGAAUAAUAGAUAUAAUCUCGAAUACAUCGUCUCGAAUAAUAGAUUUAAUCUCGAAUACAUCGUCUCGAAUAAUAGAUAUAAUCUCGAAUACAUCGUCUCGAAUAAUAGAUUUAAUCUCGAAUACAUCGUCUAGAAUAAUAGAUUUAAUCUCGAAUACAUCGUCUCGAAUAAUAUAUAAUAUUGAAUAGUACAUCAUUGGCUAGGCGGUGGACACCCAAAGAGAAGGAACCCUCACAGGAUCAUAGCUGAAGUGAGAGCCCCGAAGAAACUGCCAGGUUUUGGAGAACCUUCCGCCCUCUAACGCAACCAUGUAGCGAUGGAUGUAAUCGUCCUCCUCCCUGACACGACGACGUACCACCUCCGGCGGGGCCGGCUCCCUCCGCACCGAAACUGGCCCACGCGAACGCCACCAAACGAGAUCAGGGUCGAUCACAGGACCCGGGGCCGGGUUCCUCAUCAAGCGGCGCGCCCCUCCAGGCAGCACCUCCCAGUGCCAGCCCGGCGGAGCCCAGUCCCGGACAUGGGUCAGCUGGACGUCGUCGCGGACGUGUCGACGGUGAGGAUGUGGGCCGGGCAUCGUCGACAACAAAUACUAGCUAUAUGCCCGCAAAAAGUAACAUUUUUUUAAUGAUUGGAAUUUGAUAACUAAAAUUUCUAACAUUUCUAUAUAACACUAAUUAUGCUAUCAUUGCAUAUGUCAAAAUUCUAUAUGCUAUUUCAUACUAAUUAAGCAUCUAACACUAAAAACAGAAAACACAACUUCUAUACAUCCAUUAAAAAAACUGAAAAACAACAUUAUAUAAACAAAUUUCAAUACUAAUUAAACACUAAUUAUAUCCAUCUAACAUGCAUUCAUACAUAUAUGCUAGUGAAAAAAUAAUAAUCUAAAAAAUCUAAACUAAUUAAACAUACAAAAUACGUAUAUACUAAUAUAUACAUGCAUUAAUUCAUACAUAUGUACGUGUGUGUGUGUGUGUGCUCGGGGAGGGGUGGUGCCCAUGGUGGCCGCCGGGGGCGAGGGAGAGGGGUUAGAGGGGGAGAGCUCACAGCAGGGUGACGGCGACGGCCAGGGGCGGCGACGGGCCGGGGUGUGACGCGGGGGCGGCGACGCGGGGACGGUGCGACGGGGACGGGCCUGGGGCGGCGACGGGGACGGGCCCGAUGACGGGGACGGGGGCGGCGACGGCGACAUCGUCGAUUGAUCGGGGUGCGCGGGCGGUGCUUCAAUGGGGAAACAGAGGAAGAAACAAAGGGAGAAUGAAAUUUUCGUAAGUGUUCUAUAUAUAGAAGGCACCUUCAGUACCGGUUGGAGCCACCAACCGGUACUAAAGGCCUGUUUUGGCCAGGCCAAGCCGCGGGAAGCACCCCCCUUUAGUACCGGUUCCUGGCUCCAACCGGUACUAAAGGCCCCCCCUUUAGUACCGGUUGGUGCCACCAACCGGUACUAAAGGGGGGUACGCUGCCAGGCGAGGGGCACAAAACUUUAGUCCCACCUCGCUAGCCGAGGGGCACUCACACCUUCUUAUAAGCCCCGCCGUCGCUGCUGUCUCGAGCUCCACUCUUAAGCACGCCUUCUGGGCCUACCUCUUCUGCGAUGCCCUGUUGGGCCUACUGGGCUAGUGGGCCUGCAUCCUGGCCCAACUUGAAUAUGGGUUUCUAGUCGUAUGCAGGCCGCUGUGGCCCAGUAGGUGGGCUUUUUUUUCUUAUUUUUUUGCUUUAUUUAUUUUUGUGAAUAACUUAACUUUGAAAAUAGAUUUUUCAGUGAUUCUUUUUUCUUAUGUUUAAUAUUAGUGUGUUUUAUCAUUAUAUUCAAUUUGGUAAUGCUUAGGUUAUUUAAAAAAUGAAAUGCCUUUGUAACGGAUGAGUUUUCGUCCGAAACCCUGAUACUUCGAAACAGAUUGUCCAUUUUGUACACGAAGUGCAUCCAGUUUUUGCGGUAACCCUCUCUACUUUUUUGCACAUGCUAUGUGGGUGAAAUUAUGAUACCAUGCCAACUUUCAUCCUUUUCUGAGUUCAUUUGAAAUUCUUUUCAAUUUUAGGGUCAUUUAGGUGAAAAAAAUCAGUAAAUGCAUGAAAGAAUUUGCUUGCACAUAAAAUUUCUUCGCGUUUCAAAUGCCAAAACACAUAACUAGCUACCCUAACUAUUACAGAGAUUCCCUCCUGGGUGUGAAACACAGAAGAAAGUGAUGAUAGUUACGCCGAUCAUAUCCCAGAUCUUUGGGUGUGAAACUUUUUCUUCGCGUGUGUCCCUUUGCGUCGUAGCCAUGGAAAAUCUUCAUCAUUUAACGGGAUGCUCGGGUCAAUAUUCACUGUGAAUGGAGCAAUUUCAUCAAACUUUUCAUAAUCAUCUGACUUGUCUGUUUUGUCAUCCACUCCCAUGAUGUUUCUCUUCCCAGAAAGAACUAUGUGCCGCUUUGGCUCAUCGUACGAUGCAUUCACUUCCUUAUCUUUUCUUUUUCUUGGCUUGUUAGACAUGUCCUUCACACAGAAAACCUAUGCCACAUCAUUGGCUAGGACGAACGGUUCGUCUGCAUACGCAAGAUUGUUGAGAUCCACUGUUGUCAUUCCGUACUGCGGGUCUUCCAUUACCCAGCCUCGUGUCAUAUUAACCCAUUUGCACCGAAACAAAGGGACCUUCAAACCACGUCGAUAGUCAAGUUCCCAUAUGUCCUGUAUAUAACCAUAAUAUGUUUCCUUUCCCGUCUUGGUUUCUGCAUCAAAGCGGACACCACUGUUUUGGUUGGUGCUCUUAUUAUCUUGGGCGAUCGUGUAAAAUGUAUUACCAUUUAUCUCGUACCCUUUGAAAGUCAUUAUAUUCGAAGAUGGUAAUUGGGAUAGCAAGUACAUGUCAUCUUCAAUAGAGGUGUCAUGCAUGGUACGUGGUUGCAACCAGCUGGCGAAACUCCUGGUUUGUUCACGUGUAAUCCAGUCAUCAGACCGCUCCGGGUGUUUGGAGCGUAGCAAAUUCUUGUGUUCAUCCAUAUACGGAGCCACCGAGGCAGAAUUCUGUAGAACUAUGUAGUGUGCUUCAGUGAGAGAAUGUCCAGCCAUAUAUACAUAUUAUUUGUUCCCCUCCUAGCGUGCCUUUUCCAUCCAGUCUGCCCUUAUGCCGCGAUUCAGGAACACCAAUCGGCUUAAGGUCAGGAAUAAAGUCAAUACAAAACUCACUGACCUCCUCAUUUUGACGGCCCUUGGAGAUGCUUCCUUCUGGCCUAGCACGGUUAUGAACAUAUUUCUUUAAGUCUCCCACGAACCUCUCAAAGGGGAACAUAUUGUGUAGAAAUACAGGACCCAAAACGUUAAUCUCUUCGCAUAGGUGAACUAGGACGUGCGUCAUGAUGUUGAAGAAGGAUGGUGGGAACACCAACUCGAAACUGACAAGACAUUGCACCAAAUCAUUCUGUAACCUUGGUAUGAUUUCUGGAUCGAUUACCUUCUGAGAGAUUGCAUUGAGAAAUGCACAUAGCUUCACAAUGGCUAAUCGAACGUUUUCCGGUAGAAGCCCCCUCAAUGCAACCGGAAGUACUUGCGUCAUAAUCACGUGGCAGUCAUGAGACUUUAGGUUCUGGAACUUUUUCUCUGCCAUGUUUAUUAUUCCCUUUAUAUUCGACGAGAAGCCAGAUGGUACCUUAAUAAUGAGUAGGCAUUCAAAGAACAUUUCCUUCUCUUCUUUGGUAAGAGCGUAGCUUGCAUGACCCUGAUGUAUGCCGUCUUUUCCGUGCAUACGUUGCUGGUCCUCCUGUGCCUUAGGUGUAUCUUUUGUCAUCCCAUACACGCCCAAGAAGCCAAGCAGGGUCACACAAAGAUUCUUCGUCACGUGCAUCACGUCGAUUGCGGAGCGGACCUCGAGGUCUUUCCAAUAGUGCAGGUCCCAAAAUAUAGAUUUCUUCUUCCACAUGGGUGCGCGUCCGUCAGCGUCAUUCGGAACAGGUUGUCCACCAGGACCCUUUCUAAAGACCACCUUCAAAUCCUUGACCAUAUCAUGUACAUCAGCACCAGUACGGUGGCGAGGCUUCGUCCGGUGAUCCGCCUCACCUUUGAAAUGCUUGCAUUUCUUUCUUACGGGAUGCCUGCUCGUAAGAAAUCGACGAUGUCCUAGGUACACAUUCUUAUUAGCCAAAUAUAUACUGUCGGUAUCGUCCAAACAGUGCGUGCAUGCGCGGUAUCCCUUGUUUGUCUGUCCUGAAAGGUUACUGAGAGCAGGCCAAUCAUUGAUGGUCACGAACAGCAACGCCUUUAGGUCAAAUUCUUCCCCCAUGUGCUCAUCCCACACACGUACACCUGUUCCAUUCCAUAGUUGUAAGAGUUCUUCAACUAAUGGCCUUAGGUACACAUCAAUGUCGUUGCCGGGUUGCUUAGGGCCUUGGAUGAGCACUGGCAUCAUAAUGAACUUCCGCUUCAUGCACAACCAAGGAGGAAGGUUAUACAAACAUAGAGUCACAGGCCAAGUGCUAUGGUUGCUGCUCUGCUCCCCAAAAGGAUUAAUGCCAUCUGCGCUUAGACCAAACCAUACGCUCCUUGCGUCAUUUGCAAACUCCUUCCCGUACUUUCUUUCGAUUUUUCUCCACUGUGAACCGUCAGCGGUUAGUGUCAACUUUCCAUCUUUCUUACGGUCUUCGCUGUGCCAUCGCAUCGCCUUGGCAUGCUCUUUGUUUUGGAACAAACGUUUCAACCGUGGUAUUAUAGGAGCAUACCACAUCACCUUGGCAGGAAUCUUCUUCCUGGGGCGCCGGCCCUCGACAUCACCAGGGUCAUCGCGGCUGAUCUUAUAGCGCAAUACACCACAUACCGGGCAAGCGUUCAAAUCCUCGUACUCACCACGGUAGAGGAUGCAAUCAUUAGGGCAUGCAUGUAUCUUCUCCACCUCUAACCCUAGAGGGCAGAGAACCUUCUUUGCUUCGUACAUACUCUCGGGCAAUUCGUUGUCCUUUGGAAGGAUAUCCUUUAUCAUUACCAGCAACUUUCCAAAUCCCUUGUCAGAUACACCAUUCUCUGCCUUCCAUUGCAGCAAUUCCAGUGUGGUGCCCAGUUUUUUCUUGUCAGCUACGCAAUUCGGGUACAACAAUUUUUUGUGAUCCCCUAACAUGCACUGCAACUUCUUCUCCAAAUCACUUGCGCAGUUUCUCUUUGCAUCGGCAAUGGCCCGACCUAGAUCAUCAACGGGCUCAUCUGAUGCCUCUUCUUCAGCUUCUUCCCGCAUUGCCGGCUCAGCUUCUUCCCGCAUUACCGGCUCAGCUUCUUCCACCAUUGUUGUAUCAUCGUAUUCAGGGAACCCAUGGCCAGGAUAGCUGUCGUCGUCCUCUUCUUCUUCAUUGUCUUCCAUCAUAACCCCUCUUUAUCCGUGCUUGGUCCAAACAUUAUAAUGGGGCAUGAAACCAGACUUAAACAGGUGGACGUGAAUGGUUCUUGACGUACAGUAAUUGUGACCAUUCUUACAGCGAGCACAUGGACAAGGCAUAAAACCAUCCGCCCCCUUGUUUGCCUCAGCCGCAAGCAGAAAAGUAUGCACGCCCUCAACGAACUGGGGAGAGCAUCGGUCAUCGUACAUCCAUUGCCGGCUCAUCUUCAUUACACAACAACGAAUAGAACAAAUUAAUACAAGUUCAUACAUAAAGUUCAUACAACACUUAAAUGCAACAAACAAAUAACUCUCUAGCUAAAGCAUUUAAAUGCAACAACAAAUACGAUCAAGAUCGCAACUAAGGUAACAAUGGAUCCAACAGCAUAAUGAAACCAAGCCUCACUAUCGAUGGCAUAUUUUCUAAUCUUUCUAAUCUUCAAGCGCAUUUUCUCCAUCUUGAUCUUGUGAUCAUCGACGAUACCGGCAACAUGCAACUCCAAUUCCAUCUUCUCCCCCUCAAUUCUUUUCAAUUUUUCUUUCAAGUACUCGUUUUCUCUUUCAACUAAAUUUAACCUCUCGGCAAUAGGGUAGGUUGGAAUUUCCGGUUGAUGGGCAUAAUUUGUAAUAAACACGAAAUGCAACUAGUUUUAAAAGAGAAUAUACAUACCACAUCCGAAUCAUAACAAGGACUAGGGCCGACGGGGACGGAUAUCAAAACCAUGGCACUAUAUGUAUAACAAACAACGUACAGGUAAGAUAAUUAUACGAGUAACUAUAUAUCCAAAUCACACAAACAUCAAUUUUUAUAUAAAAUUUCAUGAACAAGAGGCUCACCACAAGGUGGUGCCGGCGACGGGACGGUGCGGGCGAUCCACGGUGGCUACGAUGGAGAUUUAGAAGGCACUAAGUAAACCACACCUACAUAUGCAAACUAAAUGUUAUUUUUGACCUCAAAUUGCAUAUAAAUCAAAUACUAGCACAUAUAUAUAUAUCAUCCCAAAUUACUAAACUCACAAAUUAAUCACUAUAUAAAGCAUUGCAAGAGCUAAUCUAGCAACGAGAGAUGAAAGGACAAAGUUGCUAACCUUUGUGAUCAUUUGAAUGGAUGGGGGCCUUCAAAUCUUGACAAAUUUUGGGCAAAAUGUGUGAUGAGCUCGAGAGGAAGAGGGGAAGAACAGAGAGGAGAGGGGAAAGGGGAAGAAUAGAGCGAGCUCGGGUGGACGAAGGGUUUAUGUAGGACGACCUUUAGUACCGGUUUGUGCCAAGAACCGGUACUAAAGGGGCUGGAGGGGCCCCAUACUGACAACAUCCUGCCACCACUCUCAUUAGUACCGGUUCGUGGCACGAACCGGUGCUAAAGGUUCGCCAUGAACCGGUACUAAUGAAAGCAGCCUGGUUAGCCGUUGGAACCGGCACUAAUGUAUACAUUAGUGCCGGCUCAAAUACAAACCGGCACUAAUGUGCUUCAUGUUUGACCCUUUUUCCACUAGUGUAGGAGUAGGAGACAAGGAAGGGGAAGGGAGAAGGGAAAGAAGGAGGGGGCGCGGCCCCUCCCCCUAGUCCAAUUCGGACUAGGCCUUGGGGGGGCGCGCGGCCUGCCCUAGGCAGCCCCUCUCUCUUUCCCGUAUGGCCCAAUAAGGCCCAAUACUUCUCCCGGCGAAUUCCCGUAACUCUCCGGUACUCCGAAAAAUACCCGAACCACUCGAAACCUUUCCGAUGUCCGAAUAUAGUCGUCCAAUAUAUCGAUCUUUACAUCUCGACCAUUUCGAGACUCCUCCUCAUGUCCCCGAUCCCAUCCGGGACUCCGAACUCCUUCGGUACAUCAAAACUCAUAAACUCAAAAUAUAACUGUCAUCGAAACCUUAAGCGUGCGGACCCUACAGUUCGAGAACAAUGUAGACAUGAUCGAGACACAUGUCCGGUCAAUGACUAAUAGCGGGACCUGGAUGCCCAUAAUGGCUCCUACAUAUUCUACGAAGAUCUUUAUCGGUCAGACCGCAUAACAACAUACGUUGUUCCCUUUGUCAUCGGUAUGUUACUUGCCUGAGAUUUGAUCGUCGGUAUCUCAAUACCUAGUUCAAUCUUGUUACCGGCAAGUCUCUUUACUCGUUCCGUAAUACAUCAUCUCGCAACUAACUCAUUAGUUGCAAUGCUUGCAAGGCUUAUGUGAUGUGCAUUACCGAGAGGGCCUAGAGAUACCUCUCCGACAAUCGGAGUGACAAAUCCUAAUCUCGAAAUACGCCAGCCCAACAUGUACCUUUGGAGACACCUGUAGAGCUCCUUUAUAAUCACCCAGUUAUGUUGUGACGUUUGGUAGAACACAAAGUGUUCCUCCGGCAAAUGGGAGUUGCAUAAUCUCAUAGUCAUAUGAACAUGUAUAAGUCAUGAAGAAAGCAAUAGCAACAUACUAAACGAUUGGGUGCUAAGCUAAUGGAAUGGGUCAUGUCAAUCAGAUCAUUCAACUAAUGAUCUGAUCCCGUUAAUCAAAUAACAACUCUUUGUCCAUGGUUAGGAAACAUAACCAUCUUUGAUUAACGAGCUAGUCAAGUAGAGGCAUACUAGUGACACUCUGUUUUCUAUGUAUUCACACAUGUAUUAUGUUUCCGGUUAAUACAAUUCUAGCAUGAAUAAUAAACAUUUAUCAUGAUAUAAGUAAAUAAAUAAUAACUUUAUUAUUGCCUCUAGGGUAUAUUUCCAUCAGUCUCCCACUUGCACUAGAGUCAAUAAUCUAGAUCACAUCGCCAUGUGAUUUAACAUCAAUAGUUCACAUCUUUAUGUUAUUGGUUCACAUCUCCAUGUGACUAACACCCAAAGGGUUUACUAGAUUCAAUAAUCUAGUUCACAUCGCUAUGUGAUUAAGACCCAAAAAGUGAUCAUGUUUUGCUUGUGAGAGAAGUUUAGUCAAUAGGUCUUCCACAUUCAGAUCCGCAUGUAUUUUGCAAAUUUCUAUGUCAACAAUGCUCUGCAUGGAGCUACUCUAGCUAAUUGCUCCCACUUUCAAUAUGUAUCCAGAUUGAGACUUAGAGUCAUCUGGAUCAGUGUCAAAACUUGCAUCGACGUAACCCUUUACGACGAACCUUUUGUCACCUCCGUAAUCGAGAAACAUAUCCUUAUUCUACUAAGGAUAAUUUUGACCGCUGUCAAUAGAUCUACUCCUAGAUCACUAUUGUACUCCCUCUCUUAACACAGUGUAUGGUAUACAAUAGAUCUGGUACACAACAUGGCAUACUUUAUAGAACCUAUGACUGAGGCAUAGGGAAUGACUUUCAUUCUCUUUCUAUCUUCUGCCGUGGUCGGGCUUUGAGUCUUACUCAACUUCACGCCUUGUAACACAAGCAAGAAACUUUUUCUUUGACUGUUCCAUUUUGAACUACUUCAAAAUCUUGUCAAGGUAUGUACUCAUCGAAAAAACUUAUCAAGCGUCUUGAUCUAUCUCUAUAGAUCUUGAUACUCAAUAUGUAAGCAGCUUCACCGAGGUCUUUCUUUGAAAAAACUCCUUUCAAACAUUCCUUUAUGCUUUGCAGAAUAAUUCUACAUUAUCUCCGAUCAACAAUAUGUCUUUCACAUAUACUUAUCAGAAAUGAUGUAGUGCUCCCACUCACUUUCUUGUAAAUACAGGCUUCACUGCAAGUCUGUAUAAAACUAUAUGCUUUGAUCAACUCAUGAAAGCGUAUAUUCCAACUCUGAGAUGCUUGCACCAGUCCAUAGAUGGAUCGCUGGAGCUUGCAUAUUUUGUUAGUACCUUUAGGAUUGACAAAACCUUCUGGUUGCAUCAUAAACAACUCUUCUUUAAUAAAUCCAUUAAGGAAUGCAGUUUUGUUUAUCCAUUUGCCAGAUUUCAUAAAAUGCGGCAAUUGCUAACAUGAUUCGGACAGACUUAAGCGUAGAUACGAGUGAGAAACUCUCAUCGUAGUCAACACCUUGAACUUGUCGAAAACCUUUUUGCGACAAUUCUAGUUUUGUAGAUAGUAACACUACUAUCAGCGUCCGUCUUCCUCUUGAAGAUCCAUUUAAUCUCAAUGGCUUGCCGAACAUCGGGCAAGUCAACCAAAGUCCACACUUUGUUCUCAUACAUGGAUCCUAUCUCAGAUUUCAUGGCCUCAAGCCAUUUAUCGGAAUCUGGGCUCAUCAUCGCUUCCUCAUAGGUCGCAAGUUUGUCAUGGUCAAGUAACAUGACCUCCAGAACAGGAUUACCAUACCACUUUGGUGCGGAUCUCAAUCUGGUUUACCUACGAGGUUUGGUAGUAACUUGAUCUGAAGUUACAUGAUCAUCAUCAUUAGCUUCCUCACUAAUUGGUGUAGGAGUCACAGGAACAAAUUUCUGUGAUGAACUACUUUCCAAUAAAGGAGAAGGUACAAUUACCUUAUCAAGUUUUCUACUUUCCUCCCACUCACUUCUUUCAAGAGAAACUCCUUCUCUGGAAAGGAUCCAUUCUCAGUCAACGAAUAUCUUGCCUUCGGAUCUGUGAUAGAAGGUGUACCCAACAUUUUCUUUAGGGUAUCCUAUGAAGAUGCACUUUUCCGAUUUGGGUUUGAGCUUAUCAGGAUGAAACUUUUUCACAUAAGCAUCACAACCCCAAACUUUAAGAAACGACAACUUUGGUUUCUUGCCAAACCACAGUUCAUAAGGCGUCGUCUCAACGGAUUUUGAUGGUGCCCUAUUCAACGUGAAUGCAGCUGUCUCUAAUGCAUAACCCCAAAACGAUAGUGGUAGAUCGGUAAGAGAUAUCAUAGAUCGCACCAUAUCUAAUAAAGUACGGUUAUGAUGUUCGGACACACCAUUACAUUGUGGUGUUCCAGGUGGCAUGAGUAGUGAAACUAUUUCACAUUGUUUUUAACUGAAGGCCAAACUCAUAACUCAAAUACUCUUCUCUACGAUCAGGUCGUAGAAACUUUAUUUUCUUGUUACGAUGAUUUUUCACUUCACUCUGAAAUUCUUUGAACUUUUCAAAUGUUUCAGACUUAUGUUUCAUCAAGUAGAUAUACUCAUAUCUGCUCAAAUCAUCUGUGAAGAUCAGAAAAUAAUGAUACCUGUCGCGAGCCUCAAUAUUCAUCGGACCACAUACAUUAGUAUGUAUGAUUUCCAACAAAUCUGUUGCUCGCUCCAUUGUUCUGAAGAACAGAGUCUUAGUCAUCUUGCCCAUUAGGCAUGGUUCGCAAGCAUCAACUGAUUCAUAACCAACUGAUUCCAAAAGCCCAUCAGCAUGGAGUUUCUUCAUGCGCUUUACACCAAUAUGACCUAAACGGCAGUGCUACAAAUAAGUUGCACUAUCAUUAUUAACUUUGCAUCUUUUGGUUUCAAUAUUAUGAUUAUGUGUAUCACUACAAUCGAGAUCCAACGAACUAUUUUCAUUGGGUGUGUAACCAUAUAAGGUUUUAUUCAUGUAAACAGAACAACAAUUUAUUCUCUUACUUAAAUGAAUAACCGUAUUACAAUAAACAUGAUCAAAUCAUAUUCAUGCUCAACGCAAACACCAAAUAACACUUAUUUAGGUUCAACACUAAUCCUGAAAUUAUAGGGAGUGUGCGAUGAUGAUCAUAUCAAUCUUGGAACCACUUCCAACAUACAUCAUCACUUCACCCUUAACUAGUCUCUGUUUAUUUUGCAACUCCCGUUUCGAGUUACUAAUCUUUGCAACUGAACUAGUAUCAAAUACUGAGGGGUUGCUAUAAACACUUGUAAAGUACACAUCAAUAACAUGUAUAUCAAAUAUACUUAUGUUCACUUUGCCAUCCUUCUUAUCCGCCAAUCACUUGGGGUAGUUCCGCUUCUAGUGACCAGUGCCUUUGCAGUAGAAGCACUUAGUCUCAGGCUUAGGACCAGACUUGGGCUUCUUCACUUGAGCAGCAACUUGCUUGCUGUUCUUCUUGAAGUUCCCCUUCUUCCCUCUGCCCUUUUCUUGAAACUAGUGGUCUUGUCAACCAUCAACACCUGAUGUUUUUCUUGAUUUCUACCUUCAUUGAUUUCAGCAUCACGAAGAGCUUGGGAGUUGUUUCCGUUAUCCCUUGCAUAUUAUGGUUCAUCACGAAGUUCUACUAACUUGGUGAUGGUGACUAGAGAAUUCUGUCAAUCACUAUCUUAUCUGGAAGAUUAACUCCCACUUGGUUCAAGCAAUUGUAGUACCCAGACAAUCUGAGCACGUGCUCACUAGUUGAGCGAUUCUCCUCCAUCUUUUAGCUAUAGAACUUGUUGGAGACUUCAUAUCUCUCAAGUCGGGUAUUUGCUUGAAAUAUUAACUUCAACUCCUAGAACAUCUCAUAUGGUCCAUGAUGUUCAAAACGUCUUUGAAGUCCUGAUUCUAAGCCAUUAAGCAUGGUGCACUAAACUAUCAAGUAGUCAUCAUAUUGGGCUAGCCAAACGUUCAUAACGUCGGCAUCUGCUCCUGCAAUAGGUCUGUCACCUAGCGGUGCAUCAAGGACAUAAUUCCUCUAUGCAGCAAUGAGGAUAAAACUCAGAUCACGGAUCCAAUCCGCAUCAUUGCUACUAACAUCUUUCAACACAAUUUUCUCUAGGAACAUAUCAAAAUAAACAUAGGGAAGCAACAACGCGAGCUAUUGAUCUACAACAUAAUUUGCAAAAUACUACCAGGACUAAGUUCAUGAUAAAUUUAAGUUCAAUUUAAUCAUAUUACUGGAGAACUCCCACUUAGAUAGACAUCCCUCUAAUCCUCUAAGUGAUCACGUGAUCCAAAUCAACUAAACCAUGUCCGAUCACCACGUGAGAUGGAGUAGUUUCAUUGGUGAACAUCACUAUGUUGAUCAUAUCUACUAUCUGAUUCACGCUCGACCUUUCGGUCUCCGUGUUCCGAGGCCAUAUCUGUAUAUGCUUGCCUCGUCAAGUAUAACCUGAGUAUUCCGCGUGUGCAACUGUUUUACACCCGUUGUAUUUGAACGUAGAGCCUAUCACACCCGAUCAUCACGUGGUGUCUCAGCACGAAGAAGUUUCGCAACGGUGCAUACUCAGGGAGAACACUUCUUGAUAAUUAGUGAGAGAUCAUCUUAAAAUGCUACCGUCAAACUAAGCAAAAAUAAGAUGUAUAAAAGAUAAACAUCAUAUGCAAUCAAAAUAUGUGACAUGAUAUGGCCAUCAUCAUCUUGCUUCUUUGAUCUCCAUCUCCAAAGUACUGUCAUGAUCUAUAUCGUCAUCGGCAUGACACCAUGAUCUCCAUCAUCUUGAUCUAUAUCAAUGUGUCGUCACGUGGUCGUCUCGCCAACAAUUGCUCUUGCAACUAUUGCUAUCGCAUAGCGAUAAAGUAAAGCAAUUAUUGGACGCUUGCAUCUUAUGUAAUAGAGAGACAACCAUAAGGAUUUUGCCAGUUGUUGAUAACUUCAACAAAACAUGAUCAUCUCAUACAACAACUUAUAUCUCAUCACGUCUUGACCAUAUCACAUCACAACAUGCCCUGCAAAAACAAGUUAGACGUCCUCUACUUUGUUGUUGCAAGUUUUACGUGGCUGCUACGGGCUUAAGCAAGAACCAAUCUUACCUACGCAUCAAAACCACAACGAUAGUUUGUCAAGUUGGUGCUGUUUUAACCUUCGCAAGGACCGGGCGUAGCCACACUCGGUUCAACUAAAGUUGGAGAAACUGUCACCCCCAAGCCACCUAUGUGCAAAGCACGUCGGGAGAACCGGUCUCGCGUAAGCAUACGCGUAAUGUCGGUCUGGGCCGCUUCAUCCAACAAUACCGCCGAACCAAAGUAUGACAUGCUGGUAAGCAGUAUGACUUAUAUCGCCCACAACUCACUUGUGUUCUACUCGUGCAUAUAACAUCAACACAUAAAACCUAGGCUCAAAUGCCACUGUUGGGGAACGUAGUAAUUUCAAAAAAUUUCCUACGCACACGCAAGAUCAUGGUGAUGCAUAGCAACGAGAGGGGAGAGUGUUGUCAACGUAGCCUUGUAGACCGAAGCAGAAGCGUUGACGCAACGUAGAGGAAGUAGUCGUACGUCUUCCCGAUCCGACCGAUCCAAGCACCAUUACUCCGGCACCUCCGAGUUCUUGGCACACGUUCAGCUCGGUAACGAUCCCCAGGCUCCGAUCCAGCAAAGCGUCGGCGAGGAGUUCCAUCAGCACGACGGCGUGGUGACGAUCUUGAUGUUCUACCGUCGCAGGGCUUCGCCUAAGCACCGCUACAAUAUGACCGAGGUGUAAUAUCGUGGAGAGGGGCACCGCACACGGCUAAGGAACGAUCACGAAGAUCAACUUGUGUGUCCAUGGGGUGCCCCCUGCCCCCGUAUAUAAAGGAGUGGAGGAGGGGAGGGCUGGCCCUCUCUAUGGCGCGCCCUAGGGGAGUCCUACUCCCAACGGGAGUAGGAUUCCCCCUUUUCCUAGUCCAACUAGGAGUCCUUCCAUGUAGUAGGAGUAGGAGACAAGGAAGGGGAAGGGAGAAGGGAAAGAAGGAGGGGGCGCGGCCCCUCCCCCUAGUCCAAUUCGGACUAGGCCUUGGGGGGCGCACGGCCUGCCCUAGGCAGCCCCUCUCUCUUUCCCGUAUGGCCCAAUAAGGCCCAAUACUUCUCCCGGCGAAUUCCUGUAACUCUCCGGUACUCCGAAAAAUACCCGAACCACUCGGAACCUUUCCGAUGUCCGAAUAUAGUCGUCCAAUAUAUCGAUCUUUACGUCUCGACCACUUCGAGACUCCUCGUCAUGUCCCCGAUCCCAUCCGGGACUCCGAAAUCCUUCGGUACAUCAAAACUCAUAAACUCAUAAUAUAACUGUCAUCGAAACCUUAAGCGUGCGGACACUACGGUUCGAGAACAAUGUAGACAUGACUGAGACACGUCUCCAGUCAAUAACCAAUAGCGGGACCUGGAUGCCCAUAUUGGCUCCUACAUAUUCUACGAAGAUCUUUAUCGGUCAGACCGCAUAACAACAUACGUUGUUCCCUUUGUCAUCGGUAUGUUACUUGCCCGAGAUUUGAUCGUCGGUAUCUCAAUACCUACUUCAAUCUCGUUACCGGCAAGUCUCUUUACUCGUUCCGUAAUACAUCAUCUCGCAACUAACUCAUUAGUUGCAAUGCUUGCAAGGCUUAUGUGAUGUGCAUUUCCGAGAGGGCCCAGAGAUACCUCUCCGACAAUCGGAGUGACAAAUCCUAAUCUCGAAAUACGCAAACCCAACAUGUACCUUUGGAGACACCUGUAGAGCUCCUUUAUAAUCACCCAGUUACGGUGUGACGUUUGGUAGCACACAAGGUGUUCCUCCGGCAAACGGGAGUUGCAUAAUCUCAUAGUCAUAGGAACAUGUAUAAGUCAUGAAGAAAGCAAUAUCAACAUACUAAACGAUCGGGUGCUAAGCUAAUGGAAUGGGUCAUGUGAAUCAGAUCAUUCAACUAAUGAUGUGAUCUCGUUAAUCAAAUAACAACUCUUUGUCCAUGGUUAGGAAACAUAACCAUCUUUGAUUAACGAGCUAGUCAAGUAGAGGCAUACUAGUCACACUCUGUUUGUCUAUGUAUUCACACAUGUAUUAUGUUUCCGGUUAAUACAAUUCUAGCAUGUAUAAUAAACAUUUAUCAUGAUAUAAGGAAAUAAAUAAUAAUUUUAUUAUAGCCUCUAGGGCAUAUUUACUUCAUGGAUUGCCUACCAAAGAUGGCAAUAGCUAGAUCUAUCCUUGCUUGUUAUGCCUAACUAGGGGCGUUAAACGAUAGCGCUUUUUGGGAGGCAACCCAAUUUUGUUUUUAUUCCUUGAUUUUUGCUCCUGUUUAGUAAUAAAUAAUUUAUCUAGCCUCUGUUUUGGUUGUGUUCUUUGUGUUUAAUUAGUGUUUGUGCCAGGUAGAACCGUUAGGAAGACUUGGGGAAAGUCUUGUUACACUUGCUGUAAAAAACAGAAACUUCAGCGCUCACGAGAACUGCUGCCAUUUUUAUUUGGAAAGUGCUAUUUAGUUAAUUAUUUCCGCAGAUGAUUAAUAGAUAAAUUCCUCACGUCCAGCACUUUAUUUUAGAAUUUUUGGGGUUCCAGCUCUUGAGCUAGCUACAGAUUACUACAGACUGUUCUGUAUUUGAAACAUUCUGUUUUUUCGUGUGUUGUUUGCUUAUUUUGAUGAACCUAUGGCUAGUAAAAUAGUUUAUAAACCACAGAGAAGUUGGAAUACAGUAGUUAUAACACCAAUAUAAAUAAAUAAUGAGUUCAUUAAAGUACCUUGAAGUGGUCUUUUUUAUUUUCUUUCGCUAACGGAGCUCACAAGAUUUUCUACUUCAAGUUUGUGUUGUGAAGUUUUCAAGUUUUGGGUAAAAAUUUGAUGGAUUAUGGAACAAGUAGUGACAAGAGCCGAAGCUUGGGGAUGCCCAUGGCACCCCCAAGAUAAUCUAAUUACACCUAAAAGCCAAAGCUUGGGGAUGCCCGGGAAGUCAUCCCCUCUUUCGUCUACUUCUAUGGGUAACUUUACUUGGAGCUAUAUUUUUAUUCGCCACAAGAUAUGUGUUUUGCUUGGAGCGUCUUGUAUUGUUUGACUCUUUAUUUUUUAGUUUACCACAAUCAUCCUUGCUGUACACACCUUUUGAGAGAGCCAUACAUGAUUUGGAAUUUGUUAGAAUACUCUAUGGGCUUCGCUUAUAUCUUUUGAGUUAUAUAGUUUUGCUCUAGUACUUCACUUAUAUCUUUUAGAGCACGGUGGUGGAUUUGUUUUAUAAAAACUAUUGAUCUCUCAUGCUUCACUUAGAUUAUUUUGAGAUGCUUAAUAGCAUGGUAAUUUGCUUAAAAUCCUAAUAUGCUAGGUAUUCAAAGUUAGUAAAAUUUUCUUACGAGUGUUUUUAAUACUAAGAGAAGUUUGAUGCUUGAUGAUUGUUUUGAGAUAUGGAGGUAAUAAUAUCAAAGUCGUGCUAGUUGAGUAGUUGUGAAAUUGAGAAAUACUUGUGUUGAAAUUUGCAUGUCCCGUAGCAUGCACGUAUUGUAAACGUUGUGUAACAAAUUUGAAACAUGAGGUGUUAUUUGAUUGUCUUCCUUAUGAGUGGCGGUCGGGGACGAGCGAUGGUCUUUUCCUACCAAUCUAUUGUUUGGGAACGUACUAAUUUCAAAAAAAAUCCUACGCACACGCAAGACCAUGGUGAUGCAUAGCAACGAGAGGGGAGAGUGUGAUCUACGUACCCUUGUAGAUCAACAGCGGAAGCGUUGAUGCAACAUAGAGGAAGUAGUCGUACGUCUUCCUGAUCCGACCGAUCGAAGCACCAUUACUCCGGCACCUCCGAGUUCUUAGCACACGUACAGCUCGAUGACGAUCCCGGGCUCCGAUCCAGCAAAGGGUCGGGGAGGAGUUCCGUCAGCACGACGGCGUGGUGACGAUCUUGAUGUUCUACCGUCGCAGGGCUUCGCCUAAGCACUGCUACAAUAUGAUGGAGGUGGAAUAUGGUGGCACGGGGCACCGCACACGGCUAAGGAACGAUCUCAAUGAUCAACUUGUGUGUCUAGAGGUGCCCCCUGCCUCCGUAUAUAAAGGAGCCAAGGGGGAGGGGGCCGCCGGCCAGGAGGAGGGCGCAGGAGGAGUCCUACUCCUACCGGGAGUAGGACUCCCCCCCCCCAAUCCUAGUUGGACUAGGAUUCCCCGAGGGGGAAAGAGAGAGAGGGGGGCCGGCCACCUCUCCUAGUCCUAAUAGGACUACGGGAGGGGGGAGGCGCGCGGCCACCUUGGGCUGCCCCUUUCUCCUUUCCACUAAAGCCCAUCAAGGCCCAUAUGGCUCCCGGGGGGUUCCGGUAACCUCCCGGUACUCCGGUAAAAUCCCGAUUUCACCCGGAACACUUCCGAUGUCCAAAUAUAGGCUUCCAAUAUAUCAAUCUUUAUGUCUCGACCAUUUCGAUACUCCUCGUCAUGUCUGUGAUCACAUCCGGGACUCCGAACUAACUUCGGUACAUCAAAAUGCAUAAACUCAUAAUAACUGUCAUCGUAACGUUAAGCGUGUGGACCCUACGGUUCGAGAAUAAUGCAGACAUGACUGAGACACAUCUCCGGUCAAUAACCAAUAGCAGGACCUGGAUGCCUAUAUUGGCUCCUACAUUUUCUACGAAGAUCUUUAUCAGUCACACCGCAUAACAACAUAUGUUGUUCCCUUUGUCAUCGGUAUGUCAUUUGCCCGAGAUUCGAUCGUCAGUAUCCAAUACCUAGUUCAAUCUCGUUACCGGCAAGUCUCUUUACUCGUUCCGUAAUACAUCAUCUCGCAACUAACUCAUUAGUUGCAAUGCUUGCAAGGCUUAAGUGAUGUGCAUUACCGAGAGGGCCCAGAGAUACCUCUCCGACAAUCGGAGUGACAAAUCCUAAUCUCGAAAUACGCCAACCCAACAUCUACCUUUGGAGACACCUGUAGUACUCCUUUAUGAUCACCCAGUUACGUUGUGAUGUUUGGUAGCACCCAAAGUGUUCCUCCGGUAAACGGGAGUUGCAUAAUCUCAUAGUCAUAGGAACAUGUAUAAGUCAUGAAGAAUAGCAACAGCAACAUACUAAACGAUCGGGUGCUAAGCUAAUGAAAUGGGUCAUGUCAAUCAGAUCAUUCAACUAAUGAUGUGACCUCGUUAAUCAAAUAACAACUCUUUGUUCAUGGUUAGGAAACAUAACCAUCUUUGAUUAACGAGCUAGUCAAGUAGAGGCAUACUAGUGACACUCUGUUUGUCUAUGUAUUCACACAUGUAUUAUGUUUCCGGUUAAUACAAUUCUAGCAUGAAUAAUAAACAUUUAUCAUGAUAUAAGGAAAUAAAUAAUAACUUUAUUAUUGCCUCUAGGGCAUAUUUCCUUCAGUCUCCCACUUGCACUAGAGUCAAUAAUCUAGAUUACACAGUAAUGAUUCUAACACCCAUGGAGCCUUGGUGCUGAUCAUGUUUUGCUCGUGGAAGAGGCUUAGUCAACGGGUCUGCAAUAUUCAGAUCCAUAUGUAUCUUGCAAAUCUCUAUGUCUCCCACCUAGACUAGAUCCCGGAUGGAAUUGAAGCGUCUCUUGAUGUGCUUGGUUCUCUUGUGAAAUCUGGAUUCCUUUGCCAAGACAAUUGCACCAGUAUUGUCACAAAAGAUUUUCAUUGGACCCGAUGCACUAGGUAUGACACCUAGAUCGGAUAUGAACUCCUUCAUCCAGACUCCUUCGUUUGCUGCUUCCGAAGCAGCUAUGUAUUCUGCUUCACAUGUAGAUCCCGCUACGACGCUUUGUUUAGAACUGCACCAACUGACAGCUCCACCGUUUAAUGUAAACACGUAUCCGGUUUGCGAUUUAGAAUCGUCCGGAUCAGUGUCAAAGCUUGCAUCAACGUAACCUCUUACGGUGAGCUCUUUGUCACCUCCAUAUACGAGAAACAUAUCCUUAGUCCUUUUCAGGUAUUUCAGGAUGUUCUUGACCGCUGUCCAGUGAUCCACUCCUGGAUUACUUUGGUACCUCCCUGCUAAACUUAUAGCAAGGCACACAUCAGGUCUGGUACACAGCAUUGCAUACAUGAUAGAGCCUAUGGCUGAAGCAUAGGGAACAUCUUUCAUUUUCUCUCGAUCUUCUGCAGUGGUCGGGCAUUGAGUCUGGCUCAACUUCACACCUUGUAACACAGGCAAGAACCCUUUCUUUGCUUGAUCCAUUUUGAACUUCUUCAAAAUCUUGUCAAGGUAUGUGCUUUGUGAAAGUCCAAUUAAGCGUCUUGAUCUAUCUCUAUAGAUCUUUAUGCCUAAUAUGUAAGCAGCUUAACCGAGGUCUUUCAUUGAAAAACUCUUAUUCAAGUAUACCUUUAUGCUAUCCAGAAAUUCUAUAUCAUUUCCAAUCAGCAAUAUGUCAUCCACAUAUAAUAUCAGAAAUGCUACAGAGUUCCCACUCACUUUCUUGUAAAUACAGGCUUCACCGAAAGUCUGUAUAAAACCAAAUGCUUUGAUCACACUAUCAAAGCGUUUAUUCCAACUCCGAGAGGCUUCCACCAGUCCAUAAAUGGAUCGCUGGAGCUUGCACACUUUGUUAGCUCCCUUUGGAUCGACAAAACCUUCCGGUUGCAUCAUAUACAACUCUUCUUCCAGAAAUCCAUUCAAGAAUGCAGUUUUGACAUCCAUCUGCCAAAUUUCAUAAUCAUAAAAUGCGGCAAUUGCUAACAUGAUUCGGACAGACUUAAGCAUCGCUACGGGUGAGAAGGUCUCAUCGUAGUCAACCCCUUCAACUUGUCGAAGACCUUUUGCGAGAAGUCGAGCUUCGUAGACAGUAACAUUACCAUCACCGUCAGUCUUCUUCUUGAAGAUCCAUUUAUUCUCAAUUGCUUGCCGAUCAUCGGGCAAGUCAACCAAAUCCAUACUUUGUUCUCAUACAUGGAUCCCAUCUCAGAUUUCAUGGCUUCAAGCCACUUUGCGGAAUAUGGGCUCACCAUCGCUUCUUCAUAGUUCGUAGGUUCAUCAUGAUCUAGCAGCAUGAUUUCCAGAACAGGAUUACCGUACCACUCUGGUGCAGAUCUCGCUCUGGUUGAUCUACGAGGUUCAGUAGUAUCUUGUCCUGAAGUUUCAUGAUCUUUAUCAUUAGCUUCCUCACUAAUUGGUAUAGGUGUCGCAGAAACAGUUUUUCUGUGAUGUACUACUUUCCAAUAAGGGAGCAGGUAUAGUUACCUCGUCAAGUUCUACUUUCCUCCCACUCACUUCUUUCGAGAGAAACUCCUUCUCUAGAAAUGAUCCAUUCUUAGCAAUGAAUGUCUUACCUUCGGAUUUGUGAUAGAAGGUGUACCCAACAGUCUCCUUUGCGUAUCCUAUGAAGACACAUUUCUCCGAUUUGGGCUCGAGCUUAUGAGGUUGAAGCUUUUUCACAUAAGUAUCGCAGCCCCAAACUUUAAGAAACGACAACUUUGGUUUCUUGCCAAACCACAGUUCAUAAGGCGUCGUCUCAGCAGAUUUUGAUGGUGCCGUAUUUAGCGUGAAUGUGAGCGUCUCUAAAGCAUAACCCCAAAACGAUAGCGGUAAAUCAGUAAGAGACAUCAUAGAUCGCACCAUAUCUAGUAAAGUACGAUUCCGAUGUUCGGACACACCAUUACACUGUGGUGUUCCAGGUGGCGUGAGUUGCGAAACUAUUCCACAAUUUUUCAAAUGUACACCAGACUCGUAACUCAAAUAUUCUCCUCCACGAUCAGAUCGUAGAAACUUUAUUUUCUUGUUAUGAUGAUUUUCAACUUCACUCUGAAAUUCUUUGAACUUUUCAAAUGUUUCAGACUUAUGUUUCAUUAAGUAGAUAUACCCAUAUCUGCUUAAGUCAUCUGUGAAGGUGAGAAAAUAACGAUAUCCACCACGAGCCUCAAUAUUCAUCGGACCACAUACAUCAGUAUGCAUGAUUUCCAACAAAUCUGUUGCUCUCUCCAUAGUACCGGAGAACGGUGUUUUAGACAUCUUGCCCAUGGGGCACGGUUCGCAAGUACCAAGUGAUUCAUAAUCAAGUGGUUCCAAAAGUCCAUCGGUAUGGAGUUUCUUCAUGCGCUUUAUACCGAUAUGACCUAAACGGCAGUGCCACAAAUUAGUUGCACUAUCAUUAUCAACUCUGCAUCUUUUCGCCUCAACAUUAUGAAUAUAUGUGUUACUACUAUCGAGAUUCAUCGAAAAUAGACCACUCCUCAAAGGUGCAUGACCAUAAAAGAUAUUACUCAUAUAAAUAGAACAACCAUUAUUCUCUGAUUUAAAUGAAUAACCGUCUCGCAUCAAACAAGUUCCAGAUAUAAUGUUCAUGCUCAACGCUGGAACCAAAUAACAAUUAUUUAGGUCUAAUAUUAAUCCCGAAGGUAGAUGUAGAGGUAGCGUGCUGACCGCGAUCACAUCGACUUUGGAACCGUUUCCCACGCGCAUCGUCACCUCGUCCUUCGCCAGUGUUCGCUUAAUCCGUAGUCCCUGUUUCGAGUUGCAAAUAUUAGCAACAGAACCAGUAUCACAUACCCAGGUGCUACUGCGAGCUCUAGUAAGGUACACAUCAAUAACAUGUAUAUCACAUAUACCUUUGUUCACCUUGCCAUCCUUCUUAUCCGCCAAUACUUGGGGCAGUUCCGCUUCCAGUGACCAGUCUGCUUGCAGUAGAAGCACUCAGUUUCAGGCUUAGGUCCAGACUUGGGUUUCUUCUCUUGAGCAGCAACUUGCUUGCCGUUCUUCUUGAAGUUCCCCUUCUUCUUCCCUUUGCCCUUUUUCUUGAAACUAGUUGUCUUACUGACCAUCAACACUUGAUGCUCCUUUUUGAUUUCUACCUCCGCAGCUUUCAGCAUUGCGAAGAGCUCGGGAAUAGUCUUGUUCAUCCCUUGCAUAUUAUAGUUCAUCACAAAGCUCUUGUAGCUUGGUGGCAGUGAUUGGAGAAUUCUGUCAAUGACGCAAUCAUCUAGAAGAUUAACUCCCAUCUGAAUCAAGUGAUUAUUAUACCCAGACAUUCUGAGUAUAUGCUCACUGACAGAACUGUUCUCCUCCAUCUUGCAGCUAUAGAACUUAUUGGAGACUUCAUAUCUCUCAAUCCGGGCAUUUUCUUGAAAUAUUAACUUCAACUCCUGGAACAUCUCAUAUGCUCCAUGACGUUCAAAACGUCGUUGAAGUCCCGAUUCUAAGCCGUAAAGCAUGGCACACUGAACUAUCAAGUAGUCAUCAGCUUUGCUCUGCCAGACGUUCAUAACAUCUAGUGUUGCUCCAGCAGCAGGCCUGGCACCUAGCGGUGCUUCCAAGACGUAAUUCUUCUGAGCAACAAUGAGGAUAAUCCUCAAGUUACGGACCCAGUCCGUGUAAUUGCUACCAUCAUCUUUCAACUUUGCUUUCUCAAGGAACGUAUUAAAAUUCAACGAAACAACAACACGAGCCAUCUAUCUACAAUCAACAUAAACAAGCAAGAUACUAUCAGGUACUAAGUUCAUGAUAAGUUUAAGUUCAAUUUAAUCAAAUUACUUAAGAACUCCCACUUAGAUAGACAUCCCUCUAAUCGUCUAAGUGAUCACGUGAUCCAAAUCAACUAAACCAUAACCGAUCAUCACGUGAGAUGGAGUAGUUUUCAAUGGUGAACAUCGUUAUGUUGAUCAUAUCUACUAUAUGAUUCAUGCUCGACCUUUCGUUCUCCGUGUUCCGAGGCCAUAUCUGCAUACGCUAGGCUCGUCAAGUUUAACCUGAGUAUUCUGCGUGUGCAAAAACUGGCUUGCACCCGUUGUAGAUGGACGUAGAGCUUAUCACACCCGAUCAUCACGUGGUGUCUGGGCACGACGAACUUUGGCAGCAGUGCAUACUCAGGGAGAACACUUCUUGAUAAUUUAGUGAGAUAUCAUCUUAUAAUGCUACCGUCAAUCAAAGCAAGAUAAGAUGCAUAAAAAGAUAAACAUCACAUGCAAUCAAUAUAAGUGAUAUGAUAUGGCCAUCAUCAUCUUGUGCUUGUGAUCUUCAUCUCCGAAGCACCGUCAUGAUCACCAUCGUCACCGGUGCGACACCUUGAUCUCCAUCGUAGCAUCGUUGUCGUCUCGCCAAUCUUAUGCUUCCACGACUAUCGCUACCGCUUAGUGAUAAAGUAAAGCAUUACAUCGCGAUUGCAUUGCAUACAAUAAAGCGACAACCAUAUGGCUCCUGCCAGUUGCCGAUAACUCGGUUACAAAACAUGAUCAUCUCAUACAAUAAAAUUUAGCAUCAUGUCUUGACCAUAUCACAUCACAACAUGCCCUGCAAAAACAAGUUAGACGUCCUCUACUUUGUUGUUGCAAGUUUUACGUGGCUGCUACGGGCUUAAGCAAGAACCAAUCUCACCCACGCAUCAAAACCACAACGAUAGUUUGUCAAAUAGACUCCGUUUUAUCCUUCGGAAGGACCGGGCGUAGCCACACUCGGUUCAACUAAAGUUGGAGAAACAGUCGCCCGCAAGGCACCUGUGUGCAAAGCACGUCGGGGGAACCGGUCUCACGUAAGCGUACGCGUAAUGUUGGUCCGGGUCGUCUCGUCCAACAAUACCGCCGAACCAAAGUAUGACAUGCUAGUAGGCAGUAUGACUUGUAUCACCCACAACUCACUUGUGUUCUACUCGUGCAUAUAACAUCAAACCAUAAAACCUAGGCUCGGAUGCCACUGUUUGGGAACGUAGUAAUUUCAAAAAAAUUCCUACGCACACGCAAGAUCAUGGUGAUGCAUAUCAACGAGAGGGGAGAGUGUGAUCUACGUACCCUUGUAGAUCAAUAGCGGAAGCAUUGACGCAAUGUAGAGGAAGUAGUCGUACGUCUUCCUUAUCCGAUCGAUCCAAGCACCAUUACUCCGGCACCUCUGAGUUCUUAGCACACGUACAGCUCGAUGACGAUCCCCGGGCUCCGAUCCAGCAAAGCGUCGGGGGGGAGUUCCGUCAACACGACGGCGUGGUGAUGAUCUUGAUGUUCUACCAUCGCAGGGCUUCGCCUAAGCACUGCUCCAAUAUGAUCGAGGUGGAAUAUGGUGGCAGGGGGCACCGCACACGGCUAAGGAACGAUCUCAAUGAUCAACUUGUGUGUCUAGAGGUGCCCCCUGCCUCCGUAUAUAAAGGAGCCAAGGGGGAGGGGGCCGCCGGCCAGGAGGAGGGCGCAGGAGGAGUCCUACUCCUACCAGGAGUAGGACUCCCCCCCCCCAAUCCUAGUUGGACUAGGAUUCCCCGAGGGGGAAAGAGAGAGGGGGGGCCGGCCACCUCUCCUAGUCCUAAUAGGACUAGGGGAGGGGGGAGGCGCGCGGCCACCUUGGGCUGCCCCUUUCUCCUUUCCACUAAAGCCCAUCAAGGCCCAUAUGGCUCCCGGGGGGUUCCGGUAACCUCCCGGUACUCCGGUAAAAUCCCGAUUUCACCCGGAACACUUCCGAUGUCCAAAUGUAGGCUUCCAAUAUAUCAAUCUUUAUGUCUCGACCAUUUCGAGACUCCUCGUCAUGUCCGUGAUCACAUCCGGGACUCCGAACUAACUUUGGUACAUCAAAAUGCAUAAACUCAUAAUAACUGUCAUCGUAACGUUAAGCGUGUGGACCCUACGGUUCGAGAAUAAUGCAGACAUGACUGAGACACAUCUCCGGUCAAUAACCAAUAGCGGGACCUGGAUGCCCAUAUUGGCUCCUACAUUUUCUCCGAAGAUCUUUAUCGGUCAGACCGCAUAACAAAAUACGUUGUUCCCUUUUCAUCGGUAUGUUACUUGCCCGAGAUUUGAUCGUUGGUAUCUCAAUACCUAGUUCAAUCUCGUUACCGGCAAGUCUCUUUACUCGUUCCGUAAUACAUCAUCUCGCAACUAACUCAUUAGUUGCAAUGCUUGCAAGGCUUAUGUGAUGUGCAUUACCGAGAGGGCCCAGAGAUACCUCUCCGACAAUCGGAGUGACAAAUCCUAAUCUCGAAAUACGCCAACCCAACAUCUACCUUUGGAGACACCUGUAGAGCUCCUUUAUAAUCACCCAGUUACAUUGUGACGUUUGUUAGCACACAAAGUGUUCCUCCGGGAAACGGGAGUUGCAUAAUCACAUAGUCAUAGGAACAUGUAUAAGUCAUGAAGAAAGCAGUAGCAACAUACUAAACGAUCGGGUGCUAAGCUAAUGAAAUGGGUCAUGUCAAUCAGAUCAUUCAACCAAUGAUGUGACCUCGUUAAUCAAAUAACAACACCUUGUUCAUGGUUAGGAAACAUAACCAUCUUUGAUUAACGAGCUAGUCAUGUAGAGGCAUACUAGUGACACUAAGUUUGUCUAUGUAUUCACACAUGUAUUAUGUUUCCGGUUAAUACAAUUCUAGUAUGAAUAAUAAACAUUUAUCAUGAUAUAAGGAAAUAAAUAAUAACUUUAUUAUUGCCUCUAAGGCAUAUUUCCUUCAUCUAUCCCCCUAGGAGCAUGCGCGUAGUACCGAGGUUUUUGAUGACUUGUAGAUUUUUGCAAUGAGUAUGUGAGUUCUUUAUGACUAAUGUUGAGUCCAUGAAUUAUACGCACUCUCACCCUUCCAUCCUUGCUAGCCUCUUCGGUACCGUGCAUUGCCCUUUCCCACAUUGAGUGUUGGAGCAAACUUCGCCAAUGCAUCCAAACCCUGUGAUAUGAUACGCUCUUUCACACAUAAACCUCCUUAUAUCUUCCUCAAAACAGCCACCAUACCUACCUAUUAUGGCAUUUCCAUAGCCAUUCCGACUUAUAUUGCCAUGCAACUUUCCACCAUUCCGUUCAUCAUGACACAUUUAGCAUUGUCAUAUUGCUUAGCAUAAUCAUGUAGUUGACAUAGUAUUUGUGGCAAAGCCACCGUUCAUAAUUCUUUCCUACAUGUCACUAUUGGUCCACUGCAUAUCCGGUACACCGCCGGAGGCAUUUAUAUAGAGUCAUACUUUGUUCUAGUAUCGAGUAGUAAUUAUUGAGUUGUAAAUAAAUAGAAGUGUGAUGAUCAUCAUUAAUAGAGCAUGGUCCCAAAAAGAGAAAAAAGGAAGGGCCAAAAAAAGGCCAAAUAAAAAAAUAUAAAAAAGGGGGGCAAUGCUACUAUCCUUUUUUUCCACACUUGUGAUUCAAAGUAGCACCGUAAUCUUCAUGAUAGAGAGUAUCUUGAUUUGUCACUUUCAUAUACUAGUGGGAAUUUUGCAUUGUAGAACAAUGGGCCUCCUCAAGUGCCCUAGCUCUUCGUGAGCAAGCAAGUUGGAUGCACACCCACUUAGUUUCUUUUGUUGAGCUUUCAUACAUUUAUAGCUCUAGUGCAUCCGUUGCAUGGCAAUCCUUACUCCUUGCAUUAACAUCAAUCGAUGGGCAUCUCCAUAGCCCAUUGAUUAGCCUCAUUGAUGUGAGACUUUCUCCUUUUUGUCUUCUCCACAUAACCCCAGUGAUUAUAUUCUAUUCCACCCAUAGUUUUAUGUCCAUGGCUUGCAAUCAUAUAUUGCGUGAAAGUUUAUAGGUUUGAGAUCACUAAAGUAUGAAACAAUUGCUUGGCUUGUCAUCGGGGUUGUGCAUGAUGAGAGCAUUCUUGUGUGAAGAAAAUGAAGCAUGAUUAAACUAUAUGAUUUUGUAGGGAUGAACUUUCUUUGGCCAUGUUAUUUUGAGAAGACAUAAUUGCUCAGUUAGUAUGCUUGACUCUUUUGGAUCUGAAUAUUCAUACCACAAGUAAGAAGAAUUACAUUAAAAUCAUGCCAAGUAGCACUCCGCAUCAAAAAUUCUGUUUUUAUCAUUUACCUACUCUAGGACGAGCAGGAAUUAAGCUUGGGGAUGCUUGAUACGUCUCCAACGUAACUAUAAUUUUUGAUUGCUCCAUGCUAUAUUAUCUACUGUUUUGGACAAUAUUGGGCUUUAUUAUCCACUUUUAUAUUAUUUUGUAACUAACCUAUUAUCUACUGUUUUGGACAAUAUUGCCUAGAUUUGCUGUUUUUUUGCCUGUUUUAGGGUUUCGAAGAAAAGGAAUAUCAAACGGAGUCCAAACGGAAUGAAACCUUCGGGAACGUGAUUUUCUCAACGAACAAGACCCAGGAGACUUGGACCCUCCGUCAAGACACAAAAGAGGAGGCCACGAGGUAGAGGGCGUGCCUACCCCCCCCCCCCUGCGCGCCCACCACCCUCGUGGGCCCCCUGUUGCUCCACCGACGUACUCCUUCCUCCUAUAUAUACCUACGUACCCCCAAACGAUCAUAUACGGAGCCAAAACCCUAAUUCCACCGCCGCAACUUUCUGUAUCCACGAGAUCCCAUCUUGGGGCCUGUUCCGGAGCUCCGCCAGAGGGGGCAUCGAUCACGGAGUGCUUCUACAUCAACACCAUAACCUCUCCGAUGAAGUGUGAGUAGUUCACCUCAGACCUACUGUUCCAUAGUUAUUAGCUAGAUGGCUUCUUCUCUCUUUUUGGAUCUAAAUACAAUGUUCUCCCCCUCUCUUGUGGAGAAUUAUUCGAUGUAAUCUUCUUUUUGCGGUGUGUUUGUUGAGACCGAUGAAUUGUGGGUUUAUGAUCAAGUCUAUCUAUGAAUAAUAUUUCAAUCUUCUCUGAAUUAUUUUAUGUAUGAUUGGUUAUCUUUGCAAGUCUCUUCGAAUUAUCAGUUUGGUUUGGCCUACUAGAUUGAUCUUUCCUGCAAUGGGAGAAGUGCUUAGCUUUGGGUUCAAUCUUGCGGUGUCCUUUCCCAGUGACAGUAGGGGCAGCAAGGCACGUAUUGUAUUGUUGCCAUCGAGGACAACAAGAUGGGGUUUUCAUCAUAUUGCAUGUGUCUAUCCCUCUACAUCAUGUUAUCUUGCUUAAGGCGUUAAUCUGUUUUUAACAUAAUACUCUAGAUGCAUGCUGGAUAGCUGUCGAUGAGUGGAGUAAUAGUAGUAGAUGUAGGCAGGAGCGGUCUACUUGUCUCGGACGUGAUGCCUAUAUACAUGAUGAUACCUAGAUAUUAUCAUAACUAUGCUCAAUUCUGUCAAUUGCUCAACAGUAAUUUGUUCACCCACCGUAGAAUACUUAUGCUCUCGAGGGAAGCCACUAGUGAAACCUAUGGCCCCGGGUCUAUCUUUAUCAUAUUAAUCUCCUACUACUUAGUUAUUUCCUUUGCUUUUUUACUUUGCCUUUAUUUUACUUUGCAUCUUUAUCACAAAAAUACCAAUAAAAUUAUCUUUAUCAUAUCUAUCAAAUCUCACUCUUGUAAGUGGCCGUGUAGGGAUUGACAACCCCUAUUCGCGUUGGUUGCGAGGAUUUAUUUGUUUUGUGCAGGUACGAGGGACUCGUGCGUAGCCUCCUACUGGAUUGAUACCUUGGUUCUCAAAACCUAAGGGAAAUACUUACGCUACUUUGCUGCAUCAUCCCUUCCUCUUCGGGGAAAACCAACGCAGUGCUCAAGAGGUAGCAAGGGUUCCUUUUUGUCGACGAUCCUAUGUUUCAACCUUGUUUUCCAGGCGGCCAAUGCGUCGCUAAACUUGGGCAUGGCGUGUUUGUUUAUCUUCUUCAUUGCCAGGUCCUUAUCUGGAUCUUUAUUAUCCUUUUCAUUGCGGUUAAUGAACAAGAAUAUCUGGUGCCGCUUCUUUAAAAGGGAGGGCCUCAUAUUAUCUAUCUUCUGUAGUUUCCCAUCGUUGAUCGUGGCAGUUGUCCGUACGAUGCAACCUAUUUGAUUGCCAUAGCACGAUUGCGCUUCCUCGGGCGCUAUUGUCUCAAAAAUACCGUUGUCCAUCUCCGUGACCACCAGUCUAGUACUCGUGAGCUGGUUUCGGCGCCGUGGCCUCUUUGCUUUCGGUUCUAGACCAGCUCCGCUAGUCUCGGCGCCGGUCUCAGUCUCAUCGCCGGUCUGCAUGUCGGUAUCAGUCCCCGAUGCGACAGCACAGUCGCUGCAACAUGGGUAAGGGAGACCACAUCAGUGCUGGGGGGGUCUGAAAAUUGGGACACACUUUCGCGCAUCGCGGGCCGCCUCUCAGACAGCUACUGGGGAGGCGGCGGAGUACCUGGGUGCGCGGUAAAUCCCCGGGAACUCGGUGACCAACUUCCUUCCCGUGUGGUGCAUGGAGACGACGACGACCCCGGCAAAGAGCAGCUUAGCCGUGAGCUGCACAGCCUCGUCCACCUCCUAAGUUGGGUCCUCCGCGCGAGCGUUGCGGGGCCGCCGCUCGGAUGGCUUCUGGAAGGCGCUUGUACAUGGGCAUAGGGUGAAUCCCGGCGAGAGCUAGCCAUUGGCGCGCGCAAGUAGACGACGACGUCCCCGACGAAGAGCAGCCCGGCCAGCUCGCCUCACUCUCCUUUGAUUAGAAUUGAAAGAUUGGGAAGAAGCAGACUUGAGCCUGCAGGGAAAGGAUAAGGUGACGAUGCAGUCUCCACUCGUUCGGGGCGACACGCGAAUUGAAUGUAUGAGAAACGUGACGUGGCAGGGACCCCAAGAUACUCCCUCCAUUUAUUUUUAGUCUGCAUAUAAAGUUUGGUCAAAGUCAAGAUUUGUAAAUUUUAACUAACUUUAUAAUAAAAAAAUAUCAACAUUCACAAUAUGAAAUAAUUAUUACCAGAUGCGUGAAGAAAUGUAUUUCCAUACUAUAUAGUUUUGGUAUUGGAGAUGUUCAUAUUUUUUUAUAUAAAUGGGAAGUAGAGGCACUCUUCCAUAUAAUGAAGUUUAUAAUAUAUGUGCUUAUAUUGUACUAUAAUUGUUUGAAUAACUUAGCAUAUGUUCAGAUGUAUGAUAUCUGUAAUUUAAGCGCUUGAAUUUUACAUAUAAAUAUUUAUUAAUAAAUAUGUACCCCUAUAAUAGCUAGGCCGUGCAGUUGCACGGGUAGAUGACUAGUGAUUACAGUCUUGUUUGUGUGCAAGUCAAGCUUAUCUAGUUUACACGUAACAACUCGUAGAACAUGUUUAUGCUUGCUAAUAACUUCUAGAACACUACAACACUUUACAUGUAAAAGGAAUUUCACGAGUCAUGGCCUACUAAAGCAAGUUACAUUACUAGUCUUAUAUCUAUCUUAACAGACCACACAAGACUACAAACUAAGUACCAUGACAGCCAUGCUUAUCUAGUUUAUGCGUAACAAUUUGCAGAAAAUUACAAACUUAGUUUUAGAAAAAUGGGCAAUCCAGAUUAGUGUUUGAGCUGUAAAGUGAAUAAGAUGAGUCAUGUGUGUUAUCACACCUUUUUGGUGGUGGAAUGAUAGUGCAACAACAAGGAACUUUAAUGAACAGUGCAAGAAUACACUUGUAAGUAGUGCCACCAAACAGAACAUACCAAAUGAUGAUUUUGAGAAGCAUCCAAGCACUUUCCACACAAACAAAUGCCAAUUGUGAAAGAGAUCAUUCCAUGGCAGCUAUAAAUAGCCCCGUAGCAUGACGAUCAUCCUUCCUCAUCCAUCAUUCUCAUAAGUAGAACGCAUCAUUUAAGCCAAGCAAGGUGUGGUCAAUACAAAUCCACCAUGAAGACAUUUCUCAUCCUUGCCCUCCUUGCUAUCGUGGCGACCACCGCCACAACUGCAGUUAGAGUUCCAGUGCCACAAUUGCAGCCACAAAAUCCAUCUCAGCAACAGCCACAAGAGCAAGUUCCAUUGGUACAACAACAACAAUUUCUAGGGCAGCAACAACCAUUUCCACCACAACAACCAUAUCCACAGCCGCAACCAUUUCCAUCACAACAACCAUAUCUGCAGCUGCAACCAUUUCCGCAGCCGCAACUACCAUAUUCGCAGCCACAACCAUUUCGACCACAACAACCAUAUCCACAACCGCAAC
Molecule: long non-coding RNA, 133340 nt
Filed under: Triticum aestivum (bread wheat)
Lineage: Eukaryota; Viridiplantae; Streptophyta; Magnoliopsida; Poales; Poaceae
Description: long non-coding RNA (TAES_LNC009704)
Source: RNAcentral